GUACCCAAGGUCUCUAUGAUGCUCUGAAUGCCCCAGCUCCCCUAGCUCUAUGUUUCGAUCCCCCUCCUCGUUAAGUAGGUCUCGAAAGUACGCCUGCCACCUCUGCUUAACUUGAGACUCCCCCAUUAGAACUCUACCAUCCCUGUCUGUAUAUAUGUGUUGAAAAAAUAAAACUGCAUCUUGGGAAGUGAACAGCUGCAGCACUAGUGAACAACUUUCCUCAGGAUUGAAAGAAACAAGAUGCUUUGAACUUGGUCUGGAUCACGCGCCUUCCUCUCCCUUGCUUUAGCUAACCAGAAUAACUUACCGUCCCCGCCUUUCUCCCCUAGUUCCUCGUACAUGCAACCAAAUGCCGCGUUUCUAGCUUCCGUAAUUGCUAGGUUUGCUUCCUUCCUGGCCACGUUGUGGAUCUCCCUGUUCACUCUCCUUUCUUCCUUGCUUGUGCUCCCUGCCAACUUAGCAAACGCCGCCUUUUUUAACUCCAUUUUUCCUUGGACUACAUCGUUUCACCACCAGUCACUCUGAUGUAUGCCUGAAUAGCCCUUGGCUACCCCGAGCACAUCCCGCGCUACCUCCCUAACCAAGUUCGACGUCUCUAACCACAUUGUGUCCGCUUCCCCAGAGCUUCUCCAAUUUUUCUUAGACUAUAUCGUUCCACCACCAGUCCGCCCUGAUGUUUGCCUGAAUAGCCCUUGGCUACCCCGAGUACAUCCCGUGCUACCUCCCUAACCAAUUUUGCCGUCUCUGACCAUAUUGCGUUCGCUUCCCCAAAACUUCUCCAAGAUCCUCGAUCAACUAACCUCCUCUCCAACUCCCGGGCUUUCUCUUUAGCCAGAGCACCCCAUCUAAUCCGCGGUCGUCCCCGAGCACCCCUCCUCUUCCUCUUCCCCCAGAGACUAACAUCCAUCACUAGGAGUCUAUGAAGAGUCGAAAGGGACUCCUCAGAAAUAACCUUACAGUCCUUGCACAAACCUCUAUCGCUCCUUUUGAGAAGUAGGUAAUCAAUUUGUGUCCUCGCCGUCGAACUCUUAAAGGUGACCAAAUUCUCCUCCCUCUUUUGAAAUGUCGAGUUCGCAAUUAGAAUCUCAGAAGCCCUGGUGAAAUCAAGCUGUGAUGUGCCUCCUCCGUUUCUAACCCCAAGGCCAAAGCCACCGUGCACCUCACCAUAACCACCAGUAUCAGCCCCAAUAUGACCAUUAAAAUUUCCUCCAAUAACUAACUUCUCAUACUAAGGAAUACUACUCACCAAAUAAUCCAAUCCCUCCCAAAAGUGCCUCUUAACCUCCUCAUCAAAGCCCGCUUGCGGCUUGUAAGCGCUGAUAAUGUUGAGGAGCAAUCCCCAGUAACUAACUUAAUAGAUAUCAACCUAUCAUUCACUCGCCUAACCUCAACCACGAACUCCCUUAGAUCCCUAUCUACCAAGAUUCCCAUUCUAUUCUUACCUCUCAGGACCCCAGAAUACCACAGCUUAAACCCGUUUGCAUUCCUCAUCUUCGACCCUUUCCACCUAGUUUCUUGGACACAGGCUAUGUUGACCCUCCUCUUCUGAAGAACCUUCGACAACUCAAUGGACUUACCCAUCAAAGUGCCUACAUUCCACGACCCGAUUCUUAAUCUAUGAGCGUCUGCUACCCUGUUCCCACCUUUGCCUCCCGCCCUACCCGUAGAACCACUCCCAGCCCCCCUGCUCCCCCUACCGCCACCCNNNNNNNNNNNNNNNNNNNNNNNNNNNNNNNNNNNNNNNNNNNNNNNNNNNNNNNNNNNNNNNNNNNNNNNNNNNNNNNNNNNNNNNNNNNNNNNNNNNNNNNNNNNNNNNNNNNNNNNNNNNNNNNNNNNNNNNNNNNNNNNNNNNNNNNNNNNNNNNNNNNNNNNNNNNNNNNNNNNNNNNNNNNNNNNNNNNNNNNNNNNNNNNNNNNNNNNNNNNNNNNNNNNNNNNNNNCGCGGUCACUAUCCCUCCAACUGAUUAUGGAGAACAGUGGCGCGCACACGUACUAUAGCGAAAUACGCAAAAGAAUGCAAGCUAGGAAUCGACAGAGUAAACCACACACAUGAUGUUUAGCUAGAAAUGCAAGCAAGGAAUCGACAAAGUAAGACCAGUAAUAUACAUAAUGGAAAUUGAAAAUUAACAGAAGAAAUCUGGUGCCCUCAACGCUGGCGGUCACCUUGCUCAGCUAUGAUAACAAGUCUCUAAUCAUCAUCAAAACCCAUUACUGGGUGAACAAAUACCUGCAUCUGCACACAAGAUGCAGGGAGUAACGUGAAUACUCCAACUCAGUGAGUAAUAAAAGUAAAUAACAACUGAGCGGUAAGCAAUCACGUAAAACAUAUCGUCAUGCUGUAUAAAAGCAGAGAAAAACCCUUAAAUGGGGAAAACCAGUGAAAACUUGUGAAAAACAUUAGAAAUAUCUUGGCUCAGUUUUAAACCUCUUUUGAAAAUGAUCUUUUCAAUGGUCACCAAAUAAUGCUUUCAAAACAAUUUGCGAUGCUAUGCAAAGAAAUCCGCCCCUCAGGCAAUACCCUUGACCCUAGUCAGCCUCUUGGGCCCCAACACUCAAUGAUCACAUAAUACCAACACAUCAGAUAAAUAUCUCAAGAAAACAUCACAAAUAAUAAUUAAUGACAAAUGCAUGAAUGCAAUGCAAUUCAUAUGAUGGUACAUUUCAGUACCCACUACGGUGCGCAACCCGAGACACCCAUAAUCAUUUAACAUCGACGACGCUCACUGGAGGUGUGUGCAGACUCCGGAGGGGCUCCUACAUCCCAAGCGCAAUAUCAAGCCAUCUUGUGGCAUCAAUCAAAUCCUGGUCAUCCAUUGUUACCUGACCCAUUUACAUCAUACAGUACCACUGUUACCGUCGUUUCAAAUUACUAUUGCGGCACGCAGCCCAAGCCACCUAUAAUCAGUCCAAAAAAACAUCAUAAGCCCCUUGGGCAUUUAUAAAACAGUAGUUCUCAGCCCGAAAUAACAUAUAAAAUAUCAUUUGAGUUUUCAAAACUUAAAAAUAUGGCUGAGUUUGAAAAACAGUAUUAAAAACUUUGGGCUGAAACCAAAUGAUAUGCAAAAUAUGCUAAAACAGUAAUAUCAAUCCCCUAUGGGCUCCACAAGUCGACACAAGCCCCCAAACAAUGUCAACAAACCCAAUUCACAGUAAUAAAGUAUACGUGUCAAUUGCUAGUAUAAUAUAAAUAACACUCGGGGUGGACCAAGUCACAUCCCCAAUAAUAAACGACCCCGCACUCGUCAUAGAAUGCAUGUCACGCCUCAAUAUAGCGUUACGAUGUGAAAUUCGGGAUUUCAAACUGUAAGAAUAUCAUUUAGAAGCAUUACUCACCUCAAGACUGCCAAAAGUCUAGCUUUUUAUGCUUGCCACUCGAAUUGGCCUCCUCGUGCGACGAAUUUGCCCAAAAUCACAACGAAUAUGUCGCAUUAUGCUAAAGAGACAAUACCCAAGGGAAAGCAAUCGAAAAAAUCAAAAUUCACGUAUUUGAUAAAACUCGAGCCCCGGGCCCACAUCUUGAAACUCAGAAGUUUUUAUACCAAAACGUUCUUCGUCCUCUCACGAGUCCGUACAUAUAAAGAACACAAAAAAUGAAGCUCGUUUGACCCUUCAAAUCGACCCUAGAAAACCUCAAAACCACAAGCCCUAAAACCCCACUUUUCUAUUAAUUUUCAUGUUCUAGUUCACAUAUAGUCUUGUAUUUUACUUGGAAAUAAGUUAAAACAACUCACCUUUAAUGCUUGAUGAAAUCCCCCAUGAAAUUCCCUCUAAAAUCAUCCAAUCCAAAUGAAAGAAGUGAAAGAAAUAAGCCAAAUCCGUAUUUAAAGAAUCUGCCCGUACUUCGUCAGGUUGUACCUUGCAUUUGUGCUAUACAAGUUGUACAUCCUAUUAAAAAUUGUCCUUGUCGGACACUUUCUGUUUAAACACUCAUAACGUCUUUUAUAAAUAUCGAUAUGAAAAACGGUUUGAAGAUUUAGAAACUAGACUUGAAGAUCUUUAAUCUGAUAGGUUUUACACCAUAUAAACUCUUUUAUAUAUCCCGAUAUAUGAGCUUCUAAAGUAGGCUCCAUGAAAUUUGAAAAUUCUAGAGAAACUGCUCCACCAGUCAUUUUCAAUCGAUUAUAACUUUCACUACAGAUUUCCAAAUUACGCUUUCUUUAGCUUUUUAGAAACUAGACAUGAAGGGAUACAACUUUCGUUUUUAAAUCAUCUCAAAAUUUCUUGUAAAUCAAAAAAUAUAGGCCUCCGAAGUACGCUCCACGAUUGCUGUCCAAAGACACUGCAGAAAAUUGCAGCAGAAAUUUUCUGCAGCUUUUUCUUUUCUUUUUGGUCCGAAUUUCAUUCCGUUAACCUUCCGAAAUCCAACUGAGGCCCUCGAGACCUUAACCAAUUAUAUCAACAUAUCCCACAAUAUCAUUCAAACUUGUCCCGACCUUCUAAACACCCAAAAUAACAUCAAAACAUCAAAUCAUCAUCGGAUUUAAGCCUAUGAAUCUCAAGAACUUACAAAUUCCAUUUUUGAUCAUAGACCCAACCAAACUACGUACGAAUGACAUCAAAUUUUGCAGACAAAUCCAAAAUGACAUAAAAAAGCUAAAACAACUCUCGCAAUUCCAUUCAGACCCUCUGAUCAAAAUCUCAUCUAUCAAUCGGAAUUCGCCAAAAUUUUAUCUUUGCCAAUUCAAGCAUUCUACACCGGUCAUUACAAAAAUAUUCCGGACACACUCUUAAGUUCCAAAUCACCUAACAAAGCUAUCUGAACUAUAAAAUUCGCAUCUCGAGCCCUCUAACACACAAGUCAAUUCCAGUUGACUUUUCCAACUUAAGCUUCCUUAAAAGAGACUAAGUGUCUCAAACCUUACCAGAAUCAUUCCGGAAUGAUUUCAAAUUUUGCACACAAGUCACAUUUGACAUUGCGUACUUUCCCCAACUUUUGGAACCGCACUCCGACCCCGAUAUCAAAAUUUUCACUUUCCGGUCGAAUUUUCUCGAAAACCUUCAAAUUUCUAUAUUUAGCCAAAUGACUUCAAAAUGACCUACGGACAUCCGAAUUCACUUCCGUCGCGCUUCCAACUCCAAAAUCACCCUACGAAGCUAUUCCCAGACUCGGAAUCCCAAAUGGACAUCAAUAACACUGAAAUGCCUUCCACUCGAAAUUUAUGAAAUUCUUCUAAAAUACUAACUUCCACAAUAUACGCCAAAAUGCUCACGGGUUAUCCAAAACCAAAUCCGGACAUACGCCCAAGUCCAAAAUCAUCAUACGAACCUGCUGGAACUUUCAGAUCUUGAUUCUGAGGUCGUUUACUCAAAAUUCCAAUCUUAGCCAUUUUCUUCAACUUAAGGCUACCACAAUGAAAAUUUUCUUUCCAAUUUGACUCUGAAUUAUUCAAAAUUCAACUCUGACCAUACGCAUAAGUCAAUAUACCUGAAAUGAAGCUAUUCAUGACUUUCAACUGUUGAACGACGCGCUAGAGCUCAAAACGACCGGUCGGGUAUUACAUUCUCCCCCACUUAAAUAAACGUUCGUCGUCGAACAUUCCAAGAACUGCUCUUAUGUUAUCUGAAAUCACUGUUUAACACCUUGUGUACUUGCCCGUGCUACCACAACUCAUAUGGACACAUUAGUUUGAUCAAAUCUACAUAUAACCUCUUUUAUCCAUACAAUAAGCUCAGAACCCAAUUCCAGCACCUGAAAUUCUCUGCCAGACCUGUUCCCAAUAUAUAAACACUGUAUCAACUACCACACGAAGUACCAGAACAUGACUGCGUACCUUGGUUGAAUUAGCACCAUGCAUUGCAGAAUUCACCAUCUAACCACAAUGACACUCCGUGAACCUUAAUAGCCAAAAUUCCACGACUCUGAUGCUCCCAAUACAUAUAAUGAUAUACUUAUACAUUCUGUUAUAAUAUUGAGGAUACAACCACAGCGGAGGAGAUGUGCAGAAAUUUCUAACCAAUUGCAGAGUUAACCAAACAUUAAUUCUGUCCCUUUUGACUAAAAUCAUCACCUCAUUACUACCCAAAUACUGGUAACUGCCCUGCAAUAUACCUUACAUAAUCCCACUGCAAUGGUCCCCGAUACCAAUAGUCUCGCCUCACCUAGCACGAGCUGCUCAGAUGACCAAUCACUACAGACAAUGAUCAAUGGUCUCACAUGAUUCAAAAAUGCGCCAAUAGGCCAUAAUGCGAACAAGAUACAUAAGAAAAUGAUUCAUGAAUGGACUGCUCAACUCACACAACUAAUAUGGACUUUUCCCAGAGAAUAGGAAUUUAUCAAGCCAUUUUACAGCACACAUGGCACAAUCACAAUAUUACAUGAAUUGACGAACACGGAACAACAUAUGAUAUUCUAACACCCCUCCUUGAGGAGAGCUAUACUGAAAUGAACACAUCUGACUCACAUGAAGCCCAUAAUCGUAUUUAAAUCCAUUCACCCACUUUAGGUCGAUUCUGUUCGCACUGAACUAGGCUAAUAGCAUUUCCUAGACCUGUAAUAAGUCAUUUCUUCUCAUAACACACAAGAACUACCACCAUAGCUGGGACAACACCCCACAAUCCACAACCAAAUGAACCGAAUGACUUCAUAUAUAUCUUAGAUAUUCUUCCAACAUUUCAACUUUCUUAAGUCCCCAAAAUUUGACUAACUCCCAGAUUUUUUCAAAUAUUUUGGCAGAGUCUCCCUUGGAAUUGGGCCUAUCCACAUGUUAGAGUAACACCAAAACAACUCCUAACAACAUGUCCACAACCCAAUAAGUACCACAAGUAUAUCAAUAACACUAAUCUCCGCAUUAUUUAUCCACCUGUCACAGUAAUACCAAAGCAACUCCUAACAGCAUGUUCACAACCCAACAAGUACCACAAGUAUAUCAAUAAUACUAAUAUCCGCAUUACGAGCCCGACAUUAUCACAAUGACAUCUUGACAUGAAACACAUCAUUUGUAUGAUCAUAACCACAUUUUUGGUCUUAGUAGUUGUUCAUAAAUAAUUCCAUCAUUAUCAAUAAAUCUCAUAUUAACCACCACCUCAUUUCAAAUUUUCACAGUACUGAAAACAUAAUGCGAGGUAUGAAGACCUCAUUAUUACUUACUCGGAUUAAUGAGUCACAUUUAACGCCACCUGGGAACUCAUCUCAUAAGCUAAGACUCAAUGAUUACAGUAUAAAAAUGGCUGAAUUAGAACAUAAAAUAUACAAGAAUGAUCAAAUCAACCUAACUGGCAUCACUCUCUUUUAAUAUUAUCGUACGAAUUACACUUUACAAAGGAUAACUUUAAACUCAUAAAUAUUUACCACAAGGACCUCAUCCUUACAUAACCUCCACCGCGGCUUGCAGCCCGGUUUUAAUAUUUCACAUUGUGCCAACUACAGUUUUCAAUUUCCUUUCUUUCUUUUCUCAAUAAAUUUCAUAAAUAUUUUUAUCGCACAUAACGAACCCUCAUACCGGUAGGCAUAUAAUUCAUAAGAAAUUGGAAUCAUUAUUCCGAAACACAUUAAAUCUAUUGUAGUGAAUAAUAAACAUGACUUUAACCUUAUCCCAAAAUCCUUGGAGUCCAAUUUCUAACAUCCAGAAUUAUUUUCUAAACCCGAAUCUCACAUACACACACUAUAUAAGUUCGAACAAACUGUGUCAAGCCAUAACAAUAACUCUAGAUAUAAUUACAUAACAUACUACACAACUCGUAUACUCGCAACACCAUUCCCGAUCACCAUAACCAAUCAAACCAACCAAGUACCAAUAGGAAACCCCACAUUAAAUAGAACCUCACUCCAAAACCUUCGUACCCCAUCAAUAAUGAAGAAAUAAAUAGGAACUCACAAUACACAACACGUUCCCCAUACCGGUAUAAAGUUUAAACCAUGGUAGAAACCAUCAAGAAUACUUGGAAAUCCAUUUUCUCCUAAUCAAGCUAUCAUAACUAAAUUACUCUAAUUCAACCAGGCCACGCAGGUCAUCAAACUCAAGAAUAUUUCCAUAUUACUACAAUUAGUUCAACAAAAAUGCUUCACAAGCUUAGGUAACACAGACCUUAAAAUACCUCAAUUCCACUACUAAGAUCACCUUCAUUCUCAUGACAAUCAACUAAACUUCCUCAAUUUGAGUCAAAUUCAAAUCUCAACAUAUACAUCCUGUUAGUAGGAAAGAAAAUCUCUACUCAACAUUAUAAGGAACCCACCUACGUAGAUUAUUCCGCAUGAGAUAACCCACCUGCUUUGCCUCCAAUUAUCAUUUUUUUACACCUUCUAGCGUCAUACACAUUAUACAAUCACUUAGUCUGCCCGAGUCUAAACUCAUACUGUAAUAUAAAAUUUACUUAACUCCAAACAGGAGAAUUGAAAAGAUUCUUCUUGCUCAUAACCCGGAGCUACACCUCUAAUCACAAUGGAAAUCAUACACUUAAUAGUUCGCCUAUCAUCCAGCUGAUUUUUCUCGACACUUCCAAGUCAUAUAGAAACAUCUCGCAUUACUAACAUACCCAUCACAUUGCUACCCAGCCGUCAUUCCCACAAAUAGGGGAAAUACCGGAUAUGUAAGUUCAAAACACUUGCUCACACAACCAGCACCUCGGUGCUCAAGCCGCAAGAAAAGAUCCGGCCUCAAGUCCUUCAGACUGGCCAAACAUCAACUCAUACAGAUCACAUCUCACCCCUCAAUAAGGGAAUCACAAGCCAUCAAGGCACAUCUGAUACUGAGCGCUCAUGCACACAUGCGAACGCGUUGAUGGAAUUUCAUGAGUUACUUUUCAAACCGAAUCAAGAACGCACAAUAAGAAUUCAAGAAUGUGAAAUUUUCCUAAAGGUUCUGCAACCUCUCGAGGAUAAAUACAGACAUCUCCAUACCAAUUCGCGAGACUCUACUAAACAUGCUUAUGACUCGUGAGAUCUAAUAACCUAGGCUCUGAUACCAACUUUUCACGAUCCAAACCCCGAUCCGGUAAUGAUGGUUCCUCUCGUGAAGACAAGGCCAGCCAACCUAUUUACACAGCCUUUUUCAACAAUAUAUAAACAUGAAUUAAACAGUUUCAAGAUAAUUAGAUAACAACAUUUUGCAGAAUAUAACUCAAUUCAGCCCAAACCGGGGUGCCACAAGUCACGAGCAUCUAAACAGUCUAAACAAUAUUACAAGACCAGUAAUAUACAUAAUGGAAAUUAAAAAUUAACGGAAAAAAUUUGGUGCCGUGAACGCUGGCGGUCACCUUGCUCAGCUAUGAUAACAAGUCUCCAAUCAACAUCAGAACCCACUACUAGAUGAACAAAUACCUGCAUCUGCACACGAGGUGCACGGAGUAAAGUGAGUACCAACUCAGUGAGUAAUAAAAGUAAAUAAGAACCGAGCAGUAAGAAAUCAUGUAAAACAUAUCGUCAUGCUGUAUAGAAGCAGAUAAAAACCCUUAAAUGGGGAAAACCACUGAAAACUUGUGAAAACUUUAGAAAUAUCUUGGCUCAGUUUUAAACCUCUUUUGAAAAUGAUCUUUUCAACGGUCACCAAACAAUGCUUUCAAAACAAUUUGCGACGCUAUGGACAGAAAUACGCCCCUCAGGCAAUACCCUUUUCCCUGGUCAGCCUCUCGGUCCGCAACACUCAAUGAUCAGAUAAUACCAACACAACAGAUAAAUAUGGCCCUUAGGCAAUACCCUUGUCCCUGGUCAGCCUCUUGGGCCCCAACACUCAAUGAUCAAAUAGUACCAGCAGAAAAGAUAAAUAUCUCAAGAAAACAUCAACAAACAAAAAUUAUGAACAAAUACAUGAAUGCAAUGCAAUGCAUAUGAUGGUACAUUCCAGUACGCACUACGACGCGCAGCCCGAGCCACCUAUAAUCAUUUAACGUCGACGGCGCUCAUUAGGGGUGUGUACAGACUCCGGAGGGGCUCCUACAACCCAAGUGCAAUAUCAAGCCAUCUCGUGGCAUCAAUCAAUUCUUGGUGAGUCAUUGUUACCUGACCGGUUAGUCAUUGUUCUCUGACCAAUUUACAUCAUACAACGUCAUUGUUACCACUAUUUUCAGCCAUUGUUACCUAACCCAUUUACAUCAUACAGUACCAUUGUUACCACUGCUUCAAAUCACUGCUGCGGCGCGCAGCCCGAGCAACCCAUAAUCAGUCCAGAAAAACAUCAUAUGCCCCAUGGGCAUUUAUAAAACAGUAGUUCUCAGCUUGAAAUAACAUAUAAAAUAUCAUUUGAGUUUUCAAAACUUAGAAAUAUGGCUGAGUUUGCAAAACAGUAUUAAAAACCUUGGACUGAAACCAAAUGAUAUGCAAAAUAUGCUAAAAUAGUAAUAUCAAUCCCGAACGGGUCCACAAGUUGACACAAGGCCCCAAACAAUGGCAACAAGCCUAAUUCACAGUAAUAAAGUAUGUGUCUCAAUCACCAAUAUAAUAAAAAUAACACUCGGGGUGGACCAAGUCACAAUCCCCAAUAGUAAACAACCUCGCAAUCGUCAUAGAAUGUAUGCCACGCCUAAAUAUAGCAUUACAAUGUGAAAUCCGGGGUUCCAAACCCCCAGGAUAUCAUUUACAAGCAUUACUCACCUCAAGACUGCCAAAAGUCUAGCAUGUUAUGCCCUAGCCUCUCGAAUUAGCCUCCUCAUGCGACGAAUCUUCCCAAAAUCACAAUGAAUAUGUUGCAUUAUGCAAAAGGGACACUACCCAAUCUAAAGCAAUAAAAAAAUAUCAAAAUUCACGUAUUUGACAAAACCCGGGCCCACACCUCGAAACUUAAAAUUUUUUAUACCAAAAUACUCUUCGUCCUCUCACGAGUCCGUACAUAUAAAGAACACAAAAAUCGAAGCUCGUUUGACCCUUCCAAUCGACCCUAGAAAAUAUUGAAACCAUUAUCCCUAAAACCCCACUUUUCUACUGAUUUUCACGUUCUAAUUCACAUAUAAUCUUGUAUUUAACUUGGAAAUAAGUAGAAACAACUCACCUUUAAUGCUUGAUGAAAUCCCCGAUGAAAUUCUCUCCAAAAUCAUCCAAGCCAAAUGAAAUAAAUAAGCCAAAUCCGUAUUUAAAGAAUCCGCCCGUGCUUCAUCGAUUUGUACCUUGCAUUUGUGCUAUACAAGUUGUACAUCCUAGUAAAAACUUUUCUUGUCGGAUACCUUCUGUUUAAACACCCAUAACAUCUUUUAUGAAUAUCCAAAUGACAAACGGUUUGAAGAUUUAGAAACUAGACUUGAAGAUAUUAAAUGUGAUAGGUUGUACACCAUAUAACUCUGUAUAUAUCUCGAGAUAAAGUAGGCUCCAUUAAAUCUGAAAAUUCUGGAGAAACUGCACCACUAGUCAUGUUCAAUCGAGCAUAACUUUCACUACCGAUGUCCAACUUAUGAUUUAUUUAUCUUACUAGAAACUAGAAACAAAGGGCUACAACUUUAGUUUUUGAAUCAUCUCAAAAUUCUUUGUAGAUCAAAAUAUAUAGGCCUCCGAAGUACACUCCUCGAUUGCUGUCCAAAGACACAUUGCAGAAAAUUGCAGCAGAAAUUUUCUGCAGCUUUUCUUUUCUCUUUGGUCCGAUUUUCAUUCCGUUCACCUUCCGAAAUCUACCUGAGGCCCUCGGGACAUUAACCAAUUAUAUCAACAUGUCCCACAAUAUCAGUCAAACUUCUCUCGACCUUCGAAACACCCAAAAUAACAUCAAAACAUCAAAUCAUCAUCGGAUUCAAGCCUAUGAAUCUCAAUAACUUCCAAAUUCCAUUUCUGACAAAAAAAAAAAGCCAACCAAACCACGUCCUAAUGACCUCAAAUUUUGCAGACAAAUCCAAAAUGACAUAAUGAAGCUACAAAAACUCUAGAAAUUCCAUUCCAACCCUCAGAUCAAAAUCUCACCUAUCAACCGGAAUUCGCUAGAAUUCUAACUUUGCCAAUUCAAGUUUAAUUCUACAUCGGUCAUCACAAAAAUAUUCCGGACACACUCCUAAGUCCCAAAUCACCUAACAAAGCUAUCCGAACCAUAUAAUUUGCAUUUCGAGCCCUCUAACACAUAAUUCAAUAUCUGGUUGACUUUUCCAACUUAAGCUUCCUUAAUAUAUGUGCUGGGGAUCUCUUGGUAUCCCGAGGAUCUCCUAGUAUCCUCAAUAUAUAUACUAGGGAUCUCUUGGUAUCCCAAUGAUCUCUUUGUAUCCUCAAUAGAUGUACUAGGGAUCUCUUGGUAUCAUCAAUAGAUGUACUGGGGAUCUCUCGGUAUUCCUAGGUUCUCUUAGUAUCCUCAAUAUAUAUGCUGAGGAUCUCCUGGUAUCCGUACUACAACACAAUCAACAUAGAUGUACUCAAACAAUAGAAUAGCAAUAUCCCGACAAGGGAGUCAACAACAUUAACAAUAACGUCCCGGCAAGGGAAUCAACAACAGAAACAAUAACGUCCCGGCAAGGGAAUCAACAAUAGAAACAAUAACGUCCCGGCAAGAAAUCAACAAUAAAAACAAUAAUGUCCCGGCAAGGGAAUCAACAAUACCUAAUAAGGUCACGGAACACCAAGUAAAAACACGAUAACUUCAACGACAUAGCUACACCGAUACCACAACAGUUGGACAUAUAUAUAUUUGCACGAAGUCACAGAUGAACUUACAAUCAAGGAGUAUCCAAACAGUAAGGAUGUUAACAUGAAUCAAAUAAUUACAAUUUAAGGAAAUAUCAACUAAUCAUAAGAUAUCUAUCUUCUUUCCAAGAUUAAUUAAAUGAGAUAUAACCUUUAUGAUUUUCGAUUAAAGGCGAGCAGUUAGGACGGAUAAUAUGACUGUAGAAGGGUAAUUGUCUUUAGUUAAACACGUAAAAGUCAAUUAAACAACAAGAAUAAUCAAGAAGGGCAAACAAAUACCAAGUAAGACAUGUAGAGGGGAAACUAAUAACGGGGAACUCAAUCGUAUCAGUAUCAUCUUCACAAUCGGGGAUUUCAAGGGUCUAAGAGCCUAAAAGGGACAAUUUACCACAAAUAAAUCCGAGCACGCACUCAUCACCUCGCGUACACGGAGUACAAUCAACGGAGAAGACUCAAAUCCUAAGGGGAAGGUCCCCACACAAAGUUAGGCAAGAUACUUACCUCAAACCGGCUAAAAUCAACUAGCAAUCACGUAAUUGCCAUGAGUACUCGACUCCAAAUGGCCCAAAUCUAUUCAAUUAAAUCACACAUUGUAAAUAACAUUUCAAGAGACUGAUUCUACAAUUAAAUUUAAAGCUAAAGUGCGAAAUUAGGUAAAAUGACCAAAAUGCCCCUCAGGUCAACAUCUCAUAAUCAAAUAAUUACAUUUUCAGUACCCCCCGUAAUCUCACGAGUCUAACCAUAUAAAAAUUCUCCCAAAUCGGAGGUCAAAUGCCCACUCCAAAUGCAAUAAUUAAGUCUAAGAAGUUUCAUCCAAUUUUCCCCAAUUUUGACCUUGAAUUCGAAUUCUAAUGGUGGAUUUAACUAGAUAGUGAUAGAAAACAACUAAAUAAGGUUAAAGAUACAUUACCCACUGCUCUUCUCUUCAAAAUCCACCCAAGAUCGUCUUCUCCCAAGCUCCCAAUUGAUUUUCCAACUUUAGAAAUAAACCCUCGGAUUAUACUAUUUAAUACCAGUGAUUACCGCUUUUGCGGUCCAGAGACUGCCUCUGCGGUCCCGCUUUUGCGGAAAAACAAUCGCUUCUGCAUUUCUUUAAGUUCCCCAAUUUUCGCUUCUGCGGUUCUUUCAUCGCAAAAGUGAGUCCGCUUCUACGGAAAAUCCUUCGCUCCUGCAACUCAUUCCCAAAGGUCCUCAAUCGCUUCUGCAGCUUCCAAACCGCUUUUUUGCGGCAUUGAUUUUGCGGUUCCCAAGCCACAGAAGCGAAAAUACCAGUAGCCCUGGUGCAAUUUUCCUUCUAACUCCAAACUUUGCCCGUUAAGCAUCCGAAACACACCAAGGGCCCCCGGGACCUCAACCAAUCACACACACAAGUCAUAUAACCUAAUACAGACUCGCUCGAAGUUCCAAAUCAUAUAACACAAUAUCGAAACGACGAAUCAAACCAAAAUUCAAGUUUAUGGACUUCUAAAUCUUCAAAUAUCGAAACUCAUGCUGAAACCUAUCAAUAUAACUCGAAAUGAAGCCAAAUUUUACAAACAAGUCCAAAAUAACAUAACGGAGGUAUUCCAACUCUCAGAAUUGCAUUCCGACCCCGAUAUCCCAAAACUCAACUAUGGGUCAAACUUUAUUAUUUUCCAACUUCAACUUUUCAUUGAAAUGCCUCAAUUUACUCUACGGACCUCCGAAUCUGAAUCUGAACGUGCGCUUAAGUCCAAAAUCACCAUACAAAGCUGUUGAGAUCACCCAUUCUGGGUUCAUUUACACAAAAGUCCAAUUUUGGUCAACGUUUCACCGUUUCAACUUCCAAAAUAAGGUUUUUUAAUCUAAAUUCGACUCUAAACUAUCCGAAAGACGAAUUUCACCAUGCACGCUAGUCGAUAUUCAUACUACGAAGCGGUUCCAAAUCCGCUUUGGGGUGAAUAUCCUCCCCUGAAGUUGGCGCUAAUUGAACCCUAGAUUAUGAGCUUACCGAUUCAAAGCUCUCAUGAGAUCUCGUUGGCAUGCCCUACCAAAUGAAAAGGAAGUCGCAGGAGCAAGUUAAGAGUUAGAAUUCCCCGACUCCGUUCCUAUUUAUUAGCCUUCUUUCUACUUCAACAUCAACUUCGUUAGCUAACUAAUUGAUCCUCGCCCAUCUUUGGCUGCCUGUUAGGAGGAUUAUGUUGGACCUAUGCGAUCUCGUUACAACGUUCUUUUUUUUACAGAGAUUUCUGGUGAAAACUUCAAUCUUGAAGCAUGGGCAGGCGAACAGAAUGUCCGAGGAAGGAGAACUAGCUAAGCUUCUUCACAAGCGAAGGAAUUGCAGCCUAACCAUCUGUGAGAUCGGAGACUUCGAGAGGCUCCCCAGUCCUCUUUCAGCCUUUUCUUACUUAUUUUUGAUGAUGAGCCUUCCAUGUAAUUUUUUCCCUAUAUAUGAAUAACUCCCAAAAAUUCAAAUAAAAUAAUUUUUCCUUAUUUUUAUAAUAUUUGUGAAUUUUGUGUCAUUUUCUGGUUAUUAAUGCAUUUUAUUUGUGCAUUUUGAUUCAUGUGAAAAAUACAAAAAAAAAAAAUACAUUUUGCAUUGGCUUUAAUUUCAUAUUUUAGCAUUAAGUAGGGGUUAAUUUGUUUUAGAACAAAAUAUGAAGGAAAUAAUCAAAAUAGUUCACUUUUGCAUUUUAAUUAUUUUAAUUGUGAACUUGUCAUUAAAAUGUUUAACCAAUUUUAGGAGUCAAUUAGUCUAGCUUUGAAAUGUAUUAGGACUUUAUUUUAAUUUUUGCACUUUUAUAAAAUCAGAGAAAAUAUAAAGAGGAAAUAAAUAAUAUAAAAACAUUUAAAUAAAAGAAAUACAAAAAGAAGGCAAAUUAGAAAAGGAAAUAAAAAAGGAAACGAGUGUUGUCUUUGAUGUUGCCCGGAACUGGGCCGAUUUUUCUUUUUGCCCAGCCCAAAUCCCUUAACCCUUUCACAGGCCCAAAUAAACACCCUAACCCGGUCCAAAACCCAUUUCCCCUUAGAGACACGCAUAUAGCGUGACCCCCUCCCCUUUCUCUUAUUCGUUUUGGGGGAGAGAUAAAAACGAGAUAAAAAAACAGACCCCGGCGAUAUACAGAGAGGGACGAAUCUGACGGGAGAGACCUUCCAUUUCCUCCAUUUCUCUCCAAAACCUUUACACCAUUAACGCUGAUGCUAGCCCGCUCUCCCUCUCUCUCAUUCAUCUACAUACACACACGAAAAGGGAAAGAAACCACACUUGAAUUCUCAACUUUCAGAUCUAGAAAAAAUUGAAAAAAGGAUUUAAAGCUGUUUGAGUUUUAUACAAUUGCCGCCUAUUUCUGGGCCUUUGCAAGCUGUUUUGAGUUGAAGAAGUUGAUCGAUUUCUGCUAUUCUUCCUUCUGUUGUUGAUUGCUGUUAUUAUGUGGUUUCCGCCGAAUUCAUGGCCUAGCUCCAGUUUUUAUUUUUGUUCGUUUUGGUCCGGCAGUGAGGUAAAACAUAAAACUCUUGAUGUAUUUGAGUGUUCAAAAAAAAAAAAGAGCUUGCGAUCUAUUUGGGAUCCGUAUGAUAUUUGUUUUGCUCAGAUUUUUGUAUUAAAAUGUCUCCUUAAUACCGAAUCUGAUUAUGCCUUGGAGCUACAGCUCACAAGUGUUAAUUUGAGCUUUUAAAAUUCAAUAUGUGUUGAUUUGAUUAACAGUUAAAAUGUUGCUCUACGUUAUUCGACUUGUGUGAUAAUCUCCCUGAUUUGGUUUAAUUUAGUUUAUAUCUUGUCAAAGUUUGUCGGUUAGAAAUUAUGUCGAUUUUCGAAGUUACCGGAAAUGAUAGUUGAUGUGAAAAGCUUCGACACUAGCGUGCUUCAGUUCUUAAUUUCUAGUCCAUUCUAUGAUUCAUGUUAUGAAUGGUUGCAACAUCUCUGCCAUAGUCAUCUUAUCAAUUAAUUGUAGACAUAGAAACUCUAGAAUUGGAGUAGAACCAUACAGCUGUGCACACUAAACACCAGGUAUUAACAGGACAAGGGUGACGUGAACAAAUCUGAUGUUCUUUGGAUAAAAAUGGAAGAGGAAACAAGCAAAUUCAAUUAAAAAAAUCUGAUUAGUUUGUAAUUUGAUUUUUUUGAUGCAACGGAAACGGCUGUUAGUAUAACAUCUGGAGAGACAAAGGCAUACACUUCUAGUUCUAUGCUCUAUGCGAGUGUUAACAUGAUUAUUUGCCUGUAUGUGUGUGCUUGUUCAGUUGGUAUUCUUUUUCACUUGUGUUGGACCGAUCUAUUGGAUAUAAUUAGCUUUAGAUCUAUUUCUUUUUUUGCUUUAGAUAUUAUUUACAUAUGAGUUUGUAUCUUCCUUUUAUUUUCCAAAGUUCUAGUUGCAUAUGUUUGAUAGAAUCUAUAGCUUGAAGUUGAAACGCACACAUGUACUGUGUUAUGCAGUAAGCUGGGUAUUUAGGCACAAUAUGAAAUUCAAUGUGAAUAUUGCUAGGGAGAAGUGUUCAUUUCUCUUCAGUUUCAUGCUUACGAGUAAUGACAACUGUUAAUGUAGGGUGGUCUGUUUAAAUUGUGAAGCUAUACAAUGUUGUCCGAUAAUCUGGUAUCCAUAUCCAUAAUUCAUGGCCUCUUUGUGAUCUUAAAUUAGCUUUAGAAAAAUGGUAAUGAAUAGUCGUAGUUUGCUUUAGUUGAGUACAAUCCUUUGAAAUUAGAAUUGAUGUGUGCCAUUAGUUGAAUUUUCCAUGGCCCUCAUAAACUUGGAAGUGCGUAGUUGCUUUAGGCGCGCUAUUUAAAAAUUACCUUCUUAAAUUCGGGUGUGCAUUUCAUGCGACCCAAAUCUUAAUCCCAAAAUAUUGAAUAAAAUGUGUUUAGGAUUGCGGAUGCAUUUCAUGUGACGUGAUCCAAAGACAUGUUUUAAACGACGUUCACUUUCUCUUAAAAAUACAUAUUGAAUAAAAGCGGUUAAAGUAAAACUGCACAUAAGUUCAUCAUGCAAUAAAAUCAGAUAAAUAAGUUAAAUGCGAUAGUUGAGUGGCCGUACUAGAACCACGGAACUCGGGAAUGCCUAACACCUUCUCCCGGUAAACAGAAUUCCUUAUCUGGAUUUCUGGUUUGCGGACUGUUAAAUCGUCAUGCUUUUCCUCGGUUCGGGAUUCAACCGAUGACUUGGGACACCAUUAAUCUCCCAAGUGGAGACUCUUAAUAAAUAGCAACAAAUCCCAUUCCGAUUGUCCUUUAAUUGGAAAAACUCCUUUACGCCCUUGCGGGGUGCAAUGAAAAAGGCGGUGUGACAGCUCUGGCGACUUUGUUGGGGAUAAGAACCCAGAACGUUUUGUUCAGGGUUUAGAAUUUGAGCUUGGAAUAAUUAUUAUGUUUGGCGUUAUCUGAUUUUGUUAGUGAUCUGUGCCUAAGGUUUUAAUUGACUGCUUUUACUGCUUUGAUAGUAUGUGAAUUGUAUAUAAACUGUACCGAAACCCAUCUCCUCUCUGAGUCUUCUAAAUCAUGAUGAAGGGUGCACUUCGUGUGACUUCUUUUAUUUAUAGUGUCUAAUUCCCAAUUUAGAACAAGGUUUGGAUAAGUUGCAAAGCCUGUGAAGCUUCUGUAUUCCGGGUACACUGCCUCCUCCUCGGCUCGAGCUUUCCGCUAGGGUAAGCCAGGUUUAGAACAAACACCCAUGUUUUGAACCUAGAAUUACUCAACAUCAUGCCGGAUUCCUAGUAGGAAUGCUUAUCUGCAUCAUGUGCAUUUGACUUAAGGGAUUCAACACAGGGGCUGGGUCUGUUUAGGGCUAGCAACCUGAAAUGAAAAAGACCAUCUUGACGCAUCCUACUUUUGUUCUGUGCAUUUAUUUGUUUCGGACCCGCAUGUUGACCGGCUUUUGAAUCUCGGAACUGUUAGAAAAUUAAGAAAAAAGAGAAAGAUAGAAAAAUAGCAGUUCGAGAGUUAACUGAUUGUUUUGGAAAAAUCAAUGCCCAAGUAAUGUCGAAACUCUGCCGAAAUUUUGAAAAAAAAGAAAAAAAAGAAAAAGUUUAUUUUUAGUAGUUUGUUUCACUAAAAAGCAAAGGAAAAAUAGAAAAAAAGAGUAUUUCAUCUUUGAAAAUUGCUUGCCGAAAAAAAGAAAGGAGUCUUUAUUUUAGUUUGGGGAAAUAGGUUGUUUGUUGAAAAUGAAAAGAAAAAAAAGAGUCGUUAUUUAGUCUUGUUGUCGGAAAUGAAAAAGUGAAAAGUAGUUUGUUUUGCCAUAGAAAAUGAAAAGAAAAAGAAAAAGAGUCUUUUAUUUUUAGGCUAUUUUAUUGUUUGUUAAAGAAAAAGAAAAAGAGUCUUGUUUUUAAAAGUAGUUUUUUUAUUUGCUUAUGAAAUGCCCAAAAAUAAAAAUGAAAAGAGUCUUAUUUUCAAAAAUAGUUCGGUUAAUUUGCCGAAUUACGCAUGGUUUUAUUCUUACAGGGCGUGAGAUAUGUAGGCAAUCUUCAUCGGGUCCAACCUCCCCUUUACAAAAAAAAAUAUAGCCCAAAAAAUGUCAAAAUUUUAAAUUUUUUCAUAAAUAAACCAGGUGAUGCCGUUUCUGUCAAAAAUAGCCAAAUUUUCCAAAACGGGGCGCCUGAAGGCUGACUUUGCAUAAACAAUCACCUUUGGUCAUAUUUUGAUUUUUGACCCUCACAACUUUAAAAUCUUCGUCCCGAGGCGCUGGAAGGCCGUGUUUGCAAUACCGGGUCACUUAUUUUAAUUUGAAAAACAAGAAAAAGAGUCAGUGGUCAAGUGAAUACCAUUCGGAUUUUGGGUCAAAUUUGGAAUAUAGGGGAAGGAAUAUGUCAUUUUGUUUUUGGGUUUGUAUUUCUUUUGAUUAGAGUAUAUGGGUCGUUUGAUUUUCAAGUCUAUAUUUCAUCGUUAAGUUGGUCAGUUUUGUUGUUAUUAUGAAAAUGAAAAAUUCCAAAAAUGUUUUAUUGUUGUUUACCUUUUAUUACAAGAACUACGGUCUGAUUCAUGCGGGUCAUGAUACGUAGGCAAUCUCUAUAAGAUUCGACCACAAAAAAAUGGAAAAAAAUGAAUAAAAAAAUGGAAAAAGAUGUUGUUAAUAAUGAGGACCGACUGAAUCCAUUCUAACAUGUUUUGUUUUGAAUUGUGAAGAAAGUUGAGGUGGUUGGUUUGUGGUAAGUCUGAUUCAUGCGGGGUCAUGGUACAUAGGCAAUCUCCAUAACAUUCGACCACAACCAAAAAAACAAAACCAAAAAAACAAAAAAAAAGAAGAAAAAAAGCAAAAGAAAAAAUGGAAAAGAUGUUGUUAAUAAUGAGGACCGACUCAAUCCAUUCUAACAUUUUUUUUGAAUUGUGAAUAAUGUUGAGGUGGUCGGGUUGUGGUAAGUUGGAAACACAAGAUCUGAGGAAAAAUGAUAACCGACAUCGAAGUUGUUGCAAGUGCUCAAGAGACUCAGGGACAGAGGGUUCAACUAGAGUCUACGGGGUUUGAGAAAAAUAGAACACCGAAACAGAAAAUGAUUGAAAUACGUCAAGCAUGGGCAAAUGGUCAAGGAGAGCCUUGGUGUGAGAAUCUUGCCCGAACGGGAGUACAGGAAGAAAUAACCCAAAGAGUAAAAACAUUAGAACAACGGUUGAAAAACACGCAAGCAAUGGCAGGUCAAAAGAGUGUUGCCUUCACAGAUCUAUGGGAGAAAUGGUGGAGAACGCUCUUAAGACAGGCAGAAUUAUAAGUCAAAGAACUCUCAAAGCAGCAGCUCAGGCUGUCCAAAUUGAAUAUGGUAACACGAAUGAGAGGGAUGAAGAAAUCAUGAUUAUAUCAGGGUCGAGAAGAGGUCCCAGGAGAACAUCUCGAAAGUAUGUGUAGCCUCAUCAGGUUUUCCAUGACCCCCCUAAGCAUUAAUAUCCACCUCCGAACCCCUCAUAUUCUAUUGAUCAUUCCCAGUAUGUUGCCAAGCCAUCAAAUAACCCAAGAAAGCGAGCAUGAGUACCACAAAAUCUCUACCCGCCUCUGCAAAAUUUUCAAGUACCUUAUAACCCAUAUCUAAGCCAGGGGUAUAGAAGGGAACAAAAGCUGAAAGAUAGUUUUACACCAAUAGGAGAGUCCUAUGCAAGCUUAUUUAAGAAGUUAAAACAAUAUGACAAGAUUGCACCCAUUCCUCCAAAUUAGGUGGACCGACGUGCAAGAAGCUUUGACUCAUAUUUAAAACAACAUGACAUGAUUGCACCCAUUCCUCCAAAUCAGGUGGACCAACGUGCGAGAAUCUUUGAAUCAUCUAAAAGGUGUGAAUACCACUCCAAUGCUCUAGGGCACAAUGUGGAAAAUUGUCGGGAUUUGAAAAGACAAAUAGAAAGGAUGAUCUAGGAAAAUUUGAUUCAAGACAGUGGCACCCAGAAUAUCAUGAUGCAUCCCUUACAUAAGGAGGCACACUUGGUGGGGAUGAUGCCUGGUGACAUGGGGUAUGAGAGUGCUCUUGGGAACUUGUAGACUGAAGUUAAAGAUACUAAAGCAGAUAGUGGUCAUGGCAAUACGGAUGCGAAGCUUAGUGGCUAAGAUGUUGUUUUUGGUAAUUGGAAAGAUGCUCCAUUCCUAAGUCAGCCGGGGAGGAGCUUUAGUGGUCCAUUUUGCUGUCAUUUAUGUUGUCCGAUUUAUUGGCAGGGUUGUAAUCCGGAUAUUGUCUUGUGAUCAAACACUCCUAUCCUUUCAUUUUUGUCUAGCUUGUUUAGUCGUAGUGGUUUGUUUAGUGUUGUCCAUGUUUGUUUCAGGUUCAUUCUUGGGUUGUACUCCAGUUUGUUUGCUUGUUUUAUUAUUCGAGUUAUUUUAUCAUUGUCUAAUGCAAAUUCCGAUCUUUUGUUACUUCCAAUCAUUUUUCUUUGUUUAGUUCUUUUCGAUCCUUUUGUUUUUUCUUUUGUCUAAUGCUGAUUCUAGUGACAUGACUUGCACGUAUAAUUCUCAGUCGAAUCUUCAAAAGCUAUGUUAGUCAGGAACUCUUUUGUCUAAUGUUGGUUCUAGUGACAUGACAUGCAUGCAUAAUUCUCAGUCUGAUCUUUAAAAGCUACAAAACCAUUUUGAAGAUGAUGGGGGCACUUGAGGAAAUAAGAACAGAAUCGGACGUUUUGAGAUUGUUUGAUGCCCGAACCAUGUGAAACUGUGUUUAAUAGAACAUAAAAAUCCCCGUAAAAGCAAGUGGGCCAAAAUGACAGGGGGUUGGUCGUGGUAAUAAGAGUAAGAGUGUUUCCCUAAUGGCAAAUUAUAUUUGACAGAUGUAGAAGGAAAAUGUGUGGAAAUGGCCGUCAAUUCCGAUGCGGUUAAGAGAUGAUGUGCAUGGUUUCUUUAUUCCGAUUGUACUUGUUUUUAUUUGGCAAAUUUUAAAGUUUGAAAUGAUGAAGGUGUUUUGUUCUGCUAUCUAUGCACUUUACCCUUUUGUCACCCUCUUUGAGCCUUAUUUGUUUUCUUUUAUAUCCCUCUUUCGGAAUCAAUGGCACAAUCAAAGAAACGCAAAUGCCGGAGAUACACAAAUGGAAAAAGAAGGAAAAAGAAAAAGGAAAUAAAGGAAAAAGAAGAAGAAAAAGGAAGAAGGGAAAAGGAGAAAGAAAGGAAGAAAGGAAAAAAAAGAAAAGAAAAGAAUAGAAAGAAAGAGAAGAAAGAAAAGGAAGAAAGAAAAGGAAGAAAAAAAAUGAAGAAAAGAAAGGAAAAGGCAAGAAAAACAAAAAAAAAAGAGAAAGAAAAUCGCAACAACGUAGUUUCUAUGACGUGAACUACGUUUGACUUGAUCCCGAAAGGGUACGUAGGAAGCCUCUCUGAGGUUUAGUCAUACCAAAAUAAAAUUCCAAAAGUCCCCAAGCAAGAACCUGGGUCAGAAGUUGCGAUUGUUGAAAGAAAUAAGAUUCCGAAGGUUGUAAUUUUAACCCAUUUUCACAUUGUUUUGAGCCUUUUGUACCCUUCUUUUCUAACCCGUUCUAAAAGCCACAUUAUGGUCCAAAGAAACACUUUUCGAUUAGUCUUUGAGAAAUGCCAAGUCAAGUAGGUAAAGGCUAUUCAUGUCAAGGGCAACACUCUGGUUCAAACAAGAAAAAUGAAAAUGAAAGAAUUUUAGUGAUGAAAACCCUCAUGGGUACCACAAGGCGAUGAAAAUUGAGAGAAAAAGGAAACGAGAGAAUCUUAUUGGUGAAAACCUUCACAGGAACCUUGAGGCGACAGUAAGUUGAGAGAAAGAAUAAACUGAGAGAGGCUUGAUGGCGAAAACCCUCUGGGCGCUACAAGUCGAACUAGAAAUGUGAUUCAGAUUGGAUAAGCAGAGCAUUGAAGCCCAGUUUCACAGCAGAAAGGUACAACUAGAGCUGAACAUCAGGAUUGAUUAGCAGAAUAUCUACAGGUGCAUGUCACCACCCGGAUUUACCCACCAUCGGGAGUCGUGAUGGCGCCUACUGUCGAAGCUAGGUAAGCCAACCUUUAUAAUCACUUUCAUAAACUUAAACUAAAGCAAAUCAAAUACUAGAGUAAUUAAUUAAACAUGCGGAAGUCUUCUAAUAACAAUAAUGAAAAACAAUAUGCGGAAAGCUAACAACAUAUCUCUACCCAUUUAUCUGGUGUCACUGCCCAUGAACAACUAAAGAGUACUAAAAAUAAUAGUCUGAACAAAAUACAUAGCAUGUCUGUUUGAUACCAUUUAAUAAACUGAAUACUCACGGACAACUAAAGAGUACUAAAAAUAAUAGUCUGAACGAAAUACAUAGCAUGUCUGUUUGAUACCAUUUAAUAAACUGAAUGAAAUAGAUAGAUAGAGGAGACUCGAGGCUCGCGAAUGCCAGUGAACUACCUCAGAGCCUCUGGACUGAAGGAUCACUCCCGAUCUAAAGCUGUGGUCCGUAUAUUGGGUCCUGACCUGUGCAAAAGAAGGCACUCGAGGCUCGCGAAUGCCAGUGAACUACCUCAGAGCCUCUGGACUGAAGGAUCACUCCCGAUCUAAAGCUGCGGUCCGUAGAUUGGGUCCUGACCUGUGCAAAAGAAGGCACAAAAGCGUAGUAUCAGCACAACUGACCCCAUGUACUAGUAGGUGCCCGGCCUAACCUCGACGAGGUAGUGACGAGGCUAAACCGAACCUAUCACAACCAACCUGUACAGAUAUAUGCAAUAAUAGAAAGAGAGCAAGCAUUUAAGCAAAUAAAGUGGGAAGGCCAUGCUGGAGGAGUAGCAGUUCAAUUAUAACUUCUACAAUCAAGAGGUGAAACUGAAUAAGUAAUAAUGAAACAAGAAAGCCAAUGAAUCAACAGCUGCACGACAUCACCCUUUGUGCUUUUACUCUCAUUACUCACCAAGGAUAUCAAAUACAAGGCACGACAUCACCCUUCGUGCUUUUACUCUCAUUAAACAGUGCACGACAUCACCCUUCAUGCUUUUACUCUCAAUAAACACUGCACGGCAUCACCCGUCGUGCUUUAACUCUCAACUCCUCUCCCAAUCAAUGGUCACACCAGAACGGGACUAGGGAAAUAUAUAUAUCAAGGGAAAAUAUCCCGGCAAGGGAGAAUAAUUCAACAAAUGGUCCCAGCAAGGGAAAUACAACUCAACAAUAGGUCCCGGCAAGGGAAUACAACUCAACAAAUGGUCCCUGUUCACUUGCUUCAAAAUUUAAUAGCAAAUAUGAUAACACGGUCAUGUUUGACUCGGGCGCAUAGGUAACCGUCACCAUACCUAUAAACUGACCUACAUAGCAUAUGAAAAAUAACAACCUAAUCAUAUUCCCUCAAGCCAAAGUUCGAUCGAACACUUACCUCGAAGCCGAAAUAACAACUCAAAGCUCAACAAUCGCCUUUCCUCUAGAAUUUGACUCUGAAGCAAGGAUAUCUAACAUAAUUCGAUUCAAUAUUAUCAAUAAGAAUCCAAAAACACAAUCCCAUAGCCUAGAAAUGUUUUUUCUAGCUUACUUCCAAAAAUACAAAAAUCCGACAUCGGGCCCACGUGGUCCAAAUUCGAGGCUCGGACCAAAACCCAAUCCCCCAUAACCCCACGAGUUCAAAUAUAUAAUUAGAUUUUAAAUUCGACCUCAAAUUGAAAUUGAAAUACCCAAAAUCCCAUAAAUCCUAACUAAACACAAAACACCUAAAUUCUACUUUGAUUUCAUGUUAUAGAGCUAGGAAUUUAAUGAUUUGAUGAAGAAAUAAUGAGGAAAUAAUGUUAGGAUUACUUACCUAAGGAGUGUGAUGAAUUAGGAGCUUGAAGUUCGUCAAUGGAGGGUGUAGGAGGAGAGUUCAUGUGAGAGUUUGAAUGAAAUCCCGUAAUCAACAGUGCUGGAAUUUAUAAAAUCAUUGAAGCAUUUUGUGCUUUGCGAUCGUGACACCUGGGACGCGUUCGCGCUGAAGGAAUCUGAUAAGGCAUCGCGUUCGCAAUGGGAUCUAUGCGAACGCAAAAAAGGAAAGUAGGGGGUUCAUGGGGUAGCUCUACGCGAACGCAGAAACCGACACGCGAAUGCAGUGAAGGGAGGCUAAGUUACGCGAACGCAUGGCAUUGGACGCGAUCACGAAGGGUAAGAAGAUUUGGGCUACGUGAACGCGAGCCGAGUGCCGCAUUCAGGAAUAAGAAAAGGCUCUGCAACAUCUGUUGAAAAAUCUGGUAUUUUUCUAAGUUUCAAGACACUUCGAAACACCCCAAAAUCACCCCCGAUCCCUCGGGGCUCCCAACCAAACACACACACUAACUCAAUAUCAUCCUACGAACUUGCUCAAGCGNNNNNNNNNNNNNNNNNNNNNNNNNNNNNNNNNNNNNNNNNNNNNNNNNNNNNNNNNNNNNNNNNNNNNNNNNNNNNNNUGCUCAAGCGAUCAAAUCGCCAAAAUAACAUCAAAAUCAAAGAAUCAACCCCCAAAACUCAUGAUUUUCAUUUCUAAGUUCAAAACUUCCAAAUUUUCCAUUUUAGUCCGAAACACGUCAAACAACGUCUGUUUUUAACCAAACUUUACAGAUAGCGCUUAACGCCCAUUUAAUACUUCUAACAGGCACCGGAACCAAAAUACGAGCUCGAUACCACUAUUUUUUUUAUCAAUUUUGGUUUUCAUUUUUCCUUAAGCAUAUUCAUAAAACCAUUUCACAAAAAAGCUCCGUACGCGGGCCUGGGACCUCAUUUUUCAAUUCCGGGAAUAGGUCCGGGUCCCAAAUUUCAUUAUGGACCCUCCGGGUUAGUCACAUUACGGGUCCGGAUCCGUUUACCCAAAAAGUUGGCCAAAGUCAACCAUAGCAAUAUUGGUAUCAAAAUUCAUAGUUUUUAACACAAAAUUCAAAUAUUUUCUCAUAACAUUUUCCUGCUUCGUCUGGACUGCGCACGCAAAUCGAGGCAACCCAAAUAAGAGGUUUUCAAGGCCUCAGAAACACAAGGAAAUGAAGAAAUAGGGCUUUUUUGGUUUUGCGCCCGGACUGCACAUGCAAAUCGAGGCAACCCAAUAAGGGGUUUCCAAGGCCUCAAAAGCACAAGAAAAGAGAGAAUUACGGUGAUAACCCUUUGGGUCGUCACAUCCUCCACCUCUAAAACAACCGUUCAUCCUCGAACGGACAAAAGAAAGAAGUACCUGAGUCGGGGAAUAGAUUGGGAUAACGGCUCCGCAUAUCAGACUCGGACUCCCAGGUCCAUACCUCGGGAGGCUAACCUCUCCACUGAACACGCACUGAAGGGAAACUCCGCGACCUCAACUGUCGAACGUGCCAAUCUAAAAUAGCCACCGGCUCCUCCUCAUAUGACAGAUCCUUGUCCAAUUGGAUAGUGCUAAAAUCUAACACGUAGGUGGGAUCACCGUGAUACUUCCGAAACGUGGAUACAUGGAAAACCGAAUGCAUGGCUGAAAAGCUAGGCGGCAAUGCAAGUCUAUAAGCCACAUUCCUCACACGGUCCAGAAUCUCAAACGGGCCAAUAUACCUAGGGCUAAGCUUUCCCUUCUUCCUAUACCUCAUCACGCCCUUCAUAGGAGAUACACGGAGAAAUACUCGCUCACCAACCAUGAAAGCAAUAUCCCUGACCUUACGAUCUGCAACACUCUUCUGCUUGGACUGAGCUGACCAAAGUCUUUCCUGAAUGAUCUUCACCUUAUCCAAGGCCUCCUGUACCAAAUCAGUACCUAAUAAUCGAGCCUCUCCCGGAUCAAACCAUUCGACUGGGGACCAACACCGCCUACCAUACAACGCCUCAUACGGGGCCAUCUGAAUACUAGACUGGUAACUGUUGUUGUAGGCAAACUCCGCUAAAGGAAAGAACUGGUCCCACGAGCCUCCAGAAUCAAUAACACAUGCUCGAAGCAUAUCCUCAAGAAUCUGAAUGGUCCUUUUGGACUGACUGUCCGUCCGGGGGUAAAAUGUUGUGCUCAACUGGACAUGCCCCACGAGCCUCCAAAAUCAAUAACGCAGGCUCGGAGCAUAUCUUCAAGAAUCUGAAUGGUACUCUUGGACUGACCGUUCGUCUGGGGGUGAAAUGCUGUGCUUAACUGAACCUGGGUACCCAACUCAUGCUGCACCGCUCUCCAGAAAUGCGAGGUAAGCUGUGGACCACGAUCCUAAAUAAUAGAUAUGGGCACCCCAUGAAGGUGAAUGAUCUGCCUGAUAUAAAUCUUAGCAUACCUCUCGGAUGAAUAGGUGGUGGCAACUGGGAUGAAAUGCGCUGACUUGGUCAGCCUAUCAACAAUGACCCAUAUAGCAUCAAACUUCCNNNNNNNNNNNNNNNNNNNNNNNNNNNNNAAUAGGUGGUGGCAACUGGGAUGAAAUGCGCUGACUUAGUCAGCCUAUCAACAAUAAUCCAUAUAGCAUCAAACUUCUUCCGAGUCAUCGGAAGGCAGUAACAAAAUCCAUGGUGAUUCUCUCCCACUUUCACUCUGGAAGCUCAAUCCUCUGAAAUAGCCCACCGGGCCUCUGAUGCUCGUACUUAACCUACUAACAAUUUAGACAACGAGCCACAUAUGCAACAAUGUCUUUCUUCUUUCUACGCCAUCAAUAAUGUUGUCUCAAAUCCUGAUACAUCUUCGCGGCUUCCGAAAGAAUAGAAUACCGAGAAUUGUGGGCCUCCGCUAAGAUCGACUCUUGAAUGCCAUCGAUAUUGGGCAUGCAAACUCGCCCCUGCAACCUCAAUAUGCCAUCAUCUACCAGAGUCAUCUCUUUGUCACCUCCCAUCUGCACCGCGUCUCUCAGGACACACAAAUAGGGAUCAUCAAACUGCUGCUCCCGAAUACGCUCCAUCAAUGACGAGCGAGCAACUGUGCAAGCUAACACUCUGGUGGGCUCUGAAAUAUCCAAUCUCACAAAUGUAUUGGCUAAGGACUGAACAUCCAAGGCAAGCGGUCUCUGGCUGAUCAGAAUAUAUGCAAGACUACCCAUGCUGGCGGACUUUCUACUCAAUGCAUCGGCCACCACAUUCAAUGACGAGCGAGCAACUGUGCAAGGUAACACCCUGCUGGGCUCAAAAAUAUCCAAUCUCACAAAUCUAUUGGCCAAUGCCUGAACAUCCAAGGCAAGCAGUCUCUUCUGACCGAAAUAUAUUCAAGACUACCCAUGCUGGCGGACUUUCUACACAAUGCAUCGGCCACCACAUUGGCCUUCCCUGGGUGGUAUAAAAUGGAAACAUCGUAAUCUUUUAACAACUCCAACCACCUCCGUUGUCUCAAAUUCAACUCUUUCUGCUCUAACAAGUAUUGAUGGCUCUUGUGAUCCGUGUACACCUCACACGUCACACCAUACAAAUAAUGCCUCAAGAUCUUCACUCACAAAUCUAUUGGCCAAGGCCUGAACAUCCAAGUCAAGCGGUCUCUAGCUGAUUGGAAUAUAUGCAAGACUACCUAUGCUGUCGGACUUUCUACUCAGUGCAUCGGCCACCAUAUUGGCCUUCCGUGGGUGGUAUAAAAUAGAAACAUCAUAAUCCAACUCCAACCACCUCUGCUUCCUCGAAUUCAACUCUUUCUGCUUGAACAAGUACUGAAGGAUCUUAGGAUCCGUGUACACCUCACACGUCACACCAUACAUAUAAUGCCUCCAGAUCUUCAAGGCGUGAACAAUGGCAGCUAACUCUAAGUCAUGAACUGGAUAAUUCUUCUCGUAGAUCUUCAACUUCCUCGAAGCAUAUGCUAUGAACUUGCCAUUCUGUAUCAACACUCCGCCAAGUCUGAUGCGGGAAGCAUCACAAUAUACAGUAUAAGGCCCAGAUCCCGUGGGCAAAACCAAUACUGGUGCCGUAAUCAGAGCUGUCUUGAGCUUCUGGAAGCUCGCCUCGCACUCAUCUGACCACCUGAAUUGGUCACCCUUCUAGGUCAAUCCAUCAUCGGGGCUGAGAUGGAUGAAAACCCCUCCACAAAACAUCCGUAGUAACCAGCUAACCCCAAGAAGCUUCAAAUCUCUGUAGUUGAAGCUGGUCGAGGCCAGUUCUUGACUACCUCUAUCUUCUUCGUGUCCACCAGAAUACCCUCUGCUGAUACGGCAUGACCCAGGAAUGCGACUAAACUCAACCAAAAUUCGCACUUUGAAAACUUGGCGUACAACUGGCUACCCUUCAGAGUCUGAAGAACCACUCUGAGGUGCUGCUUAGACCACCUGAACUGGGCACUCUUCUGAGUCAAUCUAGUCAUUGGAGCUGCGAUGGAUGAAAACCCCUCCACGAAACGUCUGUAGUAACCAGCUAACCCCAAGAAGNNNNNNNNNNNNNNNNNNNNNNNNNNNNNNNNNNNNNNNNNNNNNNNNNNNNNCUCCGAAUCUCUGUAGCUAAAGCUGGUCGAGGCCAGUUCUUGACUGCCUCUAUCUUCUUCGGGUCUACCUGAAUACCCUCUGCUGAUACGACAUGACCCCGGAAUGCUACUGAACUAAACCAAAAUUUGCAGUUUGAAAAUUUGGUGUACAACUGGCUAUCUUUCAGAGUCUGAAGAACCACUCUGAGGUGCUGCUUGCUCCUCCUGACUGCGGGAGUAUACCAAGAUAUCAUCGAUGAAUACGAUCACAAAUAAAUCUAAGUAAGGCCUGAACACUCGGUUCAUCAACUCCAUGAAUGCUGCCGGGGCAUUGGUCAACCCAAACGACAUGAUCAAAAACGCAUAAUGCUCAUAGUGAGUACGAAAUGCUGUCUUAGGGGCAUCAGAUGCCCUAAUCCUCAGCUGAUGAUAAUCAGAACUCAAAUCUAUCUUCGAAAACACAUUGGCACCAUGAAGCUGGUCAAACAAAUCGUCAAUCCUCGAUAGUGGAUACUUGUUCUUUAUCGUCACCUUGUUCAAAUGCCGGUAAUCAAUGCACAUCCUCAUUGACCCGUCCUUUUUCUUCGCAAACAACACUGGCGCACCCCAAGGUGAUACACUGGGUCUAAUGAAACCCUUAUCAAAUUCUGAAGCUUUUCUUUCAACUCUGGCGGGGCCAUGCGAUAUGGCGGAAUAGAAAUAGGUUGAGUGCCAAGAGCCAUAUCAAUGCAGAAAUCUAUAUCCCUGUCGGGCGGCAUACCCGGCAGGUCUUAAGGAAAAACCUCGGGGAACUCCCGAACAAUAGCAACAGAGUUGAUGGAUGGAACCUCUGUGCUCGAGUCACGAACAUAUGCCAAAUAUGCUAAACACCCCUUCUCGACCAUGCGUCGAGCCUUGACAUACGAAAUAACACUACGGGUGGCAUGACCUGGGUUCCCUCUCCACUCAAGUCGGGGAAAAUCGGGCACGACCAAAGUCACGGUCUUGGCGUGACAAUCCAAGAUAGCAUGAUACGAGGACAACCGGUCCAUCCCCAAUAUAACAUCAAAGUCCAGCAUGUCUAAAAGCAAUAAGUCGACACGAGUGACAUUAUUUGGGGUCCCUCUCCACUCAAGUCGGGGAAAGUCUGGCAAGGCCAAAGUCACGGUCUUGGUGUGACAAUCCAAGAUAGCAUGAUACGGGGACAACCAUCCCAUUCCCAAUAUAACAUCGAAGUCCACCAUGUCGAGAAGCAAUAAAUCGUGACGGGUCUCAACACCCUCAAAUACCACUACACAAGAACGAUGCACUCGGUCGACCACUAUAGAAUCACCAACUUAUGUGUACACAUACACAGAAAUACCCUGAGCCUCACUAGGCAUAAACAAAUAGGGUGCAAAACAGGAUGACACAUAAGAAUAAGUAGAUCCCGGAUCAAAUAAUACUAAAACACCCCUAUCACAGACGAGUAUUGUACCUGUAAUCACAUUAUCAGACGACUCGGCCUCCGGUCUGGCUGGCAAUGCAUAAGAACGGGGCUAGCCCCCACCUCGCUAAACUGCGUCUCUGGGAUGAUCUGCUGCGGGCUGACCCCUACCUCUGGCUGUCCGGUCUCCACCCCUACUGUCUCUCCCUUAACCUCUAUGAUCCAUAUCCCCGCCUCUAGCUGGCUGGGCGACCUAUGGAUCACCUGCUGCCUGAAUCGUAGGGCGAGGACCCUGCUGCUGAGAACUACUCGAGGCUCGAGGGCAAAAUCUGACAACAUGACCUAUGAUACCACAACCAUAACAUGCCCUCGGCGGCUGAGACUGUUGGCCCUAUCGAUCGGUAUGUCCUCCGUUGAAGCUCUAAAGUGGCAAUGCACUGAUGGGGGCUAGUGGUGCGUUGAAAUACUGAUGAUCUGAGUAAUACUGCCAGUGUCCACCACCGCCUGGCGUACCAUGAGAAACCUGAAGUGCCGACUGGAAAGGUCUCGGGGGAUGGCCUCUGUCAUGGAAAUCUCUACCUCUAGAUGAGGUACCACUAAAUCUUCCAGAAUGUCGAGGCCACUUGUCUGAACUCUGACUACCUCUUCGAGCCAAUGCCAUCUCUACUCGGCAGGCUGCAUUGGCCGCCUCCUGAAAAGUGAUAUCACUGCCAACUCCCACAGCCAUCUGUAGGCGAAUGGGCUGAAUCAAUCCAUUAAUUAACCUCCAGACCCUGUCCCAAUCUGUAGGGAGUAUCACUACGGCAUGGCGUUCCAAGUCAACAAAUCUGGUCUCGUACUGUGUAACUGUCAUAGAGCCCUGCUGAAGAUGCUCGAACUGUCUUCGAAGUGCCUCCCGAUGAGUGACAGGGAGAAACUUCUCCAAAAAUAACUCUGCAAACUGAUCCCAUGUCAAAGCUGGAGACCCUGCUGGUCUAGAUAGACAAUAAUCUCUCCACCAAAUCUUGGCGGACCCCACAAAUCUGAAAGCGCAAAAAUCGACCCCAUUGGUCUCCACUAUCCCCAUAGACCUGAGGAUCUCAUGAAAACUAUAUAGAAAGUCCUGGGGAUCCUCCGAUGAAGCACCGUUGAAACUAGUAGUGAAAGUCUUGGAGAACCAAUCAAGUCUCCACAAAGUAUACAAAGACAUGGCCGUCCCAUCUCCGGCCGGAGCUGCCACUGCGGGCUGAACCAAGGGGACCUGAGUCUAGGGAGCUACUUGCUCCGGAGUACGUGUAGUAGGAGUCUGAAGCCCUCAUCCAGCCUGAGAAGUGGCUGGUGUUACUGGCAGCAAUCCCGCUCUGGCCACACUAUCCAUAUAGCCUGCUAUGCGGACAAAGGCAUCUUGAGAUCCGAAGAAAACAUCACUCCCCCUGGGACCUGAUCUGGGCCCACUAGAGCUGGUGGAGUUGGAACAUCCUCAUCAAAGUCAAUAUGAGGCUCCACCUCUGGAACUGCUGCCUGGGGCUGAGAUCUGCCCUUGCCACGAACUCUGGCACGGCCUCGGCCCCUGCCCCUCGUAGGAGCUGCUGCUGGGGGCUCGGGCUGCUACGCGGAAGAAGAAGACGCACAUGUCCUCACCAUCUCCAAAAGAACAGAGUAGAAUGACAAUCAAUAUUUGAGAAACAAAAUCGCACGACAAGAAUGAACAAAGUGAAACUUUUCCUAGCUCUGUAGCCUCUGGGGGAUAAAUACAGACGUCUCCGUAUCGAUCUCUCAGACUCUACCGAGCUUGUCCAUGAGUUGUGAGACCCAAGUAACCUAGUGCUCUGAUACCAACUUGUCACCACCCGGAUUUACCCACCAUCGGGAGUCGUGAUGGCGCCUACUGUCGAAGCUAGGUAAGCCAACCUUUAUAAUCACUUUCAUAAACUUAAACUAAAGCAAAUCAAAUACUAGAGUAAUUAAUUAAACAUGCGGAAGUCUUCUAAUAACAAUAAUGAAAAACAAUAUGCGGAAAGCUAACAACAUAUCUCUACCCAUUUAUCUGGUGUCACUGCCCAUGAACAACUAAAGAGUACUAAAAAUAAUAGUCUGAACAAAAUACAUAGCAUGUCUGUUUGAUACCAUUUAAUAAACUGAAUGAAAUAGAUAGAUAGAGGAGACUCGAGGCUCGCGAAUGCCAGUGAACUACCUCAGAGCCUCUGGACUGAAGGAUCACUCCCGAUCUAAAGCUGUGGUCCGUAUAUUGGGUCCUGACCUGUGCAAAAGAAGGCAGGCUCGCGAAUGCCAGUGAACUACCUCAGAGCCUCUGGACUGAAGGAUCACUCCCGAUCUAAAGCUGUGGUCCGUAUAUUGGGUCCUAACCAUUGCAAAAGAAGGCACAAAAGCGUAGUAUCAGCACAACCAACCCCAUGUGCUGGUAGGUGCCCGGCCUAACCUCGACGAGGUAGUGACGAGGCUAAACCGGACCUAUCACAACCAACCUGUACAGAUAUAUGCAAUAACAGAAAGAGAGCAAGAAUUUAAGAAAUAAAAGGGAUAGGGGAUAUGCUGGGGGAGUAGCAGUUCAAUUAUGACUUCUACGAGCAAGAGAUGGAACUGAAUAAAUAAUAAUCAAAUAGGAAAGGCAAGAAUUUAAGCAAAUAAAAGGGGAAGGGCAUGCUGGGGGAGUAGCAGUUCAAUUAUAACUUCUACAAUAAAGAGGUGAAACUGAAUAAGUAAUAAUGAAACAAGAAAGCCAAUGAAUCAACAGCCGCACGACAUCACCCUUCCUACUUUUACUCUCAUUCCUCACCAAAGAUAUCAAAUACAAGGCAUGACAUCUCCCUUCAUGGUUUUACUCUCAUUAAACAGUGCACGAAAUCACCCUUCGUGCUUUUACUCUUAAUAAACAGUGCACGUCAUCACCCUUCGUGCUUUAGCUCUCAAUUCCUUUGCCAAUCAAUGGUCACAACCAAAUGGGAACAGGGAAAUAUAUAUAUAUCAAGGCAAAAUAUUCCGGAAAGGGAGAAUAAUUAUCCAAAUGGUCCCAGCAAGGGAAAUACAACUCAACAAAUGGUCCCGGCAAGGGAAAAGUACCAAAAAUUCCUCUUUAGUUCAUUUAUUUCUCAACUUUCACUUCAUAGUUCUUGUAACAAGUAAUAAUAACAAUUGUUCACUUACUUCACAAUUUAAUAGCAAAUAUGACAUCACGAUCAUGCUUGACUCGGAAGUACAAAAAUUCCUCUUUAGUUCAUUUAAUUCUCAACUUUCACUUCAUAGUUCUUGUAACAAGUAAUUAUCACAAUUGUUCACUUACUUCGAAAUUUUAAUAGCAAAUAUGCCAUCAUGGUCAUGCUUGACUCGGCGUAUAGGUAACCGUCACCAUACCUAUACAUCGACCCCACAUAGCACAUAACAAAUAACAAUCUAAUCCUAUUCGCUCAAGCCAAAGUUAGAUCGAACACUUACCUCGAAUCCGAAAUAGCAACUCAAAUCUCAACAAUUGCCUUUCCUCUAGAAUUCGACCCCGAACCAACGAUAUCUAACAUAAUCAGGUUUAAUAUUAUCAAUAAGAAUCCAAAAACACAAUCCCAUAACCUAGAAAUGCAUUUCCUAGUGUACUUCCAAAAAUACUAAAAUCCGACACCGGGCCCACGUGGUCUUAACCCGAUGAUCAGACCAAAACUCAAUCCCUCAUAACCCCACGAGUUCAAAUAUAUAAUUAGAUUUUAAAUUCAACCUCAAAUUGAGGUUGAAAUACCCAAAAUCCCACAAACCCUAACUAAACCCAAAACCCCUAAAUUCUACUUUGAUUUCAUGUUCUAGAGCUAGGAAUUUAAUGAUUUGAUGAAGAAAUAAUGAUGAAAUAAUAUUAGGAUUACUUACCCAAGGAGUUGUGAUGAAUUAGGAGCUUGAAGUUCGUCAAUGGAGGGUGNNNNNNNNNNNNNNNNNNNNNNNNNNNNNNNNNNNNNNNNNNNNNNNNNNNNNNNNNNNNNNNNNNNNNNNNNNNNNNNNNNNNNNNNNNNNNNNNNNNNNNNNNNNNNNNNNNNNNNNNNNNNNNNNNNNNNNNNNNNNNNNNNNNNNNNNNNNNNNNNNNNNNNNNNNNNNNNNNNNNNNNNNNNNNNNNNNNNNNNNNNNNNNNNNNNNNNNNNNNNNNNNNNNNNNNNNNNNNNNNNNNNNNNNNNNNNNNNNNNNNNNNNNNNNNNNNNNNNNNNNNNNNNNNNNNNNNNNUGUUCAUGGGGUAGCUCUAUGAGAACGCGGAAGCAGACACGCGAACGCGGUGAAGGGGAGGCUAAGCUACGUGAACACGUGGCAUUGGAAGCCAUCGUGAAGGGUAAGUAGAUUUGGGCUACGCGAACGCGAGCCGAGUGCCGCAUUCGCGAAAAAGAAAAGGCUCUGCAACAGCUGUUGAAAAAUCUGGUAUUUUUCUAAGUUUCAAGACACUCCGAAGCACCCCGAAAUCACCUUGAUCCCUCGGGGCUCCCAACCAAACACACACACUAACUCGAUAUCAUCCUACGAACUUGCUCAAGCGAUCAAAUUGCCAAAAUAACAUCAAAAUCAAAGAAUCAACCCCCAAAGCUCAUGAUUUUCAUUUCUUAGUUCAAAACUUCAAAAUUUUCCAUUUUUAGUCCGAAACACGUCAAACGACAUCCAUUUUCAACCAAACUUUAUAGAUAGCGCUUAACACCCAUUUAAGACUUGUACCGGGCGUCGGAACCAAAAUACGAGCCCGAUACCACUAUUUUUGAUAAAUUUUUGUUUUCAUUUUUCCUUAAGCAUAUUCAUAAAACCAUUUCACAGAAAAGCUCUGUACUCGGGCCUGGGACUUCGAAUUUCGAUUCCGAGAAUUUUCCCGAGGAAGUUUCAUUACGGACCCUCCGGGACUAUCACGUCACGGAUCCGGGUCUGUUUAUCCAAAAUGUUAACUAGAGUCAACCAUAGCAAUAUUGGUAUUAAAAUCCAUAGUUUUUAACACCGAAUUCAAAUAUUUUCACAUAAAAUUUUCUGGCUUCAUGCCCGGACUGUGCACUUGAAUCGAGGCAACUCAAUUAGGGGUUUCCAAGGCCUCAGAAGCGCAAGGUAAGGGAGAAUUAUGGUGAUGACCCUUUGGGUCGUCACAGUGCAUGUCAUGGUCGUUAGAGUUGGUAUCCACAUUUGAUAGGUUUCUACUUCGUAGUGUCGUCUUUAGGAAUCAUCUCUUUACUUUGUCCUUCACUUCGUUCUUCUGUUGGUUCACUUCUUCUUUCUGAGUCUGUCGGUUAUAGCAAGUGAGAAAUGACUUCAAAAUUUCCACCAGCUUUCUGAAUGCACAAAUGAGGUUUAGCUAGCAUAUCAAAGUGUCACAAGGCAAGAAAAUCAACAAGAGCAUUGAGCUAGUAAUAAUCAACAUGCUUUGGGAAUCCUGGCUAACACAAAGUUUAGCAGAUGUUAGUUCAGGAAUAAUGCAAUAGAUGGAGGGUAUUGGGUUUGAACGAAGAAUAGAUAUUUUCUGUGACAAGGGUCAAGCGAACGAGCAAUAGACUUCAGGGUCAAAGGGCUAGGGGUUGUGAUUUAAGAAGCAACAACAUACUGUGGGGGCAAUAGAUGCAAUUUGGAAUUCAUGUAAGACUCAAAGGUCAAGAAAAUGCCAGUUCAUGGGUGAUGUAAAUAACAGAAGAUAUAGGGUUUGAAUGCAGAAAAGGUAUGUUUGGUGACACGGAUGACCAAGGAAGUGGUUAAUCAGUGAGCAUGCAAGAUCUUCAAGAAGAAUCAGGUGUCAUAGAAAAUAUAUGGAGUCAGAUAAGAAGGUUAGAAGUAAUAAUUGAGAGGUAGCCAUCAAGAAGGGCGGAAAUAUUUAGCCAAGUUUCAAAUAUGGUAGGAAAACACGGAGCAUGAAAAGGAGAAAAGGAAAGCCAUCCCCAGCAAGAGUACCACAACCAACCACCACACUUUAAACUGAUAGAAUUUUCUUUGAUUUGAAACAGGGGCAUGGAAAUGUUAAUGAUAGCGGAAAGAUAUGUUACAAGAGGAUUAUCAAAUUGGGGCAGAAAAUUUUCUGUUAUUUUGAAAAUUUUCUUGAAGUUGGGUACCCAUCUGAAGAACAUGAAGGUCAAUACAAGUUUUUUUUAAAAAAAAGAAGAAGAGGGAAGUAGUUUUCAGGAAAGAAACACCAAUUUUAAGAAAAAUAAUUUUCGGAGGAUUGAAACAUUGUUUUUAGGGAAAUGGUUUUUGAAGGAGGACAACACCAGUAUUUAAGGAAGCAGUUUUGGAGGAAGAUAAUUCAAGUUAGAGGGUGGAUAAAACAAGUUUCGGAGGAAAAUGGUUAAAAGAAAAAUCUUAGUUUGAUGAAUUUUUCACCUAAGAUGACGAAAUCUUAGUCUGUUGAGUCUUUCACCUAAGAUAGAAAUCUUAGUGUGAUGAAUUUUUCACCUAAGAUAAAAAUCAUAGUCUGAUGAAUCUUUCACCUAAGAUAAAGGCAGAAGUUUGAAAAAGAAAAGGAAGGCAUAAAUUGGGAAAAAAAAGGAAGGCAUAAUUGGGAAAAAAGAAAGGAAGACAAAAAAUGGGAAAAAGAAAGGAAGACAUAAUUUGGGAAAAAGAAAGGAAUACAGAAUUAGAAAAAGGAAGAAAGGAAGUUUGAAGUUAAAAGUCUUGAUUCGAAGUUUGGACCUAGUUUGAUGAUUUAUCUCCUAGGGUAAAAAUCUUAGUAUGUUGAAUCUUUCACCUAAGAUGAAAAUCUUAGUUUGAUGAACUUUUCACCUAAGAUAAAAGAUAAAAAUCUUAGUCUGUUGAAUUUUUCACCUAAGAUGAAAAUCUUAGUCUGAUGAAUUUUUCACCUAAUACGAAAGGCAAAAAUCUUAGUCUGCUGAAUCAUUCACCUAAGAUGACAAUCUUAGUCUGAUGAAUUUUUCACCUAAGAUAAAAUGUAAGAAUCUUAGUUUGUUGAAUCUUUUACCUAAGAUAAAAAUCUUAGUCUAAUGAAUUUUUCACCUAAGAUAAAUUUUAAAUUUUAAGAUACACUUCAGUCUUUAAAUUUUUAAAGUUGCAUUUCAGUCUUAUCACAAUUCAAGUUUUAGUUUUUAUUAGUAUGUGGCAGAAAUGUUUCUUAUUUAAGAACCUUAGUCUGUUGAAUUUUUCACCUAAGAUAAAAAUCUUAGUCUGGUGAAUUUUUCACCUAAGAUAAAAGAAAAAUCUUAGUCUGUUGAAUCUUUCACCUAACAUAAAAAUCGUAGUCUGAUGAAUUUUUCACCUAAGAUAAAAGAUAGUAAUCUUAGUCUGUUGAAUCUUUCACCUAAGAUAAACAAUAAAAAUCUUAGUCUGUUCAAUCUUUCACCUAUGAUGAAAAUCUUAAUCUGAUGAAUUUUUCACCUAAGAUAAAAAUCUUAGUCUGAUGAAUUUUUCACCUAAGAUAAAGGUAAAAAUUUUAGUCUGUUGAAUCUUUCACUUAAGAUAAGAAUCUUAGUCUGUUGAAUCUUUCACCUAAGAUAAAAAUCUUAGGCUGAUAAAUUUUUCACCUAAGAAAAAUUUUAAAUUUUAAAAUACAUUUCAGUCUUUAAACUUUUAAAGUUACAUUUCAGUCUUAUCACAAUUCAAGUUUUAGCUCUUAUUAGUAUGUUGUAACAAGCACCUAGUUUUCUAAAUUGGGGCAGAAAGUUUCUUUGUUUUGUCUGUUUUUGUGAAGUCAGGAGCCCGCCUAUUUAAUUUCAUGUUCAGCAAUUAGGAGCCUCCCGGAUAACAGAGGAAUACAUUCAAUUUUCAAGUCCAGCAAUCAGGAGCCCGCCUGGAUAACAAAGGAAUACAUUUAAGUUCAAGACUAUUCAAGUUCAGCAAUUUUGGAGAAAAGGAACAAUAUCGCAGUCAGCAAGUUAAAGAAACGACAAUGGAUUUCACCAAGAAAAUACAAGAUAACAAGACAACAAGGAAGUACAAGAACAAGUUUGAAAAAUUUAGGUAGGAUUUUGUAAUCCGUAGCUCGUAGCUUUUGCUAGCUUCUUUUAUUUUUGAUUGGUGUAAUAAGGAAGGUCAUCGAGCUGUAGCAGCAGCAAUCGUAGUGAAAUCACAGCUAGUGGUAGUCCCAGCUACCAGACACUCUCGAACUACACCUGACUUGAUUUCUGUUUAGCCCAAGAUAUGUAGGCAACAUCUAAAGCAGGGUGCGGUCAAAACUUUUCAAAAUGCUACACAACAGAGUAUUUGAACGGGCAAAAAUCGCUCAUAUUUGUUCACUUAUCUUUGCCCGAAAAUCUUUCAUGUUUCCGAGCAAAGAGGAGCAGUUGUGAGCACGUGAUUUUUGCCCUAUAUAUGAAUAACUCCCAAAUAUUCACACAAAAUAAUUUUUCCUUAUUUUUACAAUUUUUGUGAAUUUUGUGUCAUUUUCUGGUAAUUGUUGCAUUUUAUUUGUGCAUUUUGAUUCAUGUGAAAAAUAUAAAAAAAUACAUUUUGCAUUGGAAUUUAAUUUCAUAUUUUAGUAUUAAUUAGGUGUUAAUUUGUUUUACAACAAAAUAUGAAGGAAAUAAUCAAAAUAGUUCACUUUUGUAUUUUAAUUAUUUUAAUUGUGAACUUGUCAUUAAAUAGUUUUUAAACAAUUUUAGGAGUUAAUUAGUCUAGCUUUGAAAUGUAUUAGGACUUUAUUUUAAGUUUUGCACUUUUAUAAAAUUAAAAAAAUACAAAGAGGAAAUAAAUAAUAUAAAAGCAUUUGAAUAAAAGAAAUGCAAAAAGAAGGCAAAUUAGAAAAGGAAAUAAAAAAGGAAACAAGUGUUGUCUUUGAUCCCAGAACUGGGCCAAUUUUAUUUUUUUUGCCCCAGCCUAAAUCCCUUAACCCUUUCAGAGGCCCAAAUAAAACGCCCCAACCCAGUCCAAACCCCUUUUCCCCUUAGAGACGCGCAUAUAGCGUGACCCCUUCCCCCUUGCCUUCUUCUUUUUGGGGGAGAGAAAAACGAGAUUAAAAAAUAGACCCCGGGGAUAUACAAAAUCUGAGGGGAGUGGCCUUCCCUUUCCUUCAUUUCUCUCCAAAACCUCUACACGGUUAACGAUGAUGCUAGCCGCUCUCCCUCUCUCUCGUUCAUCUACAAACACACACGAAAAGGGAAAGAAAACACACUUGAAUUCUGAACUUUCAGAUCUGGAAAAAGUUGAAAAAAAGGAUUUAAAGCUAUUUGAGUCUCAUACAAUUGCCGCCUAUUUCGGGGCCUUUGCAAGCUGUUUUGAGUUGAAGAAGUUGAUCGAUUUCUGUUGUUCUUCCUUCUCAUGUUGAUUGUUGUUAUUCUGUGGUUUUCGCCAAAUUCAUGGCCUAGCUCCAGUAUUCAUUUUUGUUCGUUUUGGUCCGGGAGUGAGGUAAACACAUAAAACUCUUGAUUUAUUUGAGUUUUCUUCAAUAAAAUGAGUUUGUGAUCUAUUUGGGAUCCGUAUGAUAUUUGUUUUUGCUCAGAUUUUUGUAUUAAAACUGUCUCCUUAGUACUGAAUCGGAUUAUUCCUUGGAGCUACAACUCACAAGUUUUAAUUUGAGCUUUUAAAAUUCACUGUAUGUUGAUUUGAUUAACAGUUGAACUGUUUCUCUACAUUAUUCGGUUUGUGUGAUAAUCUCCCUGAUUUGGUUUAGUUUAGUUUAUAUCCUGUCAAAGUUUUCCGGUUAGAAAUUAUGUCAAAUUUUGAAGUUACCGGAAAUGAUAGUUAAUGUGAAAAGGUUCGACACUAGCGUGCUUCAGUUCUUAAUUUCUACUCCAUUCUGUGAUUCAUGUUAUGAAUGGUUGCAACAUCUCUGCCAUACUUAUCUUAUCAAAUAAAUUGUAGACAUAGAAACUCUAGAAUUGGAGUAGAACCAUACAGAUGUGCACACUAAACACCAGGUAUUAACAGGACAAGGGUGACGUGAACAAAUCUGAUAUUCUUUGGAUAAAAGAUGGAAGAGGAAACAAGCGAAUUCAAUUGUAAAAUCUGAUUAGUGUGUAAUUUGAUUUUGCCGAUGCAACGGAAAGGGCUGUUAGUAUAACAUCUGGAGAGACAAAGGCACACUCUUCUAGUUCUAUGCUCUAUGCGAGUGUUAACAUGAUUAUGUACCUGUAUGUGUGUGCUUGUUCAGUUGGUAUUCUUUUUCACUUGUGUUGGACCGAUCUAUUGGAUAUAAUUAGCUUUAGCUCUAUUUCUUUUUUGUUGUAGAUAUUAUUUACUUAUGAGUUUAUAUCUCCCUUUUAGUUUCUAAAAUUCUAAUUGUUUGACAGAAUCUAUAGCUUGAAAUGCACACAUGCACUGUGUUAUGUAGUAAGCUGGGUAUUUAGGCACAAUAUGAAAUUCAAUGUGAAUAUUGCUAGGGAGAAGUGUUCAUUUCUCUUCAGUUUCUUGCUUACGAGUAAUGACAACUGUUAGUGUAGGGUGGUCUGUUUAAAUUGAGAAGCUAUACAAUGCUGUCCAAUAAUCUGGUAUCCAUACCUCGUUCCAUAAUUCAUGGCCUCUUUGUGAUCUUUAAUUAGCUUUAGAAAAAUUGUUAUGAACAGUCGUAGUUUGCUUUAGUUGAGUACAAUCCUUUGAAAUUAGAAUCUAGGUGUGCCAUUAGUUGAAUUUUCUAUGGCCCUCACAAACUUGGAAGUGAAUAGUUGCUUUUGGCGUGCUGUUUAAAAAUUACCUUCUUAAAUUCGGGUCACCAUUUUAUGCGACUCAAAUCCAAAUCCCAAAAGAUUGAAUAAAAUGUGUUUAGGAUUGCGGGUGCAUUUUAUGUGACGUAAUCCAAAGACAUGUCUUAAACGACAUUCACUUUCUCUUAAAAAUACAUAUUGAAUAAAAGCGAUUAAAAGUAAAACUGGAACAUAGGUUCAUCAUGUAAUAAAAUCAGAUAAAUAAGUUAAAUACGACAGUUGAGAGAUUGUGCUAGAACCACGGAACCCGGGAAUGCCUAACACCUUCUCCCGGGUUAACAGAAUUCCUUAUCCGGAUUUCUGUUUUGCGGAUCAUUAACAACGUCAUAUUUUUUCUCGGUUCGGGAUUCAACCGAUGACUUGGGAAACCAUUAAUCUCCCAAGUGGAGACUAUGAAUAGAUAACAACAAAUCCCAUUUCGAUUGUCCUUUAAUUGGAAAAACUCAUUUACGCCCUUACGGGAUGUAAUGAAAAAGGAGGUGUCACAAACAGAGCUUAAUUUCUCAAAACAAUCGGUCAGGUCUUUACAUCCUCCCCCUCUUAAAACCAAUGUUCGUCCUCGAACGUGCUAAGAUUUACCUCAAAGUCCUCAAGUCAUUGAGUGCACAUUUCCAAAUAUACACCCGUGGGUGAUCCCACGUCAUCCCAAUCCACUUAAACAUGAAGACACCAUCGCAACUGAAAUUUAGCCUCUCUAGUAAUACCAAUAAACCUUCAAGCCAAAAAAUUUCACCUUCCAUCCAUUUCCAAAAGACCUGAUUCUAAAUCCAUAACCGGUAUCAGUCUCAACCUGCUAAUUAAAUACAAGCGAACACAUAUAGGGUACAUCCACACAACAUGACACACUACACAUAGGCUCACAAUAACAUUUCUGGUAGCAAUACUUGCCUGAGAUCAAAUCUGUACCGGCUAUAAAGCCUCAUAUUCAAUAGGAACUCUUUUCAAACCUCCACAACACUGGCGAUGAUACAAUAACCAUAGGCUCACAAUAACAUUUCUGGUAGCAAUACUUGCCUGAGAUCAAAUCUGUACCGGCUAUAAAGCCUCAUAUUCAAUAGGAACUCUUUUCAAACCUCCACAACACUGGCGAUGAUACAAUAACCACGAAAAUGACAUGACAAAACACCCGAUUAACCAAAUCUCAGCCAACACCAACGGGUACACACCCCACAACUAGAACUCAAGAAGCAUAGAAUGAAAAUGAAUGAAUAUGGGGAAGGAAAACACACAAGGGAACUAACAAACAAAUUAAAAUAGCGUAAUUUCUUGUAAAACACAAAUCUACAAGACAUCUAAUAAGAAAGAAUGAAAGCAUAUAAAGGACUUACAAGGAUCUUAUACUGAUAUAACUCUCACCGCGGUACACAGCCUGGUCUCAACAUAUCAAAUCACCUAAAAAAUCACGAGGGUCCCGCCCUCAACACUAGAUCACAAGUAGGGUACACAUCAACCCAUUUAGUGACUCUCACUAGAUCAAUUCUGUUUACAUAUUGCAACAAAAACUGGCUCCCACAACGGCGGAACCUAGAAAUCACAGCUCGUAACUAAGAAUACUCAGAGAUCACAUCAAACCUACCGAAACAGACAAUACGAAUUUACUACUAGCCUUGUACUCUCGACAAUGUCUAGGAACAGACGAUAGACACGGCUAUCACUCAUAAAUCCUCCUAACAUGAUAAUCAUAUAGACAUAAUACAAAUCAAGAAGCGCUCCCAUAAAUGGAACAAUAACAAGGAAACUCAUCCCGAUAAGUAGAACUGUGAUGAACUAGAUAUAUUGCCCUCUAUAACGAACUGAACUCGCACCUGAAUGACAUUAGCUGGCGUGCCGGCCUCAAACCUACUAUAUGAAACACAUCAAUGAGUCGGGCCUCCCCCUCUUAGGCACCCUCUGCCUGCCUGAAUAUCUCGUUGUGAAACAUCGGUCCGAAGUCUAGGACAAUCUCUCCCCAUGUGGCUAGUAUCCCUACAUUCAAAGCACACUCUCUGCUGAUGACACAGUGGGAAUUGUACGGUACGGGUACUCCUAGACCCCUGAACACCUGAAUCACCAUGUAUAGCCUGAAACGUGAACUGAAUUAUAUGACCCAUAAAACUCCUACCAUGACGUACCCUACCUCCAAAACAAGGACGAGUAUACCUCACCGGUCUACUCGCCUCCUCAAGUAUCUCUCCUAAUCUCGUCUACUCUUUCUCUCAUGGUCUUGACUGCCCUCUCUCUGGCAUACCUACACUUUAUCCUCCUAGCAAUGUUCACCACUCGCUGAUAUGAAAUAUCCAUUUCUAACUCACGGGCCAUACCGAACCUGAUGCCAUGAUUUAGCCCCUUAAUGAACCGGUGAACCUACUCGCGAACAGUAGAAACCAAGGCUGAGGCAUGUCUAUCCAAACUGGUGUAUCAGACAACAUACUCCGAGACGGUCAUAGCACCCUGACGUAAAUGCUCAAACUCUGCGUGCCAUGCAUCCCUAAGGCUGUGAAAAACAAACUCUCGCAUGAGCAUAUUUGAAAACUGGGCCCAAGUCAGUGAAGCUGCCUCGUCUGGGCUGUCUAACUAAUAGGUGCGCCACCAGUACUAGGCGGCUUCUCGAAGUUGGAAAGUAGUGAAAAAGGAAGCCCGCUCGAUCCAACAUACCCAUAGUACGAAGAAUGUGAUAACACUCAUAAGGAAAUUCCAGGGCAUCCGUUGAUGCUAAACUACUAAACUCAGGAGGCUUAAAACUCUUAAAUCUCUCAAGUCUCAUCUGCUCCUGCUCGGAAGCCGCUGCCAUGCCCUCGAGCUGAACUGGUGCUGCAGGCAACAUAGGAAUAAUCUCAGGGACCUUCUUUAUAUAUGCUUGCUGCUUAGGAGUGCGGGCGAUGGGAGUCUGUGUUCCUUCCCCGGCUUAGGGUGUAGCUGUAGUAAGUGGAAGUAGUCGUGCCUGAGCCAAAAUGGGGUACGUACUCAUGAACUGUGCCAAAGUCUCCUGAAGGGCUAGAGUAGUAGUAGCUGUAGGCGUGUUAGAUGCUCAGACUCCGGCUGGAUCUGCUGGUGGUACCUCGGUGGCUAUUUUUGCAGGUGCUCUUGCUGCACCAUGUGUGCGUCUUCGAACUCUAGCCCGGCCCUGACCUCCGACGCCUGCAGCAAGGGGCGCGGGUGCCUGAUCACCAUGGGCAGUACGUGUCCUCACCAUCGGUGAGAGAGUGGAAGGCAGAGGUUUAUGAUUGUGGAUGCCAAAAUCUCGCACGACAGGGAAAUCAAAUGAAGUGGAAUUUUUGCUAACAGUUACAUAGCCUCUCGCAGACAAGUACAGAUGUCUCCAUACCGAUCCACGAGACUCUAUUAAAGCGGCUCGUGAUUUGUAACUUCUAUGAGCCUAGAGCUCUGAUAGCAACUUGUCACGAUCCCAGUUUGCCCUCCGUGAACAUGUCGUGACGACACCUAGUCCCUACGAAUAGGUAAGCCUAACUAUGCGGAAUAUACACCAAUUUGCGGAAGAUAAUAAUAAAACUGAAUUAAUGUAAUAAAUCAGUGUUCAAGGUGUCGCCUGGCACAUCCAAUAAGAACUCUCAUAGCUAAUCAAAGUUCCCAAAAUCCGGAAUCUCACAAAUCACAAGCUAAGGGUGACAUAAGAGGCUCUGACUCAAGAAUAUCUAUACAAGGAGAAAUACUGGUAGAACAAUACUUAUUACAGAAAACUGAAAAGGGACUCCUUGAUCUAUGAAAGCAGUAGAUAUAUCUCGACGUCUCAUCGAUACGCCACCAUCCAAAGCUGACAUAACUGAAUGGGGGUACAUGUAUUUGCACAACAAAAGUGUGCAGAAGAGUAGCAUGAGCACACCAUAGAGGUGCCCAGUAAGUAUCAAGACUAACAUCGGUGGAGUAGUGACGAGGAACAGUCAAGAUACCUACCGGUCAAUAAACAGUAUAAUCAUAGGGAUAAUGGAAACGAUAUAUAAUUAUGUAUAGACUGCAUGAAUGACUAAAUGCUAUAACUCACAAUGAAGGAAAAGAGCAAAAAGUAACAACGAGAAUAUAAUAAAUGAUGAUGCGAAAUGACUGCCGAAUCAUAAUCCAAAUCCUAAGGUCACAACACAGCAAGGACAAACAAGUCACUUUAAUUGGUUAAUUUUUUGGGUGACGAGGAACAGUCAAGAUACCUACCGGUCAAUAAACAGUAUAAUCAUAGGAAUAAUGGAGACGAUAUAUAAUUAUGUAAAGACGGCAUGAACGACUAAAAAUUCUAUGAUUCAAAAUACCUAAAAAGGCAACCAGUAACAAUGAGAAAAUAACAAACGAUGAUACAAAUGACGGCAAAAUCCAAAUCUGAAUCCUAUGGUUACAGCACAACAAGGACAAACAAGUGACUAACUCAUUAUUUUGUAAUGAUGCUUACAUAAGGUCUUUUUAUCUCUUUCCACAAUUUUACCAAAAAUCACAUACCAGCCACAACUCAUGAAAACCCAGCAUCUGGAGUGCAACACUUGGCAUCUUGUGCCCCAUCAAUCUCACGGUCAUGUUGACAACUAACUAGUCAACUAGGGCCACUCUCACAUAUUUAAUGGGUAAAUGAUGGCGUAUCUCCAUCGCCAGCUAAUUAGGAAGAAUUCAUCUCUAAUAGGAGUGCCCAAACUACGUGUAUGCUUGUGCAAGUGUAUUUUGACAAUAAUUCUACCAACUAGUAAGUAUAAGAAAUAGAAUGACCAGCACCUGAAUUAUUCACACCCGGAUAAAAUUAAUGAAAAUAUCAGUUCAGAACACAAUGAGUUUAACGGGGGUCUCCCUGGAUAUCGUCCUAUAGUCUAAAACAUAGAUAUGUGUGUUAGGGAUCUCUUGGUAUCUGAAGGUCUCUUGGUAUCCUCAAUAGAUGUACUAGGGAUCUCUUGGUAUCCCGAGGGUCUCUUGGUAUCCUCAAUAUAUGUGAUGGGGAUCUCUUGGUAUCCCGAGGAUCUCCUGGUAUCCUCAAUAUACAUACUAGGGAUCUCUUGGUAUCCCGAGGAUCUCUUGGUAUUCUUAAUAGAUGUACUGGGGAUCUUUUGGUAUCCCAGGGAUCUCCUGGUAUCCUCAAUAUAUAUACUAGGGAUCUCUUGGUACCCUGAGGAACUCUUGGUAUCCUCAAUAGAUAUACUGGGGAUCUCUUGGUAUCCUCAUGUACUGGAGAUCUCUUGGUAUCCUGCACUACAACACAAUCAACAUAGAUGUACAUCCCAAACAAUAGAAUAGCAAUAUCCCAGCAAGGGAGUCAAUAAAAAAAAUAAUGUCCCAGUAAGGGAAUCAACAACAAAAACAAUAAUGUCCUGGCAAUGAAAUCAACAACAAAAACAGUAACAUCCCGCAAGGGAAUCAACAAUAGAAACAAUAACGUCCCUGUUGAUACCCAAUUUUUCUCUAUGUAUUUUCAUACUCAGAAUACUUUCAAAAUAACAUGUAUAUGCAUAUAUAAACAUCCCCAAAGGUUUUGGUAUUUUUUCAAAAAUUUUAAAGAUUUUUAAAACCAAUUUAUGGCAUAUUUUGCACUAUAAAAUCCAAUAGUUAUUCCCAAACUUGUCAUAUUGGUGAAUAAUUUAUUUUAUUCUGACACCCACACAAAACUAUAAUUUACACAAAUUUUAUAUAAUUUUACAAGUCCAUUUUGUAUUUUAAACUAAAAUUGCAUGAAAUUGCAAUUUUAGCCUAUUUCUCGAUUCAAUGGCAAUUUCUAUAACAAAAUCAUUCCCAAUAUUUUUCAAUUAAUACUUACAUAUUUUUAUUAAAUCAGUAUUUUUAAUUUGAUUUUUGAACAUCAUUUACUAUCUUUUUAAAUUCAAAAUUGAGAAAAUUCGCUAUUUAAAUUGUAGCCUCUUUACUUUUAAUUAUAGCCCAAAUAACCCAAAUCCCAGCCCAAUUUAUCCCCUAAUUAAAUGACCCAAUCCCAUCAAUUAUCCGACCCAAACCCAAUCAAAUAAACCCAUUUGGCCGGCCUUUUAAUCUAGGCCGUUGAUCACUUGGAUCAACGGCCAUGAUCCUCCCUUUCCUUUUUAAUUCACUAGCCCACCCCUAACCCUAAUUAUUCUAAUCAGACAGCCGCCCUUGUAUUCCCUCGUCUCUCAAAAUUCUCUUAACCACCCUCCGAAACUCUAGCCUCUUUCACCGGUCUUCGACCUUAUUUCACCGGAAACUAUUGCAUCUCAGACUCUGAGCAGCCUGUACCUAUCCCCACGUACCUCUAUGCUCCUUUUGAUCGAGGUUUCAAAGUCCAACUUCGAAGACCCCGGCUCAGAGUCUUUCCGACUCAAGUUCUAUGGCCUUUUCCGGCUUAUUUCCGGCAAGUCCUAGCCCUGUGAGUUCAUCUCUGACUCAGGACUAGCCCGUUCCAGGCCUUUCUCAUUUUGUAGGGUUUUCUCUGAAGCCCUCUCGAGGUUUUCUUUGUUUCUCUCUGAGAUCUACUUCAGAUCCGUGCUAUUUUCUAAGAUUUUAAAGUAUCUUUCACAUCUUUUUGAUUUUUUAUUUUCAAAACUAUUCAUCUUUAUAAAAUUUAGGGUUUCCGUGAUUUUUUUACUUGUUCUACUGCAAUCUCUUGUGUUUUUACUUUGCUAAGUGUUUUCACGGUAGUUUUCUGUGUAUUUUCCUAGGGUUCUAAAGAUUUCUUUUACUGUGUUUACUUUCAUGAACUGUCUGUAUUCUUUGGGUUUUCCUGAGUUUAUUUUGACUGAUCUUCUAUGCUUCGUCUUUGCAUGUAAGCUAUGGGGAAAAACCCUAAAUUUUGGGGGUUCUCAACUAUUUGUGCACGAUUGUUUGAUUAUUGUGCUGCUUCUUGUCUGAUUUCAAAAUCCUAAAUUCGACUCGUGUUUCUGAUUUGCUAAGCUUUGCAAGACCUUUAAUGUCUCGCAUGUUUAUGUUCUUCUAUUUGAUCACAUGACCACACUGUUCGUUUGAUUCUAGCCUCGCAUGUUUAACUUUAUGCACUCUUUAUAAUCAGACCUUCACUCUCAAAAUAACCCUAAUUUUUAUGGAUCGGUUUCAAAUCAUUAUUAUGUAGGCCUGAUUGAUUAUUUCCUUGUCUGAUUUGGACUUGUUUUCUGACUUAAUUCUUUAUUAAGUUCGAAUCUUUGAUUCCUGAUUUACUAUGUGAUUGAUUGAUUUUACCUUUACCUUAUUUAUCUAAUCGUGUAUUUUUUAAAAGAUUCUCCUAUGUAUUUACCCGUUAUUGCACCAUGUAUUAUUAAUUUUCUUUCCUUAAAUACAACUCUGCCCUCUACUAUUCAAAUUUAAAUUCCUUAAUUAAAGGAAUUCCCCUCUUCUAAUUGAUUCUAAUUGGUAUUGAAUUAUAUUUUGCCUUACUUACCACAUGUUUUCAAACUAUAAAUACCCUACUCCUUCUUUUCAAACUCACGAACAACUGAGUUCAAAAAAUACACACACUCAAAGCCCUCUCUUCUUUACUUGUGCUAUUGUCCUGGCUAGCCGGCUGAAAGCCAAGGCUAGACGUUGGAAUCUCUUUUGCUUUCCUCAAGUGUUUGUUGAAGGCUUUCUGGCGGUUUUACUGCUCUAUUUAUUUUUUUAUUUGGAAUUUGCAAAUGUUAGGUCUCUACAAUUUAAAUACUGUUAUCCAAAACUAUGUGUUUACUUCUCCCUUUUACAUGACCUUUCCACUACGUGUUUUCUGGUACUAAAUGACUAUACAUUAGUCUGUCAUGCCUUUCUUCAUGCUUCUGCAUCUUUAUGUGAUGUUAUGCUUGUCCUAUGUUUUCAUGUGAUCCCAUUCCCUUUAACCCCUGUUUUUAUAUGAGUAUUGGUUCUAGGUAGGGGGUAGCACCCUAUUGCUAUCCCCGACCUGGGACCAGGUUCUUUUGAACCUUUACUCAAAACAGUCCUCAUUCCCUUAACCCCCUUUAUGUGUUGAGCGUUGACUAGGGUCUAGUGGUGUCCUAUUCAUCACCCAUGCCUCUAUCUGACUUCUAAAAAGUCUGCUCUUUUAUUUGCUUAAAUCAAGUAAAGGGUUAGGGGUGUGCCAGUCUUACCCAUGGCUUGGUAUGACCACCCUUUACUUUGGUUUCCUUGUUAUGAUAUGUUUGUCCUAUUCCCCUUUUUGAUGUUUAUGCUUUCAUGUGAUCCCAUUCCUUUUAACCCCUAUUUAUAUAUGAGUAUUGGUUCUAGACUGGGGGUAGCACCCUAUUGCUAUCCCCGACCUGGUACCGGGUUCUUUUUAACCUUUACUCAAAUCAGUCCCCAUUCCCUUAACCCCCUUUAUAUGUUGAGCCUUGACUAGGGUCUGGUGGUGUCCUAAUCAUCACCCAGGCCUCUGUCUGACUUCUAAAAGUCUUCUCUUUUAUUUGCUUAAAUCAUGUAAAGGGUCAGGGGUGUGCCAGUCUUACCCAUGACUGGGUAUGACCAUCCUUUGCUUUGGUUUCCUAUAAUCCCCUCACUCUACACUCAUUCUUAGUUUAUUAAGUUCUGCCCCCUAUGGUAAGCCAUGCUGAGGGACCCUAUAGUUCCCUCUGAACUUGGAUGCCUAAGGGCUGGUAAUUCCACACAUUGCACUACUUUGUUACCACAUUCAAUCUUUAGGGCGUAAGCAUUGCUUGGGCUUCCUGAAAGCCCUUGGAACUUUGAAACACUUGAAGGCCUUAGAAUCUCGAAUUCGGAUCUGGUGAAACACAUGUUAUUGGGUAUUAAGAUUGAAUUAGUCUUCUCGGAUCUAGGUGUAGGCUGUAAUGUAUUUUGUUUAUUUUUCUUUUGGUUCUGUAACAAUCUUGUAAAAGAAUUUUGGUAAAUGUUAGUAAAAGGUAUGGGAUGGAUUUAUAUUACUUGCAUAAGUCAAUAGGUAGAAAUCAUGCUUAUAGGAAUAUUUCAAAUCAUUCAAAAGUCAUGCCUAUAGGACUCUAAUAUUGCAAAUUAUUUAGAAAUCACGUCUAUAAGGCUCUAAUAUUGCAAAUCAUUUAGAAAUCAUGCCUAUAUGACUCUAAUAUGGCAGAUCAUCUAGAAAUCAUGCCUAUUGCACUUUAAUAUUGCAUACCAUUUAGAAAUCAUGGCUAUAGGACUUUGCAUUGUAAGCACGAUAGAGGUCAUGCCCAUAGGAAACACAUAAAAGGCUAGGCAAACAGUAGGUUCCCUAAUGUUCUAAAAAGCAGUAACGAGUCAUAAGAAAAGACAUCAUGCCUAUAGGAAUUCAAACGCGCCUAAUAUGAGUGAUAAUCUGUCAGUUAGCCUCAAACGCUUUCAACAAAAAAUUUGUCCAAACAUGUCUGCUUUUGAAACCUGUCCAAGUCCGUCUGUUUGAACAUUUCUAUAAUGUCCUUAAAACCCCAACUUACAUCUUUAUUCUGAAACCAACCCCCUUAGUUUUCUGUCUAAAUUUUUACUUAAGCGCUUUGCAAAUAACGCCUCUUUACAACUUUACUUAAGCAGUUCGGCUAAUUUGCAAGCCAUCUCUAAACUUCUGCAAAUUUCAAUUUUCUGUUUCAAAACUCUUCUGUACAGGCUCUUGUCUAAAAUUAGUGCAUUCUGAAUCACUUGUUUUAAUAAUACCUUAAGUUCUGACAAUUGGAUCCAGGUUGCCUAAUGCGGACUUGUUGUCCAACUCUAUAUCUUAAGGUGAUUCGUCCGCCUCUUAACUGCUUAAUUUUAAAGACCAAACCAGUACGUGUAAGUCAUGCUAAACUAAUUAUUGUCUGAUCUACGGGGUCAUGUAUGAGCAUUUGAGUGUUUUAUUUGUAUACCAGUAUUUGUUAUUUGUUUUGAUUGACGUCUUAGUAUUUUGUCCUUUCAAACUCCAUAUAUGCCCCAUCCCUUUCUCCCAUCUAGGAUUAGAAGUAUAAAUACCCCAGGACUGAUAGGUUGGGACGGGUAUUAGCAUGCAAUAGGUAAACGAGACUAAUCGCGCUUAAAUACAUUAAUGGAGUGGGAAGGGUUGAAUAUGUGAUGAUGGUGCGCUAAUAUCUCGUGUGAGAAUGAUUGCUGGGUAUUGCACCGAAUGAUCUAUAUUCUAGUUAAACCUAGGACCAUCUCUCUUUAUUUAAAUGUUUUCUUCUAACUGAAACUCUCUUUUGCUUGUGCCAUUCUUCUUUCAAAAAUUGUCGACUUGCUUGUACUUCUAAUGUGAAAACUUUGCUUGUCUACUCCUACUCUUCUUAUAGUCACAACUAAGCAAGGCCGGGAAACACAUUAGUAGAUCUUGAGGGGUGCCUAACACCUUACCCUCGAGAUAAUCUCAAGCCCUUACCCAAACUUUGAUUUUCUUUCAAAUCCUUCUUCUUUUCUCUAAAAGUGUCCUAAUGCACUAUAAUCAUUAAGUGGAGACUCUUCAAAUUCCAUAGCAAAAUUCCCCCAAAAGGGGAUAAAAGAGUCAUUACACCCAUAAUAUCGUAAACUCGAUUUCUCUCUCCCUGGGAGGAAAAAGGGGGCGUCGAAAGCAUGGCGAUUCUGUUGGGGAUUUUCUUUAGGCUUUUACCAUUACAUACUACUUGUGACUUUAUUGUCUCUUUAAUUGCAUUUACUUACCGUCUUUAUUUCCUCUACUACGAAACUGACUUGGCUCUUCAUGUUUUCUUUUCCAUUAAAUUUCCGCUUUUACUACCUUAUUAUUUCAAUUCUGUUGUAAUUUUCGAGCAUUUAUUAUAAUCUUUAUUUUUAUGAACGUGAAAAUACAUGCAACUUGCUUCAUUAUUGUAACUGCAUUUCUCCUUUAGUUCUUUAUUAUUUUAAUACUGUUGUAAUUUCUAGCAUUUAUUGUAAUCAUUUAUCUUAUGUACGUUAAAAUACAUGUCAAUUUGUUUCAUUCUUGUAAUUUCAUUUUCGACAUCAUACCCCACUCGUGCCAAAACAAAUACUAUAAAAAUGUUUACAAUAAGUGGUUGCACACUUCCAAUACUAUUACAACCUAAAUUUGGCAAAGGCAUAUUUGCGGUAAAACCAAACGAUCAACGGUGUAGUCGACUGUUUCGCGCCUUUCCCUCUUGAGUUAUCCGCUCAAGGGUACCUUGUCUCGCACUUCAAAGUAGAAACCUUAUUCCAUUAAAGUGUUCAUGCAUCAUGGUCAAGCCUAGCCGAGUCAGUUAUGUUGUCCGCAUAAUGACUCAUUAAGAUAGCCUAAACCAAAUUCCACCGGGUUUCCUCAAAGCCCAAACGGACGCCUCCACGUAUGCAUUUAUUUGGAGAACUAAAUGCCUUUUGCUAAUUAUUGAUUUAAACGGUCGAGUCUGGUGGGGUUAAGGGCCUAACACUUUGUUUUGCAAAAAAUGAGGCACGAAGUCCCCAGAUUCGGUAUGGUAUCCAACAUUCACCCGAGGUUGCUAAGUUGGUGGGAAGAUUUUCAUGCUAGCGAUUAUAUGCUAUUAGGAAUGCGCGAGCUGAUGCAGGUGUAUGAGGGAGGCAAUAGUACCGAAUCUGGGGAAGGUCCUUAUGGGACCAAGUAUUUAGGAUUUUUACUUUCUAGCUUUCUUAAUGUAAUAAGGCCACUGGCCAUUAGUGAUGUCUUUAUCAUUUAGUUGUUUUUAGACUCCUUUUGUUUUUAACAAUAAAAUGAGGCAUUUACUAUUAUAAGUUCUCCAAAUUUAACUUGUCGCUAGGCCUACCUCGGGCACAAUGAGGCACCCAAAUUAGGAAGCGAUUUAUAUNNNNNNNNNNNNNNNNNNNNNNNNNNNNNNNNNNNNNNNGAGCUUAAGAAGCCAACAGUUACUCUCAAUUUUAUAUUCUCGAACAAUGUGUUUAAAUAUUGCAAUAUUAUUUAUCACAAUCCGCACUAACUUUUUACCUUUUUGUUUUUCUUUUAUUUUUACUCCCCUCCCCAAAGGUUAGUUCGUCCAUUCUCGCACCAUCAGCGUAGUCCACAAGAUCCAAAGGUCCUCCACCUCAUCCUCCAAGUCCUACCAAAAACAGGAACAAAGGCAAAAUGGGAGAUACAAGCGCUAGAAAGGAACUUGAAGAAACUUCUCAGAAUGCUGCAAUCACCAAAGAGACUGCUGCUCAUCUGGAGCAAACUUUGUUAAGAUUCAGAGAGGAAUUGGACCAAGUUAGAAACUUGGCAAGCAUGUCAAUAACCCUUGCCGCUCGCGAUGUUAACACUCAGAACCCAGCACCACCACAAAACAUCCCACAACCUCCAAUGCAACCCACUCAUAACACUCCACUGCACAUCCCUGAACCACGAAACACCACAAAAGACCAUAACACCCCAAUAUUUUUGGACACUAUGUUGCAUUACAGUCAGUCAAUCACCAGUGCAGUCGAGUCAGAUGACAAGAGCUCCCUCAUUCAGAAUUUGGGUGCUGAGAUCAAGAAGUUGACUAGCCGAGUCCAAGGUUUCGAAGGUAUCAAAGGUGUUGAAGGGUUGAAUUGCAAAGAUCUCUGUGUUUAGCCAGAUGUUGAGCACCCGGAGGGGUACAAACCUCCCAAGUUCGAAAUGUUCGAUAGCAUAGGUGACUCCAGGGUCCACUUGAGAAUGUAUAGUGACAAGUUAGUAGGAGUCGGAGGGGACGAGAAGAUCCGCAUGAAGCUGUUCAUGAGGAGUUUGAAGGGUGAUGCUUUAUCUUGGUAUAUUAGCCAGGAUGUGAAGAAAUGGACUAGUUUGGUGAACAUAGCAUCUAACUUUAUGGAUCGGUUCAGGUUCAACACUGAGAACGCACUAGAUAUGUUCUAUAUCCAGAAUCUCAAGAAGAAGCCCAUAGAGACCUUUCACGAGUAUGCUACUCGUUGGAGGUCAGAAGCUGCUAAGGUUAGACCGGCCUAGGAGGAAGAACAAAUGAACAGGUUCUUCGUCCGUGAUCAGGAUCCGCAGUACUACGAGAGGCUGAUGCUAAUAGAGGGCCAAAAGUUCUCCGAUAUCAUCAAGUUAGGAGAAAGGAUUUAAGAAGGCAUCAAAAAUGGUAUGGUCACUGACCUCGAGACAUUGCAAGCUACCAACAAGGCUUUACAGUCUGGUGGCUCAUCGAAGAAAAAGGAUGUGAAUUCUGUAAUGGCUGCGCAAAGGAAGAACUCCCAUAUGAAGUACCAAACCUAUCCCUUUAGCUCCACUCUCAUAUCAACCUACCCUAAGCUACCAAGCACCAUUACCCGCUUACCAAAUUCCACCACCUGCAUACCAAUCACCUCCACCACCCACAUAUCAGCCCACCUCACAUAGAUAUUCCCAACCCGCACCUGUAUACCAAGCAUAUAACUCCCAACCUUCUCACUACACAUCACCUCUCACCCGCCAGGACUUCCCUCGACCUAGACCAAACUUCGACCACAAACCUAACCACUAUAAUUGAGCUAAUUGAACAAUUAUAUGAAAAACUCAAAGCAGCUGGUUACGUUACCCCUAUCCAAGCCGUAACUCCAGAAAACCCUUCCUAGUGGAUCAACCUAAACAAGACUUGCACAUACCAUUUUGGGAUGAAAGGCCAUACCAUCGACGAGUGUCGCUCGUUGAAAGACAAGAUUCAAAAUCUGAUNNNNNNNNNNNNNNNNNNNNNNNNNNNNNNNNNNNNNNNNNNNNNNNNNNNNNNNNNNNNNNNNNNNNNNNNNNNNNNNNNNNNNNNNNNNNNNNNNNNNNNNNNNNNNNNNNNNNNNNNNNNNNNNNNNNNNNNNNNNNNNNNNNNNNNNNNNNNUCCGCUCCUAAUGUCCACAACAACCCUCUGCCUGACCACAAGAGUGGAGGCAUCCACAUGAUCCAGAUCGAAGAUGAUUGGGACCCCAAGGGGUCAAUCUGUUUGAUAGCUGAAGGAGACGAGCUUAAGAAGCCAACAGUUACUCUCAAUCCUAUUGUUGUCCAGAUUCAGCCCCCUGAGGGAGAUGUGGUAAAUGUGUCCGUACCACUUGAGUUUGAAGCACCUUCUGCAAAAGCGCCAAAACCAAUUGAGGUUGAGUUCGAGGUUCCAAAGGCGCCUACAGCGUUUGAAGUUACUUUGUUACCUUGGCACCAAUUUCAGUCUCCAUGAUAAACGUAACCCCGUUUAAGACAAACGCUAUACCUUGGGAUUACACUGCUGAGGCUAGAAGGAAGGGAAAGACAUAUACUAGGGAAGCAAUUUCCACACAGAGCAUGACCAGGACAGGUAGGGUGUACACCCCGAAACACUUGGCUGAGUCCAGCAAGCAGGCCUCCGGGCAGGCUGUUGAAACUGGACCCAAUGAUAUUUGGAGGAAGGUACAGGACAAAGAGUACUCAAUCCUCGAGCAACUGAACACAACGCCAGCACAGAUUUCUAUUCUGGCUCUUCUGCAAAGCUCUAAGGCACAUAAAAAUGCCUUAAUGAAAAUAUUGAGUGAAGCUUAUGUUCCCAGCNNNNNNNNNNNNNNNNNNNNNNNNNNNNNNNNNNNNNNNNNNNNNNNNNNNNNNNNNNNNNNNNNNNNNNNNNAAUAUUGAGUGAAGCUUAUGUUCCCAGCAACAUAACAGGAGGCGAAAUGGCCAAUAUGGUGGGGCAGGUACUGGAAAGCCAUAAGAUCACCUUCUACGAGGACGAAUUAUCACCAGAAGAACUUGGUCACAACAAGGCGUUGCACAUCACUGCGCAAUGCGAGGAUUAUUUUAUCACCAGGAUUUUAGUCGACGGGGGAUCCAGCCUCAACAUUUGUCUAUUAAUAACUCUCAGGACAUUAGAAAAAGGACUGCAUGAGAUCAAAUACGAAGCUAUUGGUGUCAAAGCUUUUGAUGGAUCUCAGAGAUCCACUAUUGGAGAAAUUAGCCUAUGCCUAUAGAUGGGACCCACCUGGUUUGAUGUUGAGUUCCAAGUCAUUGACGUACCAGCAUCCUAUAAUUUGUUGCUUGGACAACCUUGGAUCCACGCUGUUGGGGCUGUGGCUUCAACUUUGCAUCGGACUGUAAAAUUUGAAUGGAAUCAUCAGGAAGUAAUCAUCCAUGGAGACGGUAGAAACCCUAUAUAUAGCCGCCAGGCCAUACCGACGAUCGGAGGUAGAAGGAAAAUCGGUGGAGAAACAUACCAUCACAUCGAGCGAGUCAACGCCAUAGACAAAGACAAGUGGUGGGAUAACAAAAUUGAAAGAAUUCUGAAUUGGAGUGGAUACGAGCCCGGAAAGGGCUUGGCAAGAAUAUCCAGGGCAUCACCAAGCCUAUCCAGUUGGAGAAGCAUGGAACUACUUUUGGCCUAGGUUAUGAAUACACUUGGGAGGAGUUCAACGACUGGUCGAAACCAUGGUGCGGUCCCUACUACCCACUGGAGCACCCUCUACCUCAAUUAGAGUAGACUUUUCAGCCACCGGAUGUAAUAUACGGAUCAGAGGUGCGGACCAUACUACCCGCUGGAGCACCCUCUACCUCAGUGGGAGCAGACUUUUCAGCCGGAUGAUGUCAUAUAUGGAUCAGAGGAAGACGAGACACUGGCAGCAAUGAAGCAUCUGUUUCUAGAGGAUAAUAUGGAUUGCUGUGUUAUCUUCGAGGAGGAACGAGAGGAAGGCCCUUCCAUUCAAGCUGUGAACCGAGGAGAACACCUCACCAAUUGGUCAAUAAGGACCACCAGUGCCCGAAGAGCCUCGGGGUGGCAAGGCUAAGUGACGCAUAUGCAUUACACUUUACUUUUAGUUGUUUUUACUUUUCCGUAUUGUCUUUACUUUUGAAAAGAGCUCCAAUGUUUCAGACAAUUAUGACUUUAAUCAAAAUCAUUUUUCAAGCUUAUCUUUGUAUUUCGCUCUCAUUUACUUUCUCUACCAUUUACUUUAUUUUACACAUCAUUACUAUUACAUAUCUUGAUGAUGAACCAACGGGUGUAACUUGCAACGAGACAAUACGACAAACAGACAUAGAUUCAGAAGAGGACGAAAUACUAGAAGAGAUUGUCAGGGAGGUCGAGAAUUUUGAGAACAGGCCUAAGUCUAACUUAGAUGAAACUGAGGUCAUUAGUUUGGGAGAUGCAGAAAAUGUCAAGAAAACACAUAUCAACGUACACUUGUCACCAUCAGAAAAGAAAGAGUAUACAGAGCUUUUAAUAGAAUAUGAGGGUAUAUUUGCCUAUUCGUAUGAUGACAUGACCGGUCUUAGCACAUCCAUUAUGGCUCACAAGCUGCUGACAGAUCCGGCGUUCCCACCGGUCAAACAGAAACUCAAAAAGUUCAAGCCAGAUGUGAGUUUGAAAAUCAAAGAAGAGGUUACCAAGCAGGUCAAAGCCAGGGUGGUAGAGUAUCCAACAUGGUUAUCCAACAUUGUGCCGGUACCAAAGAAGGAUGGGAAGGUUAGAGUCUGUGUCGACUACCGGGAUCGAGGUUACCAAGCAGGUCAAAGCAAGGAUUCUCAGAGUGGUAGAGUAUCUAAGAAAGGAUGGGUAGGUUAGAGUAUGUGUCGACUACCGAGAUCUCAACCGGUCUAGUCCUAAUGAUGAUUUCCCUUUGCCAAAUAUACACAUAUUGAUCGAUAACUGCGCUAAACAUGAGCUGCAGUCAUUCCUUGAUUGUUUUGCUGAAUACCACCAGAUAUGGAUGGAUGAAGAAGAUGUAGAGAAAACGGCAUUCAUCACGCCGUGGGGAAUGUACUGUUACAGAAUGAUGCCGUUUGGUUUAAAGAAUGCCAGUGCUACCUACAUGAGGGCCAUGACCGCUAUCUUUCAUGACAUGAUACAUAAAGAAAUCGAGGUGUAUGUGGACGACGUCAUCAUCAAAUCCAAGAAAGCUGCAGAUCACAUGGGAGAUUUGAGAAAAUUCUUCAACAGACUGAGGAGAUACAACUUGAAACUGAAUCCUGCCAAGUGUGCAUUCUGGGUUCCACUGGAAAAUUAUUGGGUUUCAUUGUGAGACGUUGGGGAAUAAAACUGGACCCAUCAAAGGUCAAAGCCAUUCAAGAGUUGCCACCACCAAAGAGCAAGAAGGACGUGAUGAGUCUUCUGGGGAGACUCAACUAUAUCAGCCGAUUCAUAGCCAGUCCACUGUCAUUUGUGAACCCAUCUUCAAGAUGCUAAAGAAGGAUGCCGCCACUAAACGGACUGAGGACUGACAAAACGCUUGUGAUAGAAUAAAGGAAUACUUGUCCACUCCGCCGGUCUUGGUUCCACCCGAGCCAGGGAGACCUCUAUUGCUUUAUCUUGCAGUAUUGGAUGGGGCAUUUGGUUGUGUUUUGGGAUAACAUGAUGAAACAGGAAAAUGAAGCAAGCCAUCUACCACCUCAGCAAGAAGUUUACCCCGUACGAGGCUCGGUAUUCCUUAUUAGAGCGCACUUGCUGUGCUCUAACUUGGGCAGCGCAGAAAUUGAGGCACUAUUUUUGUGCUUACACCACUUAUAUCAUAUCCAGGAUGGAUCCAUUGAAGUAUAUCUUCAGAAGCCCAUGCCUACCAACAAGUUCGCCAAGUGGCAAGUACUGUUAAGAGAAUUUGAUGUUACCUAGAAGGAAGUCAAAUGACAAGCCUUGGCAGGUCACCUCGCCGAGAAUCUUGUAGGAGGAGAAUACGAACCUCAGAAGAUGUAUUUUCCUGAUGAAGAGAUAGCCUUCAUAGGAGAAGACAUUGCAGAACCCUAUGACGGUUGGAGGAUGUUUUUCGACAGAGCCGCAAAUUUCAAAGGGGUUGGUAUAGGAGCGGUCUUGGUAUCAGAAAUCGGUCAGCAUUACCCAGUAUCUGCCAAGCUCAGAUUCCCGUACACCAACAACAUGGACGAGUACAAAUCCUGCAUCCUAGGGCUCAAGCUGGCAAUUGACAUGAACAUUCAGGAACUAUUAGUGAUCGGAAACUUGGACCUACUCAUACAACUGGUUCGAGAAGAAUGGGCAACCAAUAACUCCAAAAUACUCCCCUAUUUGCAUCAUGUACAGGAGUUGAGGAAAAGAUUCAGAAAGGCAAAAUUUCAGCAUGUUCCCAGAAUACAGAAUGAGUUCGCCGAUGCCUUAGCCACUUUAUCGUCUAUGAUCCAGCAUCCUGAUACAAACUUUAUUGACCCCAUCCAGGUCAAGAUUCACGACCAGCCAGCUUAUUAUGCUCACGUCGAGGAAGAAGGCGACGGGAAACCUUGGUUCCACGAUAUGAGAAAAUACCUGACAACAGGAGAGUAUCCAGAGCUUGCCAAUGCUACUCAGAAACAAACACUUCGGAGAUUGUCCAACAACUUCUUUCACAACGGAGGAAUCCUAUAUAGAAGGACUCCUGAUUUGGGAUUCUUAAAAUGUGUCGAGGCAAGAGAAGCGACCAGACUAUUGCGGGAAGUGCACGCGGGAACCUGCGGACCACAUAUGAAUGGUUUUGUGUUGGCGAAGAAGAUUCUUCAAGCAGGAUAAUUUUGGAUGACUAUGGAAACGAACUGCAUCCAGUAUGUCCGAAAAUGCCACCGUUGUCAAAUACAUGCAGAUAUGAUAAAGGUACCUCCAAAUGAGCUUACUGCAACAAGCGCGCCAUGGCUAUUCGUCGCUUGGGGAAUGGAUGUCAUUGGACCAAUUGAACCAGCUGCGUUAAAUGGGCACAUGUUCAUCCUAGUGGCAAUUGAUUACUUCACCAAAUGGGUUGAGGCAGCAUCAUACAAGGCAGUCACCAAGAAGGUAGUAAUAGAUUUCGUCCGUGAUCGUAUGGUCUACCAGUUCGGGGUUCCGGAAUCAAUCAUCACCGACAAUGGUUCUAAUCUCAGUAGCGACGUGAUGAAGGCAAUGUGUGAAAAAUUCAAGAUUAAACACAAGAACUCUACGACUUACGGACCUCAGAUGAAUGGAGUUGUAGAAGCAGCCAAUAAGAACAUCAAGAAGAUACUAAGGAAGAUGAUCGAAAAUCACAAGCAGCGGCAUGUGAAGUUGUCGUUCACCUUAUUGGGAUAUCGUACCACUAUUCAAACAUCAACUAGAGCCACUCCCUACAUGGUGGUUCAUGUUACAGAGGCAAUCAUCCCCGUGGAGGUAGAAACUCCUUCCCUGAGGGUCAUACAAGAAGUAGAGUUAGAGGAUGCAGAAUGGGUCAAGAGUCGCUACGAGCAGUUAGCCCUCAUAGACGGGAAGAGAAUGAAUGCCGUCUGUCAUGGUCAAUUAUAUCUGAAUAGAAUGUCCAGAGCCUUCAACAAGAGAGUCAAGCCAAGGAAGUUCACGCCAGGACAGUUGCUAUUAAAAAAAAUAUUUCUGCAUCAAGAUGAAGCCAAAGGGAAAUUCUGUCCCAAUUGGCAGGGUCCAUACAUGGUUCAUCAGGUUCUAACUGAAGGAGCCCUUAUUCUCGCAGAAAUGGACAGAGAAGUCCAGCCGAAGCCUAUCAACUCAUACGCAGUGAAAAGAUACUACAUUUGAUCAUAUGCUUUUCUUUCAUGAUGUAUUUUGAACUACGCCUGACCUGAUUCUCGUUUAAGAGGGGAUACGUAUACAACCCUAUGGGUUCGGUCACAUCUUAAUAAAAAAAUUCCAUCUUUCCCCCGCAAUUAAAACUGGGGUAGAAUUUUGAGAAGGACCCUCAAAAUUUCGAAGUAAGUUUUUAGUCUUUUCAUCAGCACCGACACAGUAAACUGGGGAAAAAUUUUAAGGGGGGCCCUCAAAAUUCUGGGAUUGUUCCGCGUUCAGUUAUCCAGCAUAGCCGUUGGCAGUGCUAACCCAAUAAACUGGGGCAGAAUUUUGAGGAGGACCCUCAAAAUUCUGGAGCAAGCAAUGUCGCCGCGUCUUGAACCACGUUGCAGUCGUUGGUUCAUCCAAAAUAAAAUCAUUAUAUAUAUAUAUAUGUACUUGCAUUAUAUUUACUAAGUCAUGUAUAAGCAUCAUUUGCAUCACAAUCGUUUAGCAACGCUACCCCUUAUACGCGAUGCUAAGAGCUGGAGGAUACGAACUAACCUCCCCUUUGCAAAACUCACAAUUUUUCUUUGGAUGCAGGAAUUCAGGCCACGAAUCAAAGUACAUUCGCUCUUCAGAAUCGAAACCCUCCAAAGGGUCACUAUCCACACCCAAGACUCCCCAGCAGUCCUAAUAUCGUAAAUCAUCUAUCAGCUAAGAAAACUUACUACUAUUCGUUCUUUUACAUUCUUGCAUUGCAUGAGGCUAUCCUCUGCCUUUCGAGGUUAAGCUCUACCUCCAUAUAACCGAAAGCCUCAAAAGGGGUCACUAUCCGAACUCAAAACUCCCCAGCAGUACCGUCUACCAGCUAAGAAAACUUACUAAUAUUUGCUCUUUUACAUUCCCUCAUUGCAUAAAGCUACUAUCUGCCUUUCGGGACUAAGCUAUGUCCCCAUUUGCAUUUUGCGUAAGGCUAUUCUCUACCUUCCAAGGUAAAUCUCUACCUCCAAAUUGCAUAAGGCUACUCUCUGCCUUUCGAGACUAAGCUCUGUCUCCAUCUACGUUUUUGCAUUAGGCUAUUCUCUACCUUCCGAGGUUAAGUUCUACCUCCAUAUUGCAUAAGGCUACUAUCUGCCUUUCGAGGCUAAGAUUUGUCUCCAUCUGCAUAAGGUUAUUCUCUGCCUUUCGAGGUUAAGCUCUACCUCCAUAUUGCCUGAGGCUCCUAUCUGCCUUUCGAGACUAAGCAUUGUCUCCGCCCUGCAUGGCCGAAAUAUCGCCGUAUUAUUUUAUUGACUAAUUGAAACAUCGCCAUCUGUAUUUCAAAUUCUCAUUCGGCUGAAAUAUCGCCACCUGCUUUUUAAUUUGUCGCUCUGGUUGAAUGAUUGCCAUCCUUUGCAUUCAUCUAGCUGAAAGAUCGCCACCCUUUGCAUUCAUCUGGCUAAAAGAUUGCCACCUUCUCAUGGGCAGAAAGAUCGCCAACUCGUUAAAAGGCGUCGUAGUUCGAAGGCACCACCUGCAUAACCUGAGAACAUCAUUUCAUAGCCUGCGAACCCUUACUUUUGCGCUCGUCAUGGACCAAGACAUCAUAGUCUGAGGAUAUCAUCCUAAUCGUCUGAAGACAAACAUUCAUGGUCCAAUGGGAACUUGCAUCACGUUUAAAUUACGCAAUAUAUACGCACAUCACCCAUUUACAGGUACUCCAGCUGGCUCACAUCCGUCUCAGUGGGAGCGAUCCCUCUCCAGUUCUCCACAGCCUGUCCGAUUCCAAGCACCCUCUCAGGUCUAAUCAUCGCAUUAGUCUUUUUGAAUUUUCAUCGGCAUAUUUCGUCAACGGAUCCUGAACAACAUAUGGCCUGAUUCCUGUAAAACCAGGGAUAUGUAGGAAGCUCAGAAUCCAGAGCAUAGUCAAAUCCGUUUACAAUCGCCGUCUCCGGUCAAAAUUGGCCAUCUCAUCUUUACCCGAUAACUCUUUUAUCCUCCUCGGGUAAAGAGGGGCAACUGUUGAUACCCAAUUUUUCUCUAUGUACUUUUAUACUCAAAUUAAUUUUAAAAUAACAUGUAUAUGCAUAUAUAAGUAUCCCAAAGGUUUUGGUAUUUUGUCCAAAUUUUUAAAACUAAUUUAUGGCCUAUUUUGCACUAUAAAAUCAAAUAAUUAUUCCGUGAAUAACUUAUUUCAUUCUCACAUCACAUUAAAAUAUAAUUUACAUGAUUUUUAUAUAAUUUUACAAGUUGAUUUGGUAUUAUAAAGUAAAAUUGCAUGAAAUUACAAUUUUAGCCUAUUUCUCGAUUUAAUGGCAUUUUCAAUCACAAAAUCAUUCCCAAUAUUUUUAACUUAAUACUUACGUAUUAUUUAUUAGAUAAAUAUUUUUAAUUUGAUUUUUAACGUCAUUUACUAUUUUUGUAAAUUCAAAAGGGGAAAAAUUGGCUAUUUAAAUUGUAGCCUCUUUACUUUCAAUUAUAGCCCAAAUUAAACCCAAAUCCCAGCCCAAUUUAACCCCUCAUUAAAUGAACCAAUCCCACGAGUUACCCGACCCAUACCCGAUCAAAUAAACACACCUGGUCGGCCUUUUAAUCUAGGCCGUUGAUCACUUGGAUCAACGACCAUGAUCCUCCCUUUCCUUUUUAAUUCACCAGCCCACCCCUAACCCUAUUCAUUCUAAUCAAACAACCGCCCUUGUAUCCCCUCAUCUCUCAAAAUUCUCUCAACCACCCUCCGAAGCCCUAGCCCCUUUCACCGGGCUCCGAUAUUAUUUCACCGGAAACUAUGGCUUCUCAGACCCUGAGCAGCCUGUACCUACCUCCACGUACCUCUAUGAUCCUUUUGCUCGAGGUUUCAGAGUCCGACUUUGAAGACCCCGGCUAAGAGUCUUUCCGAUUCAAGUUCUAUGGCCUUUUCCGGCUCAUCUCCGGCAAAUUCUAGCCCUGUGAGUUCAUCUCUGACUCAGGACUAGCCGGUUCCAGGCCUUUCUCAUUUUCUAGGGUUUUAUCUUAAACCUUGAGCCCUCGAGGUUUUCUUUGUUUCUCUCUAAGAUCUUCUUCAGAUCCGUGCUAUUUUCUAAGAUUUUAAAGUAUCUUCCAGAUCUUUUCGAUUUUUUGUUUUCAAAACUAUUCAUCUUCUUAAAACUUAGGGUUUCCCUGGUUUUUUACUUGUUCUACAGCUAUCUCUUGUAUUUUUACUUUGCUAAGUGUUUUCACUAUGGUUUUCUGUGUAUUUUCCUAGGGUUUCUAAAUAUUUUUUUUACUGUGUUUGCUUCCAUGAACUGUCUGUGUUCUUUGGGUUUUCCUGAGUUUAUUUUGACUGAUCUUCUAUGCUUCAUCUUUGCAUGUAUGCUGUGGGGAAAAACCCUAAAUUUUGGGGGUUUUCAACCAUUUGUGCACGAUUAUUUGAUUCUUGUGCUGCUUCUUGUCUGAUUUCAAAAUCCUAAAUCGACUCGUGUUUCUGAUUCUUGCUAAGCUUUGUAAGACCUCUUGAUUUCUCGCAUGUCUAUGUUCUUCUAUUUGAUCACAUGACCACACUGUUCGUUUGAUUCUAGCCUCGCAUGUUUAAAUUUAUGCACUCUUUAUAAUCAGACGUUCACUCUCAAAAUAACCCUAAUUUUUAGGGGUUCAUUUCAAACCUUUAUUAUGUAGGCCUGAUUGAUUAUUUCCCUGUCUGAUUUGGACUUGUUUUCUGACUUAAUUCAAUAUUAAGUUUGAUUCUUGAUUUACUAUGUGAUUGAUUGAUUUUAUCCUUACCUUAUUUAUAUAACCGUGUAUUUUUAAAAGCUUCUCCGAUGUAUCCUUUUAUUGCACCAUGUGUUAUUGAUUUUCUUUCCUUAAAUACAACUCUGCCCUCUCCUGUUCAAAUUCGAAUUCCUUAAUUAAAGGAAUCCCCCUCUUCUAAUUGAUUCUGAUUGGUAUUGAAUUAUAUUUUGCCUUACUUACCACCUGUUUUCAAACUAUAAAUACCCUACUCUUCUCUUCAAACUCACGAACAACUGCAUUAAAAAACACACACACACACUCAAAGCUCUCUCUUCUUUACUUGUGCUAUUGUCCUGACUAGCCGGCUGAAAGCCAAGGCUAGACUUUGGAAUCACUUUUGCUUUCCUCAAGUGUUUGCUGAAGGGUUUCUGGCUGUUUUACUGCUCUAUUUAUUUGUUAUUUGGAAUUUGCAACUAGUAGUUCUUUAUAAUUAGAUAUUGUUCUCCAAAACUAUAUUUUUAAUUUUCCCUUUUACAUGACCUCUCAACUACGUGUUUUGUGGUACUAAAUGACCAUACAUUAGUCUGUCAUGCCUUUCUUCAUGCUUCUGGAUCUUUAAGUGCUGUUAUGCUUGUCCUAUUCCCCCUUUUGAUGUUUAUUCUUUCACGUGAUCCCAUUUCUUUUAACCCCUGUUUAUAUAUGAGUAUUGGUUCUAGGUUGGUGGUACCACCCUAUUGUUAUCCCUGACCUGGGACCAGGUUCUUUUGAACCUUUACUCAAAUCAGUCUCUAUUCCCUUAACCCCAUUUAUGUUUUGAGCCUUGACUAGGGUUUGGUGGUGUCCUCAUCAUCACUCAGGCCUCUGUCUGGCUUUUAAAAGUCUGCUCUUUUAUUUGCUUAAAUCAAGUAAUGGGUCAGGGGUGUGCCAGUCUUACCCAUGACUGGGUAUGACCAUCCUUUGCUUUGGUUUCCUCUAAUCCCCUCACUCUACACUCAUUCUUAGUUCUUUAAGUUCUACCCCCUAUGGUAAGCCAUGAUGAGGGACCCUAGAGUUCCCUAUGAACUUGGAUGCCUAAGGGCUGUUAAUUCCACACAUUGCACUACUCGAUUACCACAUUCAAUAUUUAGGGCGUAAGCAUUGCCUGGGCUUCCUUAAAGCCCUUGGAACUUUGAAACACUCUAAGAGAAGGACUAGGAAUCUGGAAUCGGGAUAUGGUGAAACACAUGUUAUUGGGUAUUAAGAUUGAAUUAUGUUUCUCGGAUCUAGCUGUAGGCUGUAAUGUCUUUUGUUUAUUUUUCUUUUGGUGUGUAACAACCUUGUAAAAGAAUUUGGGGAAUAUUAGUAAAGGGUGUGGGAUGAGUUUAUAUUACUUUCAUAAGUCAAUGGUUAGAAUUCAUGCCUAUAGGACUCUAAUAUUGCAAAUCGUUUAGAAAUCAUGUUUAUAGGACUCUAAUAUUGCAAAUCAUUUAGAAAUCGUGCCUAUAGGACUUCGAUAUGGCAGAUCAUAUAGAAAUCAUGCCUAUAGAACUUUAAUAUUGCAUACCAUUUAUAAAUCAUGUCUAUAGGACUUUGGAUUGCAAGCCAUCUCUGAACUUCUGCAAAUUUCAAUUUUUUGUUUCAAAACGCUUCUGUACAGGCUCUUGUCUAAAAUUAGUGCUUUCUGAAUCACUUGUUUUAAAAAUACCUUAAGUUCUGACAACUGGAUCCGGGUUGCCUAAUGCGGACUUGUUAUCCAUUUCUAUGUGUUAAGCUGAUCCAUCCACCUCUUAAUUGCUUAAUUUUAAAGACCAAACUAGUACGUGUAAGUCAUGCUAAACUAAUUGUUGUGUGAUCUACGGGGUCUUGUAUGAGCCUUUGAGUGUUUGAUUUGUAUACCAUUAUUUGUUAUUUGUUUUGAUUACGCCUUAGUAUUUUGUCCUUUUAAACUCCAUAUAUGCCCCAUCCCUUUCUCCCCUUUAGUAUUAGAAGUCUAAAUACCCCGGGAUUGAUAGGUUGGGAUGGGUACUAGCAUGCAAUAGGUAAACGAGACUAAUCGCGCUUAAAUACCUUAACUGAGCGGGAAGGGUAGAAUAUGGAGAUCAUGAUAGUGCGCUAAUAUCUCGUGUGAGAAUGAUUUCUGGGUAUUGCACCGAAUGAUCCAUAUUGUAGUUAAACCUAGGACCCUCUUUCUUUAUUUAAAUGUUUUCUUCCAACUAAAACUCUUUUUACUUGUUCCAUUCUUCUUUCAAAAAUUGUCGACUUGUUUGUAUAUCUUAUGUGCAAACUUUGCUUGUCUACUCCUACUCUUCUUAAAGUCACAACUAAGUAAGGCCAGAAACACACUAGUGGAUCUUGAGGGGUGCCUAACACCUUCCCCCCCGAGAUAAUCUCAAGCCCUUACCCAAACCCUGGUUUUCUUUCAAAUCCUUCUUCUUUUCUCUAAAAGUGUUCUAAUGCACUAUAAUCAUUAGGUGGCGAAUCUUCAAACUUCAUAGCCCAAAUUCCCCCAAAAGCGGAUAAAAGAGUCAUUCCACCCAUGAUGUCGUAAACCUGGUUUCUCUCUCCCUAGGAGGAAAAAAGGGGGCGUCGACAGUCCCGACAAGGGAAUCAACAAUACCAAAUAAGGUCAUGGAACACCAAGGAAAAACACGAUAACCUCAACGACAUAACAAGACAUAAUAAGUGCUUAAUAGCUACACUAAUACCAUAGCACUUGGACAUAUCUAUAUUUGCACGAAGUCACAGAUGAACUUACAAUCAUGGAGUAUCCAAACAGUAAGGAAGUUAACAUGAAUUAAAUAAUUACAAUUUAAGGAAAUAUAAAUUAAUCAUAAGAUAUCUAUGUUUAUUACAAUUAAGACCGAUUAAUCACAUGAGCUAUAACAUUUAUGAUUUUCAAUUAACGGCGAGCAGUUAGGACGGAUAAUAUGACUAUAUAAGGGUAAUACUCUUCAGUUAAACACGUAAAAGUCAAUUAAACAGUAAGAAUAAUCAAGAUGGGCAAACAAAUACCAAGUAAGACAUGUAGAGGGAAAACUAAUAACAGGGAACUCAAUUGUAUCAAUAUCAUCAUCACACUCGGAGAUUUCAAGCGUCUAAGAGCCUAAAAGGGACAAUUUACAAUAAAUAAAUCCGAGCACGCACUCGUCACCUUGAGUACACGGAAUACAAUCAACGGAGAAGACUCAAAUCCUAAGGGAAAAUCCCCUCCCCCCCCCCACAAAGUUAGGUAAGAUACUUACCUCAAACCGGCUCAAAUCAACUAGCAACCACGUUCUUGCCAUGUGUACUCGACUUCAAAUGGCCCAAAUCUAUUCAAAUAAAUAACACAUUGUAAAUAACAUCUCAAGUGACUGAUUCUACAAUUAAAUUCUGAGCUAAUGUGUGAAAUAAGGUAAAAUGACCAAAAUGUCCCUUAGAAAAACAUCUCAGAAUCGAAUAAUUUUCACAUUUUUAGAACUGUCGUACUUUCACAAGUCUAACCAUAUAAAAUCUGCCAAAUCGGAGGUCAAAUUCCCACUCAAAACACAAUAAUUAAGUGUAAGAAGUUUUAUCUUAUUUUCCCCAAUUUUGACCUUGAAUUCGAAUUCUAAUGGUGGAUUUAACUAGAUAUUGAUAGAAAACAACUAAAUGAGGUUAAAGAAACAUUAUCCACUGAUCUUCUCUUCAAAAUCCACCCAAGAUCGCCUUCUCCCGAGCUCCUAAUUGAUUUUACAACUUUUGAAAUAAACCCUCGGAUUAUAGUAUUUCAUACAAGUGAUUUCCGCUUUUGCGGUCCAGAGACCGCUUCUGCGGUCCCGCUUUUGCGGAAAAACAAUUGCUUCUGCAUUUUCUUUAAGUUCCCCAAUUUCUACUUCUGCAGUUCUUUCAUCGCAGAAGCGAGUCCGCUUCUGCGGAAAACCUUUCGCUCCUGCGGCUCCUGACCAAAGGUCCUCCAUCGUUUCUACAACUGCCAAGCCACUUUUGUGGCUCCGCUUCUGCGGUUCCUAAGCCGCAGAAGCGAAAAUACAAGUACCCCUGCUGCAAUUUUCCUUCUAACUCCAAACUUUGCCCAUUGAGCAUCUCAAACACACCCUAGGCCCCCGAGACCGCAACCAAUCACAGACACAAGUCAUAUAACCUAACACGGACUCGCUCGAAGUUCCAAAUCAUAUAACAUGACAUCGAAACGACGAAUCAAACCAAAAAUCAAGUUUAUGAACUUCGAAAUUUUCAAAUAUCGAAACCCAAGCCGAAACCUAUCAAUUCAAAUCAAAAUGACGCUAAAUUUUACAUACAAGUCCAAAAUAACAUAACGGAGCUAUUCCAACUUUCAAAAUUGCAUUCCGACCCUGAUAUCCCAAAAGUCAACUGUGGGCCAAAAUUUUUCAUUUUCCAACUUCAAAUUUUCGUCGAAAUGCUUCAAUUUACUCUAUGGACCUCUAAAUCUGAAUCCAGACGCGCGCCUAAGUCCAAAAUAACCAUACGAAGCUGUUGAGAUCAUUCACGACUCUUUACGGGGUCGUUUACACAAAAGUCCAAUUCCAGUCAACUUUUUACUGUUUCAACUUCCAAAACAAGGUUUCUUCUCUAAAUUUGACUCUAAACCAUCCGGAAGCCAAAUUCCACCAUACACGCUAGUCGAUACUCAUAUUACAAAGUGGUUCCAGACCUUAUGCUGCUGAGCGGAGUUUAAUUUCUCAAAAUGACCGGUCGGGUCGUUAUAUCUUGGCUGUAAAGGAAUUAGGCCACGUGUAGUUAAGAAGUGAGUAAAAUGAUGGAGUAUACCGAGGCAGAGAACCGAUUGAAGUGUUGUCGAGGUUUCGGUCCGUCGUCCUAUUAUUACAUCAAAAUCAAGAAAUGAAAAAGACCAACUAGGCCUAUCAACUUUGAGUUACAAGAUUCAUGUCUAUAAGUCUUUUGAAGCUUGAUGUGGUGUCUUGAAUGGUUCUUCAUGCAGACUUUAGAUUUGAACCUUGACACUUGCUAGUUGCAGGUGCUAGUUCAUUAUUCUUCAACUUUUCGGAUCAAGACCGGAUAUAACUUCAACCACGUCUUGAGCAUUGGUCGCCUCAGACUGUUGACUCGCGUUCUUGCCAUGAGCUUCUGCUACUUCUAACUUGAAUUGAAUUUUUAAAUGACUUCCCUCGUUCUAUAGGUGGGUUUCAGCUAUUGACUUGUAACUUGAAACAAUUGCGAAACGAAUUCCAUCAUUCUCCAGGUGGGUGCCUGCAAUCAAAAGAACAAACAUAAACAAAAUUUUCUGCACCAGUUUGCACUAUGAAAAUUUGUGAGUUAUUAGUAAAACUAUAAAUCACCUAAGCUAUUGAUGCAAUGAUGAGAGUAAGACUAAAGACUUGACUGGGAUGUGCAUCUCCUGUGAGUAAAACCAAGAACAUUUGACAAGCAAAUUCAUCAGACUAGGUCUUCUAUCUUAGGAGAAAGAUUCAUUAGACUAAGAUUUUGAUCCUAGGAGAAAAUUCAAGAGACUAGGUUUUUUAUGUUAGGAGAACAAUUCAUCAAACUAAGAUUUUGAUCCUAGGAGAAAAUUCAUCGAACUAGGUCUUCUAUCUUAGGAGAAAAAUUCAUCAGACUAAGAUUUUGAUCCUAGAAGAAAAUUUAUCAAACUAGGUCCCUUUUUGUUAUCUUAGGAGAAAGAUUCGUCAGACUAAAAUUUCGUUCCUAGGAGAAAAUUCAUCAAACUAGGUCGUCUAUCUUAGGAGAAAGAUUCAUCCUACUAUGAUUUUGAUCCUAAGAGAAAAUUCAUCAGACUAGGUGCCUCUUUUUUUUGUUAUCUUAGGAGAAAGAACAUUAGACUUCCCUUUUUGUUAACUUAGGAUAAAGAUUCAGACUAAGAUUUUGAUCCUAGGAGUAAAUUCAUCAGACUAGAUCUUCUAUCUUAGGAGAAAGAUUCAUCAUUCUAAGAUUUUGAUCCAAGGAGAAAAUUUACCAGACUAGGUCUUCUAUCUUAGGAGAAAGAUUCAUCAAACUAAGAUUUGAUCCUAGGAGAAAGUUCACCAGACUAGGUCUCUUUUUUUCUUUUGUGGUAUCUUAGGAGAAAGAUUCCUCAGACUAAGAUUUUGAUCCUAGAAGAAAACUCAUCAGACUAUGUCUCGUAUCUUAGGAGAAAGAUUAAUCAGACUAAGAUUUUGAUCCUAGGAAAAAAUUCAUCAGACUAGGUCUUCUAUCUUAGGAGAANNNNNNNNNNNNNNNNNNNNNNNNNNNNNNNNNNNNNNNNNNNNNNNNNNNNNNNNNNNNNNNNNNNNNNNNNNNNNNNNNNNNNNNNNNAAUUCGUCAGACUAAGAUUUUGAUCCUAGGAGAAAAUUCAUCAGACUAGGUCUCUUAUUUAGGAGAAAGAUUCAUCAAGCUAAGGUUUGGAUCCUAGGAGAAAAUUCAUCAGAUUAGGCCUUCUAUCUUAGGAGAAAAAUUCAUCAUACUAAGUCUUCUAUAUUAGGAGAAAAAUUCAUCAGACUAAAUGUUGAAUUUAGUCUCACUUAAAUGUUCAUUAGGGUAACUGUUGGCUUCUUAGGCUCGCCUCCUUCAACUAUCAAACCGAUUGACCCCUUGGGGUCCCAAUCAUCUUUGAUCUCGAUCAUGUGGAUGCUUCCACCCUUGUGGUCAGGAAAAGGGUUGAUGCGGAUAUUAGGAGCGGGCUCCUUUGCUAUAAUGAUCUUUUUGACAAUCAAAUUUUGAAUCUUGUCUUUCCAUAAGUGACACUCGUCGAUGCUAUGGCCUUUCAUCCCGGAAUGGUAUGCGCAAGUCUUGUUUGGGUUGAUUCACUGGGAAGGGUUUUUUGGAGUUACGGCUGGGAUAGGGAUAACGUAUCCAGCUGGUUUGAGUUUUUCAUAUAAUUGGUCAAUUGGCUCGGCUAUGGUGGUAUAUUGUCUAGGAGGUUUGCGGUCGAAGUUUUGUCUAGGUCGAGGGAAGUUCUGGCGGUCGGAAGGUGAUGGGUAGUGAGAAGGUUGUGAAUUAUAUGCUUGGUAUACAUGUGCGAGUUGGGAAUAUCAAGGAGAGGUGGACUGAUAUGUGGGUGGUGGAGGUGAUUGGUAAGCAGGUGGUGGAAUUUGGUAUGUGGGUGAUGGUGCCUGGUAGCUUAGGGUUGGUUGAUAUGUAAGUGGAGCUAAGGGAUAGGUUUGGUACUUCAUAUGGGAGUUGUUCUUUUGCGCAGCCAUUACAGAAUUCACAUCCUUUUUCUUCGACGAGCCACUAGACUGUAAAGCCUUAUUGGUAGCUUGCAAUGCCUCGAGGUUAGUGACCAUACCAUUUUUGAUGCCUUCUUAGAUCCUUUCUCCCAACUUGAUGGAGCCAUUACAGAAUUCACAUCCUUUUUCUUCGACGAGCCACUAGACUGUAAAGCCUUAUUGGUAGCUUGCAAUGCCUCGAGGUUAGUGACCAUACCAUUUUUGAUGCCUUCUUUGAUCCUUUAUCCCAACUUGAUGAUGUCGGAGAACUUUUGGCCCUCUAUUAGCAUUAGCCUCUCGUAGUACUGUGGAUCCUGAGCACGGACGAAGAACCUGUUCAUUUGUUCUUCCUCGAAGGCCGAUUUGACCUUAGCAGCUUCUGACCUCCAACGAGUAGCAUACUCGCGAAAGGUCUUUGUGGGCUUCUUUUUGAGAUUCUGGUUAUAGAAUACAUCUGGUGCGUUCUUAGUGUUGAACCUGAACCGAUCCAUAAAGUCAGAUGCCAUGUUCACCCAAAUAGUUCAUUUCUUCGCAUCCUGGCUAAUAUACCAGGAUAAAGUAUCACCCUUCAAACUCCUCAUGAACAGCUUCAUGCGGAUCUUCUCGUCCCUUCCGACUCCUACCAACUAGUCAUAAUAAAUUCUCAAGUGGACCCUGGGUUCACCUGUGCCAUCGAACAUUUUGAACUCUGGAGGUUUGUACCCCUCGGGGAGCUCAACAUCUGGCUGAACACAGAGAUAUUCAUAACUUAACCCUUCAACACCUUUGUUACCUUCAAAACCUUGGACCCGACUAGUCAACUUCUUGAUCUCAGUGGCCAAAUUCUGAAUGAGGGAGCUCUUGUCAUUUGCCUCGACUACACUGGUGAUUGGCUGACUGUAAUGCGACAUAGUGUCCACAAAGAUUGGAGUGUUAUGGUCUUUUGUGGUGUUUUGUGGUUUAGGGAUGUGCAGUAGAGUGUUAUGUGUGGGUUGCAUUAGAGGUUGUGGGAUGUUUUGUGGUGGUGCGGGGUUCUGAAUGUUAACAUCGGGAGCGGUAAGAGUGAUUGAGAGGCUUGCUAUGUUUCUAACUUGGUCCAAUUCCUCUCGGAAUCUUAGCAAAGUUUUCUCCAUAUGAGCAACGGUCUCUUUGGUUAUUGCAGCAUUCUGAGAAGUUUCUUCAAGUUCCUUUCUAGCGCUUGUAUCUCCCAUUUUGCCUNNNNNNNNNNNNNNNNNNNNNNNNNNNNNNNNNNNNNNNNNNNNNNNNNNNNNNNNNNNNNNNNNNNNNNNNNNNNNNNNNNNNNNNNNNNNNNNNNNNNNNNNNNNNNNNNNNNNNNNNNNNNNNNNNNNNNNNNNNNNNNNNNNNNNNNNNNNNNNNNNNNNNNNNNNNNNNNNNNNNNNNNNNNNNNNNNNNNNNNNNNNNNNNNNNNNNNNNNNNNNNNNNNNNNNNNNNUGCACGAACUAACCUUUGGGGAGGGGAAUAAAAAUAAAAGAAAAACAAAAAAGGUAAAAAGUUAGUGCGGAUUCUGAUAAAUAAUAUUGCAAUAUUUAAGCAAAUUGUGCGGGAAUAGAAAUUGCUUCCUAAUUUGGGUGCUUCGUUGCGCCUGAGGUAGGUCUAGCGAAUAAAUUUGGAGAACUUAUAAUGCUAAAUGCCUUAUUUUAUUGAUAAAACAAGAUGAGCCUUAAAACAACUGGAUGAUAAAAGAUAUUACUAAUGGCCAGUGGCCUUAUUACAUUAAGAGAGUAUGAAAUAAAAGAUCAUAACAAUUUGGUCCCAGAAGGACCUUCCCCAGAUUCGGUACUCUUGCCUCCCUCAUACAGGUGCAUCAACUCACACAUCCCUAACAGCAGAUAAGUUCGAGCUAGAUGUCCGCCUGCACUUCCUUCAGCAUUCUGGCAGUCUUCAAUUCUUUUUAUGAACUUCUCUUCCAACUCCACUAGACCUCGCUCCAGAUACCUCAAACGGUUAUUGGCGUUGACAGCCAUAUCCUUCCACUCGUUGAUCAUCUUCUCACAUUCUCUCAUCCUCUUGCGCAAUUGAUUGUAUUUGACUUGCACUUCAGUUGUCUCAUCAAUAAUCCUAUGACUGUGGAUGAAUCCUGGACGACCCAAAUCAAUGUGAUCAUCUUCCAACCAACCUGUGUAGUGCGGAACACACCCGACAAGAUACCUGUCUGGUUCGAUAGACUCCCUCCCCAAGACUAACUUGCAGUGCCACAUAUACUGAGUGUGACACCUAUGUGGGCUAUCAUCAUCUUGAAAGUCAUCCCUGAAAUGAAUCAUUUUCUCUAUCCUCUCUUCUUUUAGAUUCUCGAACAACUCUACACAUCCUUUGGCGUCCUCUGGCUGAGCGAACAUGUUGGUCAUGAAGUUCAUUCGGUUUGGGUGAUGAAAAGCGAUAUGGUCAUCCCAAUCCUUGCGUAUGAUUUCUUGUCUGUAGUCGCCUUUCUGAAGGUGUUCUAUGAGCCAAAGUUGAAGUAGUAGAUUACAACCCUCGAAAUGUGGAGCCCCUUGUUGACACUUCCCCAAGGCUUGAUAGAUUUCUGCGAGGAUCAUAGGUACUAUGCUGAAUGAUGGCCCCUUGUUGACACUUUCCCAUUGCUCGGUAGAUUUCAGCGAUGAUCAUGGGCACUAUGCUGAAAGACUUCCCAUCGAUUCCUUCCACUAAGGUCUUGGUUACCAUGGCUAGUCUGGUGUGAAUCCUAGCCUUCUUCAUAGAGAAAAUUAUCAUCCCAAGAAGCAAAACAUGAACGCAAACACCUUUCUAUGUAUAUGUCCCAAAGAAUUGAGGGCUAAUUCGUCUAUGUAGGUGCGAUAAGACUUGCUGUGGCCAUAUCUCUCAUAUAAGAAGUCGAAUGGUAUGUAGGAGUCCUUCAAGCAAGAAAGGUCGGGAUUUUUCUUGAGUCACAUCAUCUUAAGAAAGCCUAUAAUUUUGUGAUUCUCCGACAUAUGCAAAUCCAGAGUCUCCCUAGGGAUACCAGCUAGGCUCCCUAUCUCUUCUAGCAAAAGGGUCAUUUCCAAGUCUCCAAAACGGAACACUGAUCGAUCACUAUCCCAAAAUAGAGUGGCAGCCUAGAUGAUCUUGUUGUUGGGUUGAAUUUCUAGAAGUGAGGGUAAUUUCCCUAAGUACUUGUGGACGAGAGUUUGAUUGCUGCCAUGAAGAUCUUCCCACCAGCUUAGCAACCUUGGGUGGAUGUUGGAUACCAUACCGAACUUGUGGACGAGAGUUUGAUUGCUGCCAUGAAGAUCUUCCCACCAGCUUAGCAUCCUUGGGUGGAUGUUGGAUACCAUACCGAAUCAGGGGACCUCGUGCCUCAUUUUCUGCAAAACAAAGUGUUAGGCCCUUAACCCCACCAGACUCGGCUAUUUAAAUCAAUAAUUAGCAAAAGGCAUUUAGUUCUCCAAAUAAAUGCACAUAAUGUGAAGGUGUCCAUUUGGGUUUCAGGAAACCCGAUGGACUUUGGGUUAGGUUGUUUUAAUGAGUCAUUAUGCGGACAAUAUAACUGACUCGGUUAGGCUUGACCGUGAUGCAUGCACAGUUUAAUGGAAUAAAGUUUCUACUUUUGAAGUGCUAGACAAGGUACCCUUGAGCGGACAACUCAAGAGGGAAAGACGCGGAACCGUCAACUACACCAUUGAUCGACUGGUUUUACGCAAAUAUGCCUUUGCCACAUUUAGGGGGUUUAUAAUAUCGGAAGGGCGCAACCACUCAUCAUAAGUGUUGCUAUAGGAUUUGUUUUGGCAAGAAUGGAAUAUGAUGCUGAGAGAUGCAAUUACAAUAAUAAAACAAAUUACAUGUAUUUUCACGUUCAAAAGAUAAAUGAUUACAAUGCUUGCUCGAAAUUACAACAAUAUCGAAAUAAAGCAAUAAAGAAGGCAAUUAAAGGAAAGAAAAGACAUGAAGAGUCAAGUUAGUAAUUGUGAUGACAUAAUCAAGGACAUGAAAUAAAUUAGAUUAAGUAAGCAAUAAAGUCACAAAAGCAAAUAGUGGUAAAAGCCUAAAAGAAUCCCUAUAGGCAUGAUAUCCCCAAAACAUAUGCAUUAAUAUUACAUACCUUGAUGAUGAACCAAUGGCUGUAACUUCCAACGAGACAGUGCAAAAACAGACAUAGAUUCAGAAGAGGACAAAAUAUCAGAAGAGGUUGUCAGGGAGGUCGAGAAUUUUGAGAACAGGCCUAAGUCUAACUUAGACGAAAUUGAGGUCAUUAAUUUGGGAGACGCAGAAAAUGUCAAGGAAACACGUAUCAGCGUACAUUUGUCAUCAUCAGAAAAGAAAGAGUACAUAGAGUUUUUAAAGAAUAUGAGGAUAUAUUCGCCUGGUCGUAUGAUGAUAUGACCGGUCUCAGAACAUCCAUUGUGUCUCACAAGCUACCGACAGAUCCGGCAUGCCCACUGGUAAAACAAAAACUCAGAAAGUUCAAGCCAGACAUGAGUUUGAAAAUCAAAGAAGAGGAUACCAAGCAAGUCAAAGCCAGGGUUCUCAGAGUAGUAGAGUGUCCAACAUGGUUAUCCAACAUUGUGAUGGUACCAAAGAAGGAUGGGAAGGUUAGAGUCUGUGUCGACUACCGGGAUCUCAAUCGGUCCAGUCCUAAGGACAGUUUCCCUUUGCCAAUUAUACACAUACUGACUGAUAACUGCGCCAAAUGAGCUGCAGAUGUUUGUCAAUUAUUUUGCUGGAUACCACCAGAAUAUGGAGAUAAUGAUGAUGCGCUAAUAUCAUAAAGCGACCCCUCUUUGGGGAAUAUGUGCGGGAUAUUGCAUCGAAUGAUCCAAAUUGUAGUUAAACCUAGGACCCUCAUUUUUACUUUUCCUUUAUUUAAAUGUUUUCUUCAAACUAAAACUCUCUUUUACUUGUGUCAUUCUUCUUUUCAAAAUUGUCAACUUGCUUGUAUUUCGUAUAUGCAAACUUUUCUUAUCUACUUCUACUCUUCUUAAAGCCACAACUAAGUAAGGCCGGGAACCACACUAGUGGAUCUUGAGGGGUUCCUAACACCUUCCCCUCGAGAUAUUCUCAAGCCCUUACCCAAACUCUGGUUUUCUUUCAAAUCCUUCUUCUUUUCUCUAAAAGUGUCCUAAUGCACUAUAAUCAUUAGGUGGAGACUCUUCAAACUCCAUAGACCAAAUUCCCCCGAAAGAGGAUAAAAGAGUCAUACCACCCGUAAUGUCAUAAACCCGACUCAUGCACUAUAAUCCUUAGGUGGAGACUCUUCAAACUCCAUAGCCAAAAUUCCCCCAAAAGGGGAUAAAAGAGUCAUUCCACCCAUAAUAUCGUAAACCCGAUUUCUCUCUGCCUGAGAGGAAAAAGGGGAGCGUGGACAACAUGCAUCAUGGUCAAGCCUAGCCGAGUCAAGGGUACCUUGUAUAGCACUUCAAAAGUUGAAACUUUAUUCCGUUAAACUGUGCAUGCAUCAUGGUCAAGCCUAGCCGAGUCAGUUAUGUUGUCCGCGUAAUGGCUCAUUAAGACAGCCUAAACCAAAGUCCAUCAGGUUUCCUCAAACUCAAACGGACACAUUCACGUUAUGUGCAUUUUUUUGGAGAACUAAAUGAUUUUGCUAAUUAUUGAUUUAAAUAGUCGAGUCUGGUGGGGUUAAGGGCCUAACACUUUUUUUUGCAGAAAAUGAGGCACGAGGUCCUCAGAUUCGGUAUGGUAUCCAACGUCCACCCAAGGUUUCCAUGCUGUCAAUGCUCCCCCCCCUUUUCCUCCCAGGGAGAGAAAAAUUGGGUUUACGACAUUAUGGGUGGAAUGGCUCCUUUAUCCCUUUUUGGGGGAAUUUGGGCUAUCGAGUUUGAAGAGUCACCACCUAAUGAUUAUAGUGAAUUAGGACUCUUUUAGAGAAAUGAAGAAGGAUUUGAAAGAAAACCAGAGUUUGGGUAAGGGCUUGAGAUUUUCUCGAGGGGAAGGUGUUAGGAACCCCUCAAGAUUCACUAGUGUGGUUCCCGACCUUGCUUAGUUGUGACUUUUAGAAGAGUAGAAGUAAACAAGCAAAGUUUGCAUAUAAGAAAUACAAGCAAAUUGAAUAUUUUGAAGGAAGAAUGGAACAAGUAAAAGAGAGUUUUAGUUUCAAGAAUACAUUUAAAUAAAGGAAAAGUAAAGAAAGAUGGUCCUAGAUUUAACUACAAUAUGGAUCAUUCGAUGCAAUAUCCCACACAUAUUCCCUAAAGAGGGGUUGCCUUAUGAUAUUAGUGCAUCAUCAUCAUCUCCAUAUGCUACCCUUUCCACCCCGUUAAGGUAUUUAUGCGCGAUUAGUCUCGUUUACCUUAUUGCAUGCUAGUACUCGUCCCAACCUAUCAGUCCCAGGAUAUUUAGACUUCUAAUCCUAGAGGAGAGAAAGGGAUGGGGCAUGUAUGGAGUUUAACAGGACAAAAUACUAAGGCGUCAAUCAAAACAAAUAACAAAUAAUGGUAUACAAAUCAAACAAUCAAAGGCUUAUACGAAACCCCGUAGAUCACACAAAAAUUAGUUUAGCAUGACUUACAUGUACUGGUUUGGUCUUUAAGGCGGACGAAUCAGCUUAACACAUAGAGUUGGAUAACAAGUCCGCAUUAGGCAACCCGGAUCCAGUUGUCAGAACUUAAGGUGUUUUAAAACAAGUGGUUCAGAAAGCACUAAUUUUAGACAAGAGCCUCUACAGAAGAGUUUUGAAACAGAAAAUUAAAAUUUGCAGAAGUUCAGAGAUGGCUUGCAAAUUAGCCGAACUGCUUAAGUAAAGUUGUAAAGAGGCAUUUUUCGAAAAGCGUUGAAGUAAAAAUUUAGACAGAAAACUAAGGGGGUUGGUUUCAGAAUAAAGAUGUAAGUUGGAAUUUUAAGGACACUAUAGAAAUGUUAAAACAGACGAACUUGGACAGGUUUCAAAAGCAGACAAGUUUGGACAAAUUUUUUUUUCUGAAAGCGUUUGAGUCUAACUGAUAGAUUAUCACUCAUAUUAGGCGCGUUUGAAUUCCUAUAGGCAUGAUAACUAUUCAUCUGACUCGUUACUGAUUUUUAGAACAUUAGGGAACCUACUGUUUGCCUAGCGUUUGAUGCGUUACCUAUAGGCAUGAUCUCUAUCGUGCUUACAAUGCAAAGUCCUAUAAACAUGAUUUCUAAAUGGUAUGCAACAUUAAAGUCCUAUAGGUAUGAUUUCUGAAUGGUAUGCAAUAUUAGAGUCCUAUAGGCAUGAUUUCUAAAUGAUUUGCCAUAUUACAGUCUUAUAGGCAUGAUUUCUAAACGAUUUGCAAUAUUAGAGUCCUUUAGGCAUGAUUUCUAAAUGAUUUGCAAUAAUAGAGGCCUAUAGGCAUGAUUUCUACCCAUUGACUUAUGCAAGUAAUAUAAACCCAUCCCACAACCUUUACUAAUAUUUCCCAAAUUCUUUUGCAAGAUUGUUAUAGAACCAAAAGAAAAAUAAACAAAAUACAUUACAGCCUACAACUAGAUCCGAGAAUCCUAACUCAAUCUUAAUACCCAAUAACAUGUAUUUCACCAGAUUCCAAUUCUAGAAUCCAAGGUCUUCUCUUAGAGUGUUUCAAAAUUCCAAGGGCUUUUAUAGGUCCCAGGCAAUGCUUACACACUAAAGAUUGAAUGUGGUAACAGAGUAGUGCAAUAUGUGAAACCACCCCUUAGGCAUCUAAGUUCAGAGGGAACUUUAGGGUCCCUAAGCAUGGCUUACCAUAGGGGGGAAGAACUUAAAGAACUAAGAAUGAGUGUAGAGUUAGGUGAUUAGAGGAAACCAAAGCAAAGGAUGGUCAAACCCAGACAUGGGUAAGACUGGCACACCCCUGACCCUUUACUUGAUUCAAGAAAAUAAAAGAGCAGACUUUUAGAAGUCAGACAGGGGUCUGGGUGAUGAUUAGGACACCACUAGACCCUAGUCAAGACUCAACACAUAAAGGGGGUUGAGGGAAUGGGACUGAUGUGAGUAAAGGUUCAAGAAAACUUGGUCCCAAGUCAGGGAUAGCAAUAGGGUAUUAUCUCGGCCUGGGGUCAAUACUCAUACAUAAGAGGGGGUUAAAGGGAAUGAGAUCACAUGAAAACAUUCACAUAAACAUAAAGGAAGGAUAAGAAAAGCAUGACAACACUUUAAAGAUACAGAAGCAUGAAGAAAGGCUUAACAGACUAAUGAAUAGUCACACAAUGCCAGAAAACAUGCAGUGAGAGUUUCGUAAAGAGAGAAGUAAACACAUAGUUUUGGAGAGUACUAUUUAAAUUAUAUAAACCUACCAGUUGCAAGUUCCAAAUAAUAGAAUUAAUAGAGAGCAGUGAAACAGCCAGAAACCCUUCAGCAAAUACUUUAGGAAAGCAAAAGAGAUUCCAAAGUCUAGCCUUGGCUUUCAUCCGGCUAGUCAGAACAAUAGACAAGUAAUAGUAGAGAAGAGAGAGAGCUUGAGAGUGUGUGUGUUUUUGAACUCAAUUGUUCGCGAUUUUGAAGAGAAGGAGUAGGGUAUUAAUAGUUUGAAAAUAGUGGUAAGUAAGGCAAAAAAAUAUAAUUCAAUACCAAUCAGAAUCAAUUAGAAGAGGGGAACUCCUUUAAUUAAGGAAUUUGAAUUUGAAUUGGAGAGGGCAGAGUUGUAUUUAAGGAAAGAAAAUCAAUAACACAUGGUGCAAUAAAUGGUUAAUACAUAGAAGAAGCUUUUAAAAAUACACGGUUAGAUAAAUAAGGUAAGGGUAAAAUCAAUCAAUCACAUAGUAUAUCAGGAAUCAAAGAUUCGAACUUAAUAAAGAAUUAAGUCAGAAAACAAGUCCAAAUCAGAUAAGGAAAUAAUCAAUCAGGCCUACAUAAUAAUGGUUUGAAAUCGAUCCCUAAAAAUUAGGGUUAUUUUGAGAGUAAAGGUCUGAUUAUAAAGAGUGAAAAAAUGUAAACAUGCGAGGCUAGAAUUAAACAAACAAUGUGGUCAUAGGAUCAAAUAGAAGAACAUAGACAUGCGAGGAAUCAAGAGGUCUGGCAAAGCUAAGCAAGAAUCAGAAACAUGAGUCGAAUUUAGGGUUUUGAAAUCAGACAAGAAGCAGCACAAUAAUCAAUCAAUCGUGCACAAAUGGUUGAAAACCCCCCAAAAUUUAGGGUUUUCCCCCGCAGCUUACAUGCAAAGACGAAGCAUAGAAGAUCAGUCAAAACAAACUCAGGAAAACCCAAAGAGCACAGACAGUUCAUGGAAGCAAAUACAGUAUAAGAAAUCUUUAGAAUCCCUAGGAAAAUAUAGUAAAGAAAAUACACAGAAAAACAUAGUGAAAACACUUAUCAAAGUAAAAAUACAAGAGAUAGCAGUAGAACAAGUAAAAAAUUACUGAAACCCUACAUUUUAAGAAGAUGAACAGUUUUGAAAACAAAAAAUCGAAAAGAUGUGGAAAAUACUUUAAAAUUUUAGAAAAUAGCACGAAUAUGAAGUAGAUCUUAGAGAAAAACAAAGAAAACCUUAAGGGCUUAGGGUUUCAGAGAAAACCCUAGAAAAUGAGAAAGGCCUGGUCCUAAGUCGGAGAUGGACUCACAGGGCUAGGACUUGCCGGAGAUGAGCCGGAAAGGGCCAUAGAACUUGAAUCGGAAAGACUCUGAGCCGUGGUCUUCAAAGUCAGGCUCUGAAACCUCGAGCAAAAGGAGAAUAGGGGUAUGUGGGGGUAGGUACAGGCUGCUCAGUGCCUGAGAGGCCAUGAUUUCCGGUGGAAUAAGGUAGAGACCGGUGAAAUAGGGCUAGGGUUUCGGAGAGGCUUGAGAGUAUUUGAGAGAUGAAGGGUAUCUUAGGGAAGCUGUCUGAUUAGAGUGAUUAGGGUUAGGGGUGGGCUGGUGAAUUAAAAAGGAAAGGGAGGAUCAUGGUCGUUGAUCACAGUGAUCAACGGCCUAGAUUAAAAGGCCGGCCGGGUGGAUUUAUUUGAUUGGGUAUGGGUCGGGUAAUUGAUGGGAUUGGGUCGUUUAAUUUUGGGGUAAAUUGGGCUGGGAUUUGGGUUUAAUUUGGGUUAUAAUUGAAAGUAAAGAGGCUACAAUUUAAAUAGCCAAUUUUUCCCAUUUUGAAUUUAUAAAAAUAGUAAAUGAUGUUCAAAAAUCAAAUUAAAAAUAAUAAUUUAAUAAAAAAAUAUGUAAAUAUUAAUUUAAAAAUAUUGGGAAUGAUUUUCUGAUUGAAAAUGCCAUUAAAUCGAGAAAUAGGCUAAAAUUGCAAUUUCAUGCAAUUUUAGUUUAAAAAUACGAAAUGGACUUGUAAAAAUUAUAUAAAAAUCACGUAAAUUAUGUUUUUAUGCAAAUGUGAGAAUAAAAUAAAUUAUUCACCAAAAUAAUAAGUUUUUGGGAACAAUUAUUGGAUUGUAUAGUGCAAUUUUGUCGGGUAAAGAUGAGAUGACCAAUUUUGACCGGAGAUGGUGAUUGUAAACAGAUUUUGACUGCGCUCUAGCUUCUGAGCUGCCUACAUAUCCCUGUUUUUACAGGAAUCACGCCAUAUGUAGAUUAGGAACCAAUGACGGAAUAUGCCAAUGGAAAUUCGAAAAGACGGAUGCGAUGGUUAGACCUGAGAGAGUGCUUGGAAUCAGAUAGGCUGCGGAGAACUGGAGCGGGAUCGCUCCUGCUGAGACGGCCAUGAGCCAGCCAGAGUACCUGUAAAUGGGUUAUGUGCGUAUAUAUUGCGUAAUUUAAACGUGAUGCAAGUUUCCAUUGGACCAUGAAUAUUUGUCUUCGGACGAUUAUAAUGACGUCCUCAGACUCUGAUGUCUUGGGCCAAGAAGAGCAUAAAAGUAAGGGUCCUUUUAUUUUAUCUUAGGAGAAAGAUUCAUCAAACUAAGACGUCGAUCCAAGGAGAAAUUUCAUCAGACUAGGUCUUCUAUCUUAGGAGAAAAAUUCAUCAGACUAAGAUUUUUUAUCUUAGGAGAAAGAUUCAUCAGACUAAGAUUUGUAUGGGAGGAAGAUCCAUCAGACUAGGACUUUUUAUCCUAAGAGAAAAAAUGUGAAGAGUAGUGGCAACAUUUAUGCACACUAACAAGAGAGAUAAAGGCAAAUAUUUGAGAAUUUUCCCUUUGUCGGCUCUUCUUCUCCUUUUUUUUCUUUUCAUUUCUUUCAUUUUUUUUCUUUCUCAUUUUGGAACCAACUUUAUUGUGUUGCUUUGUUCCUGUUUCAAACAAAGAAAACGUGUGAGUAUAGAUGUAGUGGUUAGUCUAUUGCCUUAACCUUGAAGGCAACUGCUCCUGCACUUGCCAAGAUAACUUUGAUUUCAACUUGGAAGACCUUUCUUGUUAUCGACUACCCAUUUUCUUUCAACCCGUAUCAUAGAAAACACCUCUACUCCAUUCGAUCCCAAUACCCUUUAUCUGUUGCAUUUUGCUCAGGAAUCGACAUUUACCGAACCCUUGCAUUUCGCAUGAAUCACAAAGCAUGUUGAUUGUUACCAACUGAAUGCGCAUACCACUUUUCCCUGACUUAUACCACUUUGAUGUGCUAGCCAAAUUAGUUUUGUGCAAUUGGAAAGCUGGUAGCAGAUUUUGAAGUCAUUUCUCACUUGUUCUGUCCAAACAGACUCAAGAAGUGACUCAAACAAAACAAGAGGAACAAAAUAAGGGACAAGUGAAAGAGAUGAAACCUAGCAAGAGAAUUACAAAGUAGAAACUUAUCAGAUGAGGAUACCAACACUAAUGGCCAUGACAUGCACCUUUGGAUUAAGUGACCUGAUCUUUUAAGCAAGUCUAAUAUUCAACUCUUGUUGUACCUCUUCACUGUGAAACUGGGCUUCAACGCUUCAAUUGUCUUAUUUGAUCCAAAAUCCUGAAAUCACUUGUGGUGACCUGAAGGGUUUUCACCAUCAAGCCUCUCUCAUUUUGCUUUUUCUCAACUCACUGUCGCCUUACAGUGCCCAUGAGGAUUUUCACCGAUAAGACUCUCUCAUUUGAUCAUUUUCUCUCAUCAUGCUCAGAACAAAAGUAUUACCCUUUAUGCAGGAAGAUCAUACUUUCACCACAAACUUGCUUUGGUAUCCUCAAAGAUUGGUCGGAAGGUCUUUCUUUGGACCGUAAUGUAAGCUUUUGGACAGGGUUAGAAAGAAAAGGUGGCAUGAAGGCUCAAAAUAAUUUAAGAUAAAAUGGUUUGAAACUACAACUUUUGGAAUCAAGCCUUUUGGAAAAACUAAAACUUCUGUCCCAGUUUCUUGUAGUUUGGAGAAUUUUUUUUUGGAUUUUUUUAUGGAAUUUCUAAAAAAAUCUGCCCUGCUCUUGACUUCGGGGACUAUGAAACAUUUAAUUUUGUGUGAUUGAACUAUAAGACUGCCUACGUAUCUUGAGGUGAGAAGAAUCAGGUCGAACGUGGUUCAAAAGACAAAGUUGUUUGUUUUGUUUUGUUUUCUUUUCCUUUAUCUUUUUUCUUUUCUCCUCUUUUUUUCUCCUUUUUUCGUUUUUUCUCUUUUUAUUUUCCUUUUCUAGUUCCUAACUCUAUUUAUAUUCUAAAAUAGGGGUAUCAAACAAAAAAAUAGGUCUCAAAAUGGGUAGCAAAGGAUAAAGUAUUUGGGUAGCAGAAUAAAAUGUCUUCGUCAUACCAAACUUAAAAAUGACAAGUACAAGCAUGCAAUUGAAGAUAAACAAACAAAUCACACAUAGUAUCUAUUGAUGGCAUCAACACACACAAAAAGUGCCAAUGUGCAAUACCUUUGUCCCAAUGAAUGACCCUUGCCAGUUCGAAGCAGACUUGACUCAACCUUAUCUUGAUGUGGAAGAAUACAUUUAAGCACUAACUGAUUUACCUCGAGCUGCUUGAGAGACAUUUCCUUGUUGUAUGCUCUCACCAACCCCCUUGAUUUUCCAGACUUACUGCUCAGUUUCGCUCAAUUCAACGCUUCCUGUUAUCUCAGAAUGCUUGAAUCUCUACUAGUUUCCUCAAAUGCCUCUUUUAUUAUGUUAAAAAAUGUGUCAUUGCUUCAUGAUUAGACUUACUUUCAAGACCAGACAGAGAAUUAUGCGUGCAUGUCAUGUCACUAGAGUCAGGCUAAAAAGAACUAUAAAAAGAAAAUGACCUAAACAAAACUGACUAGAACUAACAGAAAAUAGGAGAUUGCACUAGAUGGAUGAUGAGAAGGGUUUGAACAAAACAAGAAAAAUAGACAUGGAUUACAACAUUGGAAAAAUCCUAAAUAAUACUAGAUGAGUUACUAAAACUAAACGAACUUGACAAAAUGAGAAGAAGAAGAAGAAGAAAAGUUUGAGCCACAAGACAAUAUCCAAAUUACAACCCUGAAAUAACCCGAACAAACAGAAAUGACAACAAAAUAAACUACCACAACUCCUCCCUGGCUAGCCAAGAAGGGAUUGUCUGUCCAAUCACCAAGCUCGACAUCUUAGCCACUGAGUUCCUCAUCAAUAUUACCAGAACCUCCACAAAUCUCCAACACGUUGACCUUAGCAAAUAAAUUUGGGGUCCCUUUUGCCAACUCGUUCUAUAAUCAACCUUUAGAACCGAGACUGGUAGCGUUGAGAACUUUGCCGUAGGUGGCCUUCUAAGGGAUUUACAAGAGUUCUCAUAUUUCUUUUCAUACAAAUCAUUCCCACCAUAUGUGUCUCAUUAGGAACAUGUAAUGGACUUUGGCUAGUAUCUGCUGCAUUUGGAUUUUGCACGGUAAUGUCACGUGCAUCAAUAAGCUUUCGUACUGCUCUUUUCAUAUGCCAACACUUUUCAAUUUUCUAUAUCGUUCCCCAGAGAAUUAGAGCAAUAUGCGCAUCUUUGAGAAUAAUCAAAAUUCUUUGAAAAGUGUUUCGACAUUUUUAUCUGAAUCGGCUUCAACAUGUCUGAUUGCCUUAGCCUUUGGAACAGACUGGCAUAUGAUUCUCCAAUAGGAGUGAAAGACUUUUCUCUUUGCUACCGCCUUCUCAUUUUGUACUCUGGCCUUGGUUGGAACCUAUUUUGGGUAGGGGGUUGAUAUGCUUGUAGAGGUGGGUAAGACAUUUGUGGAGGCGGUGCAAGCCGUUGCGGGUUUUGUGAAUGUGGAGCAUAUGGUGGUGCAUUGUGGAUAGAGUACUGGGGAGGUGAGGUAUGACUUUGGGGAUUUUGUGGAGGAAAGUAGCAUUGGGGAUAUUCAUGGGGUCGGCAAUGAGAUUGAAAGCAUCUAGUAGGAAUGCCCAUUGGAUCUUGUCAUUGACUGGGCUCGAUAACAUCUUUUCUAUCAAUCGGAGGACUGAUCCCAACAACUUGUUCCUUCCAUCUGAACCAAAACACCCUAAAACUUUCCUUGGGUCUCUUUCCUUGGGCAUCGGGAGCUUCGAACAUAGUCUCGCUAAAGGAUAGAGGAAGAGUAGCUGGUGGAGGAGCUACAAAAAUAGGAGCAGAUAUCGGAUCAAGGUAUGAGGCAGUUUUGGCUGGUGGAGCAUGAAAAAUUUGGGAGGAAGUGCCAGGGUAAUAUUGGUAAGGGGUAAAUCCUGGUGCAUGUUGAGGAGAAAUAUCAACGGUAGUGGGCAUCUGGGCUUGGGACAGUGGUGGAAUGGAGGCAUGGUUUUCUGUAUAGUUGGUAGGGAAUGAAGGUGGAUGAUGUCCCUUAAUCCAAGCCUGAUACAUUUCCACCAUCUGAUGUUUCAACCUUCGGACCUCCUCUUUCAGUUUCAAUUCCGACUCUACAAUCUUCCUCGAUGGGUCUACAACUCCUGUGUCCAAGUCUUUGCUGGACAUGUUUACCUUGCUCUUUGACCUUAUGUUGUACAGAUGACUCGCCAAAAUGCCACAAACUAACCACCCUUUGUUAUGAUAACAAUAAAAGUAACAAAUAGGAACGAAACAAGGCUAACAUGUUAGCAUUAGAGCAUAUAUCAAAUAGAAAUAUCACAUUGAAUGCAAUGCCCCCUAAUUACAGUUAACGGUUCUAGAAUGGCUUCGAGGGUACGAAGGCCAUAUGGCAUCAUCCCAAUUUUACUCUUCUUGCCCUAUUUCCUUUUUCAUUUUCCUUUCUAACACCGCUUGGUUUUCAUUUCUUUCCCCCUUUUUUUUCUGAUUAUCGCUCUUUUAUUUCUUCCCAUUUCUUACAUCCCACAACUUCGUUCUUUUUUUUUUCUUCUUUUUUUUUUGUUUUUUUAUAAAGAUGAUCAACCCUAUGUAGGUUGCCUACGUAUUAUGUCCCUCAUGAAUCAGAUCAAGCGUAGUUCUGAAAAGUAAUGGGAAAAAUAAACUAAAAGACUCAAAAUUUAACUAGACUGACAGACUCGACACUACUGUACAAGACAAAAUUUAAUGACAACAUAAGAUAGACUAAAAAAUAAAAAGUUUCCUCAAGCAGCUCGUGCAUGCAACGGUCUUGACUAGAAUGGUCCUGGGGUAUUUGUCAUGCUCAAACUCUAGCAAAUUGCUCUAUACCUGAAUGGAAAAAAUAAUAUCAUGAGUUAGUGACUCAAGACACUACGGGAGACCACACCUCCUCUAUUGGACACAUGCAAGACAUGAUGAAGGCUAUUUUUUGCAAAAUGACCUACGUGGCCAAGAUGUGGCUAUUAGCGAAAACUCAACAAAGAUGACCUCAAAGACAUGGAAAUACCUCCCUAAGGAUUAUAUGGAUUCAAACUCCCAAUAAUCAAGGCCCAAAAUUAAUUUGUAAAAAUGACCCAUUUUGCAAAAACGACCGAUAUGACCAGAAGUGGCUAAAGAUGCAAACUCAAAAGGACGAAUCUUAAAGUAAUAUGACACCUAUUUGUGGACUCAAAAUUCUAAGACAUGGGUAAUUGAACCACUUUUGCGCAAAUGACCUCAUUUUGCAAGAAUGGCUGAUGUGGCCAAAAGUGGCUAAAGAUGCAAACUCAAUAAGGACAUGCCACAAGUAAUAUGACUCUUAAUUGUGGACUCAAGAUCCUAAAACAUGGGUAAUGGAAUCACUUUUGCAAAAAUAAUUCCAUUUUACAAGAAUGGCCGAUGUGGCCAAAAGUGGCUAGAGAGGCAAGAUUUGGCUAAGACCCCACAAAGCCAAGAACCUAAUACUCACUAGGAAGAACGGAACCUAUGUGGGUUGCCUACGUCUCCCUCCUCGAGAGACAAGAAUCAGGUGCGUAGUUCGGGAAGAUUGGACAUGGAAGAAAGCCUUUAAAAAAUGCGACUAAUUUGAGAAAAAUCAUAUUUUUGUCUUUUUGAAAAAAUGAUGAAAAAUAUAAAAAAAAAUUGGAUUUUCUUUUUCUCCUUUUUGAAUUUUUGGAAAUGAAGGAAAAUGUAAAAUCUUUUUGGAUUUUCUUUUUCAUUUUUUUUGAAUUUUGGAAAAUAAUGGAAAAGCGUAAAAUUAUUUUGAAUUUUGUUUUUCAUUUUAUUUUGAAUUUUUGGAAAAUAAUGGGAAAGUGUAAAAUAUUUUUGAAUUUUUUUCUCCUUUUUCUUGAAUUUUUUGAAAAAUAAUGGUAAAGUGUAAAAUCUUUUUUGGAUUUUCUAUUUCUUUUUUUUUUCAAUUUUUGGAAUAUGAAAGAAAAUGCAAGUGGGCCCUUUGCUUUAUUUUCACCCUUCUUUCCCAAGCAUCGAUCCUCCAAAUGACCUUUUUACCCUCAAAGAUGCAACAUGUAUCACAUAGGGAUGAUUGAAUGUCUUUUUGGGCCACGUGCCCAUUUUUGACAAAAUUUGAUUAUGCUUCCUACAAAGGGACACGCUGCCUGGGACUGAUCCCUACUAGGUCCAAAUGACAUGAUGCAAAUAAAAAUGGCCUAAAAGUUUACCUAAGUAGGGGUUCACUAACAAGGCAAUUCGGGGGAGCGUAUGGUCGAUGGUGACUGCUCACGCUUUCCACCCACUCCAUAAGUCCAAUAGCCCCCCUCCUAAAUUAAGGGUGACUCAACAAAGAGUUCUUGCAUGCGACACAUACUCCGAGACUUAUGCAGAAAUAAUUGACCGGGUAAUGCAUAUGAUGACAGUUAUAAAGCAAUAAACACAACAACAACAACAACAACUACCCGGUAUACUCCCACCAGGUGGGGUUUGGGAGGGUAAUAUGUAGACGAGCCUUACCCCUACCCGAAAAGGCAGAGAGGCUGUUUCCAAUCGACCCUCGGCGCAUAGGAUAAAAGGAAAAGCAGCUGUAAAACAAAAACAAAGACAAAAACAAAAACAAUAACAAUAGAGCACUAGUAACUCCCGCAGAAAUAGCGUAAAUAAUUAUCUAAACAUAAGAAACAUAAAUACAAUUGCAUGCAAUAAUAACAUACAGUAACUAUCAUAACUAACAACCAUAGGGGGGACAUAAGCUAAAACACAAAUCAUCUAUGGGUAACCCUGCUGACCCACACCCAACCCCGGAUGAGGCGUACGAAGANNNNNNNNNNNNNNNNNNNNNNNNNNNNNNNNNNNNNNNNNNNNNNNNNNNNNNNNNNNNNNNNNNNNNNNNNNNNNNNNNNNNNNNNNNNNNNNNNNNNNNNNNNNNNNNNNNNNNNNNNNNNNNNNNNNNNNNNNNNNNNNNNNNNNNNNNNNNNNNNNNNNNNNNNNCCAAUGCUUCUUAGGCCUCCCUCUGCCUCGCCGACCGCCAACAAUCUCCAGCCGCUCACAGCUCCUCACCGGGGCAUCGGGACCCCUCCUCCAAACAUGCCUGAACCACCUCAGCCUCGCUUCUCGCAUCUUCUCAUCCACCGGGGCCACCCCUACNNNNNNNNNNNNNNNNNNNNNNNNNNNNNNNNNNNNNNNNNNNNNNNNNNNNNNNNNNNNNNNNNNNNNNNNNNNNNNNNNNNNNNNNNNNNNNNNNNNNNNNNNNNNNNNNNNNNNNNNNNNNNNNNNNNNNNNNNNNNNNNNNNNNNNNNNNNNNNNNNNNNNNNNNNNNNNNNNNNNNNNNNNNNNNNNNNNNNNNNNNNNNNNNNNNNNNNNNNNNNNNNNNNNNNNNNNNNNNNNNNNNNNNNNNNNNNNNNNNNNNNNNNNNNNNNNNNNNNNNNNNNNNNNNNNNNNNNNNNNNNNNNNNNNNNNNNNNNNNNNNNNNNNNNNNNNNNNNNNNNNNNNNNNNNNNNNNNNNNNNNNNNNNNNNNNNNNNNNNNNNNNNNNNNNNNNNNNNNNNNNNNNNNNNNNNNNNNNNNNNNNNNNNNNNNNNNNNNNNNNNNNNNNNNNNNNNNNNNNNNNNNNNNNNNNNNNNNNNNNNNNNNNNNNNNNNNNNNNNNNNNNNNNNNNNNNNNNNNNNNNNNNNNNNNNNNNNNNNNNNNNNNNNNNNNNNNNNNNNNNNNNNNNNNNNNNNNNNNNNNNNNNNNNNNNNNNNNNNNNNNNNNNNNNNNNNNNNNNNNNNNNNNNNNNNNNNNNNNNNNNNNNNNNNNNNNNNNNNNNNNNNNNNNNNNNNNNNNNNNNNNNNNNNNNNNNNNNNNNNNNNNNNNNNNNNNNNNNNNNNNNNNNNNNNNNNNNNNNNNNNNNNNNNNNNNNNNNNNNNNNNNNNNNNNNNNNNNNNNNNNNNNNNNNNNNNNNNNNNNNNNNNNNNNNNNNNNNNNNNNNNNNNNNNNNNNNNNNNNNNNNNNNNNNNNNNNNNNNNNNNNNNNNNNNNNNNNNNNNNNNNNNNNNNNNNNNNNNNNNNNNNNNNNNNNNNNNNNNNNNNNNNNNNNNNNNNNNNNNNNNNNNNNNNNNNNNNNNNNNNNNNNNNNNNNNNNNNNNNNNNNNNNNNNNNNNNNNNNNNNNNNNNNNNNNNNNNNNNNNNNNNNNNNNNNNNNNNNNNNNNNNNNNNNNNNNNNNNNNNNNNNNNNNNNNNNNNNNNNNNNNNNNNNNNNNNNNNNNNNNNNNNNNNNNNNNNNNNNNNNNNNNNNNNNNNNNNNNNNNNNNNNNNNNNNNNNNNNNNNNNNNNNNNNNNNNNNNNNNNNNNNNNNNNNNNNNNNNNNNNNNNNNNNNNNNNNNNNNNNNNNNNNNNNNNNNNNNNNNNNNNNNNNNNNNNNNNCCUGACUUACCCAUGCACUUCCAGAACUCCACCGGGAUCUCGUCAGGCCCGGUCGCUCGACCCCUACUCAUCCUACACAAAGCCCCCAUCACCUCCUCCACCCUAAUGCGCUGCAGUACCCAAGGUCUUUAUGCUGCUCUGAAUGCCCCAACUCCCCUAGCUCAAUGUUAAGAUCCCCCUCCUCGUUAAGUAGGUCCCGAAAGUACGCCUGCCACCUCUGUUUGAUUUGAGAUUCCCCCAUCAGAACUCUACAAUCCUCGCCCUUGAUACACCUAACUUGGUCUAGAUCAUGUGCCUUCCUUUCCCUUGCUUUAGCUAACCGGAAUAACUUCUUAACCCCGCCUCUCUCCCCUAGUUCCUCAUACAUGCGACCGAAUGCCGCGUUUUUAGCUUCCGUGACUGCCAUCUUUGCUUCUUUUCUCGCCUCCUUGUAGAUCACCCUAUUCACUCUCCGUUCCUCCUCACUUGUGCUCCCUGCCAACCUAGCGACCGCCGCCUUCUUCAUAAAGCAAUAAACACAUAAAGCAAAAAACUAUAAACACAUAAACAACUAGCAAAUAAUAAAAAAAAAUAUAAAAACAUAAUAAAAAUCAAGUAAAUCUAAUGAAAAAGCAUAAAACCUCAACCAAAUAUUCUAAAAGCUAACAAGAUCAUAGUAUCAGCUCA
RNAcentral lists this long non-coding RNA (90436 nucleotides) under Nicotiana benthamiana. RNAcentral describes it as "long non-coding RNA (NBEN_LNC006286)". The record is from RNAcentral. Lineage: Eukaryota; Viridiplantae; Streptophyta; Magnoliopsida; Solanales; Solanaceae.